AUGCCAGUAGGGAUUGGGAGAUUAACGGGUCUUAGGACCUUGGGUGAGUUCCACGUGAGUGCAGGAGGAGGUGUUGAUGGUAGGAAAGCAUGUAGGCUUGAAUCUCUUAAAAACUUGGAACGCCUUCAAGUAUGUGGUAUACGUAGACUGGGUGAUGUAUCAGAUGUGGGCGAGGCUAAGCGAUUAGAACUUGACAAAAAGAAAUACCUCUCUUGUUUGACCCUUGAGUUUGAUAAGAAGGAAAGAGGAGGAGAAAGGAGGAAGAACGAGGACGAUCAACUUCUUCUUGAAGCUCUACAACCACCUCUGGAUUUAAAGGAAUUAGAGAUAUGGUACUACCGAGGCAACACUGCUUUCCCUAGCUGGAUGACGUCAUUAACCAACUUAAAAAGUUUAGAUCUCUCUUUGUGCGAAAAUUGCGAGCAGCUGCCUCCUUUGGGAAAAUUGCAGUCCCUUGAAAAUCUCCACAUAUGGCGCAUGGCGAGUGUGAAGAGAGUGGGUGAUGAAUUUUUGGGGAUAGAAAGUGAUCAUCAUGACUCAUCUUCUUCUUCAUCAGUUAUUAUUGCCUUCCCCAAAUUGAAAUCACUUUCAAUUAACGAAAUGGAGGAAUUAGAGGAGUGGGAUUAUGGGAUUACAAGAACGGGAAACACCGUCAUCGACAUCAUGCCACGUCUUUCAUCCUUAACAAUAAUUCUUAGCCACAAAUUAAAGGCACUGCCCGACUACAUUCAUCAAACGACAACAUUGAAGGAAUUGCACAUUUUGGGGUGUGACCUUCUGGAAGAACGUUACCGCAAGGGGGAAGGAGAAGACUGGCCUAAGAUAUCUCACAUUCCCAACUUCGAGAUUUGGCGUUGACAAGUAAUUUCUUCUCUCACUCUGAUUUGAAUCAAACUCUAUAUCAGAAAUCUGCAAUACUUACUUUCUAAUAUUCUGAUUUUCAUAUCCUAUGAAUAUACGAUUUUUAAUUUGUGAGAUGGGUAACGUUACUGUAAAAGAUUAUUAAUGCAAUAUGAGUAAUUCUUUUGCAGAACAAGUGACCUACAUUUAGUUUGGCUUUGGAGUUGAAUAAUAACCUUUCAAGGUCCCGACAACCAAAAAACGAAGCUUAAUUUGCCACAGAUGGCACGUAUUGCCAUUAUUGACAAUUUUCUGCACAAGCUUAGGUUGAUGUCAAAACAGGUAAAUUACUGGCAUGCCUGACUAUUUUGACCAUUACAUGAUUCAUAAGUUUACAUUAAUUUUGAUUUUGAGUUGAGUGAUUAAUUUUCUAGGUUUGCUUACUUUAACUGGGUGACCAAUUUCUUGUAACUAAAUGUAUGAUGUGAUGCAGGAAGCAGGGCAGGGCAUGAAGAGAGAAGCUUAUUAGAGGAAGGAUUGCCAGUAACAGAAUCCAAAGAAAAAAGAAACCAUUUCGAGGCAGCAGUUGGCAGUUGGCAGUGAAUGGAGCCCCUUGAAAAAUUCCCCAAGCCGUUGCACUGCAAUUACGAUCAUCCUCGGCCUCAGGUAAUUUCUUCUCCUGCAUUUUUGUUAUUUGCUAUCAAGUGACUAUUUUAAGUAUGAUUGCAUUAAGCUGCUGCUGGGAAAUUUGAGGUUUUGAUGACUGCCCAUGCUAUUGUCAGAAGCUGCGGUUCUUUUCAUCAGCCUGAACCUGGACCUGCCGCUAUGGAUAACUCAGGUUUUUUUUUUUUAAUCAACAGCCAUCUUUUCCACUGUUUAGAAACUCUUAAGAUUAAACUUUAGUAAAGUUGUUUUAGUUAUCCAUGUAAUCAGGCUGAGGAUACUUAGCUGCCUAUUUAGGCAAAUGUUAGAAUUUAGUUUGUUUGCUGGGAACUGGUGUGGACUGGCAAAGGAUGAUGAGAUAGUUUUUUGAGUGAGUAAAUUUUGGGAGCUUGAGUGUAUUGGGAUUUGCAAUUACAAUCAUCGUCUGCCUCAGGUGAUUUCUUCUCCUGCUCUGUCAUUGUUUGUUCUCUAAUUCAAAAGCAUAAAAUAUUUCAAUCAAUUUUUAUGCCAGGAAUAUGCAAAAGUUUCUAAUAUUUUAUUUCCAUCUGUUACAAGAUCAAACUGAAGCAGAACUCAAACAAAAGUAUGCUACUUCUUGCGGAAAUCUUGCCUUUGUUCAGAUUAUGAAACCAUUUCCAGGCAGCAAAUUCAUCCAAAAGUUUGAAUAAGUUUCAUGGUUGGACACUGUUGCCUUCUUUUUCUUCUGGGGUGCAUUUAGGUGCUAUCAAGUGACAGCUGUAAGUAUGAUUGCACUAAGCUGCUGCUGGGAAAUUUGAGGUUUUGAUGGCUGCCCAUGUUAUUUUCAAGAAACUAUUGAUGUAAGAAGCUGUGGUUCUUUUCAUCAGCUUGAACCUGAAACUGUCGCUAUGGAUAACUCAGGUUUUUGUUAUCAACUAUAUCAUCUUUUUCACUAUUUUGAAACUCUUAAGAUUAAACUUUAGUAAAGUUGUUUCAGCUAUUCAAAUGAAAAACUCAUUGAUUUGAGACUGACUUCAUUAUUGUUUCUAAUUACAAUGCUAACGAUCCAGAUAAAAUAAUAUUUAAUCGGCGAAGGUGUCCCUUGGAAGUACAUCCUUCUUUUUCUUUUAUUAUAUAAAUUCUUGCAAUGAGCUUAGUGAAGCUGUUGUGCUAAUCAUGCCACUGCAUAAUUUGGCCCCUAAUGUGGGUACUCUGUUACAUUGUUCUGCAAAUUCUCCAGAAGUUAAAAUCAAUAAAUUUUCUAUUAGCUCUAGUGCUUUGACCUAAAUGCCAUUCUAUAUUUUGAUUACAAUGUUUUAACCUUUAAAUUAACUACCCCUAGAUGUUGGAUUUUCUAGAACUUCAAAAUGAUUAAUGGAGAAAGAUCCCAUUAUCGUUAUUGCUAUAAGAAAUUGAUUUAUGCAUCCAAAGAUACAUUAUAUAUUUCUGUGUCUCUAUUUGUAGAUGACAUUUAAGCAUCCAUAAACCGUCAGACAGAGGAAGGGGGUUCAGUGCAAAGAUUCUGUUGACCUAGGGUUGACUGCAUAAUGUCACUUGUUCGCAAUCUAUUAUUUAUUUUAUAUUUUGAAGAAUUUAAUGGGUAAUCCUAAUUGUUUGUUUUGGCAGGUAUGUGUUGUUAUCUCCUUCUAUCUAACAGUCGUACCUAAAUAGCAUAGUUUCAUCUGCGUUACCAUGUGAUGUACAUAAUUUCACAUUUGCCUCAGAUUAAGCUUAAUUUCCCACAGAAUAGAGCUGUCGCGACUGGACUUUUUGAUGUCCAAAGAGGUAAAUUAUUGGCAUGCCUAGAUAAUUUGGCCAUUUCCUAAUUCAUAAGUCUACAUUAAUUUUGAUUUUGAGUUGACUGAUUUCUUUUCAAGGUCUGCUUCCUUAACGGAGUGACCAAUGUUUUUCAACUAAAUUUAUCAUAUGAUGCAGGAAGCAGGGCAGGAUAUGAAAUGAGAAGCUCAUUGGUGGAAGUAUUGCCAGUAGCAGAACCCAAUGAAAAUGAAACUAUUUCAAGGCAGCAGUCGGCAGUUGCAAGUGAAUGGAGGCCCUUGACAAAAUUCUCAAGCGAUUGCAAUGCAAUUACGAUCAUCCUCAGCCUCAGGUAAUGUCUUUUAUUGGUACCCAACAAAAAUGCAAGGUCUGUGAGAAGACAGUUUGUCCAGUUGAGCAGUUAUCUACUGAUGGGGUUGUUUAUCACAAGUCUUGCUUCAAGUGCUCUCACUGCAAAGGCACACUCAAGCUAAGCAAUUACUCAUCCCUGGAAGGUGUUCUUUACUGUAAGCCUCACUUUGAGCAGCUUUUGAAGGAGUCGAGUAACUUCAACAAGAAUUUCCAAUUACCUGCAAAGUCAGCUGAGAAGUUAACUCCUGAGCUGAGAAGGUCGCCUAGCAAAGUUGCCAGCAUGUUCUCUGGGCCCAAUAAAAAUGUGCUUCUUGCAGUAAAACAGUGUGUCCGUGGGAGAAGGUAGCAGCGGAAAACCAAGCCUCUCACAAGACAUGUUUCAAGUGCUCACAUGGUGGUUAUUCCAUUAGCCCGUCAAAUUACGCAGCCCUAGAAGGCAUCUUGUAUUGCAAACAUAAUUUCUCCCAAUUGUUCAAGGAAAAAGGCAGCUACAACCACCUUAUAUCAAAUCUGCUUCCAUGAAGCGUGCUGCAGUCUCUGUUCAAGAAGCUUGAACAUGUUAUGUUAUCUUCCAUAAAUCUUAUUUGGCGUGGGUUUUCUCUGGCUUGAGGGUGUGCUGCUUUCUAUUUUGAUCCCUCUUGUUUUUUUUGCGGGGAACUACCAAACCUUCGGUUCCCUCUGCUUCUUUGGAUCAUCUUUGUUGGGACAAAUUUCAUGUAAUUAGAGAUACUGAUUUAUGGGAGGCAUAAUCCCAUGGUCGUAAAUUGACCAUUUUCUGGCAAUGUUCUUUUUAAAAAGAGAUGAGCAGUUGUUUAACAAAAAAAAUAUUCGGCCUUCAUCAUUGUAUGUUACCAAACUGCUAUGUAUAGCUGCUAACUAUGAGCAUCCGAAAAUAUGGUGCAUCGUGAUUCAUGUAGUGCAAUAUGGCUACCAACGCAUCCUAAAUGGAGUAUUACUCAGUUAGUCAGCAAAAUAAGACAACAUAACAGAUAUUAAAAAAAAAACUACAUUAAUAAGUGGGCAAGAUCAUGCCAGUUUAACUUUUCGCGCGUCGCUGCUGGAGAUAAUCAAAUCGGGGCAGAGAAAAGGAGAAUGGAAUCAGAGGCUAAGAUUAAUAAGUGGGCUUCUGCUUGCUUUGCGCCUCUUUCUUAAACGAUUGGUAGACUGCUGCUUCCACCGAUUAACCGGGACUUCAACCACUGCUUUUACUGCCUGCCAUCUUGUUGUUUGUCGAAGGGAUGAAUUCAAGUCGAAAAGAGAAAGCGCGCUGAAAAAGAUAAAUCACUAGUGGUUAACUGCUGACUCAGCCAAGUGUUGGCUUCACUUGAUUCACCGAUUGAGGUUAUUUUGUCUUCUAUCUAAUGCAGCGAAGAAGCUUUGCUGCUUAACAUGCUGCAAUGCAACUUUAUCCUUUGAAGUUCACACUCCAGGGCUGCGCACUUUAUGUAAUCCUAUGAGUAAAAAGAAUUUGUUUUCAAAUGUGAAAAAAGAAAAUGUAAGGUAGUAACUAAAUAUAUUAUAGCAUCAAAGCAAGAUUUGAUAUGAAUUUAGUACAACAAAGAACAUCAAAUCUGUGAUUCCUUGUCUAAUGUCACCAUCGAGCAACAAAUUUAAAAGCCUACCUAUCAAAUACACGAGGCAAUAAACGGAGAAAAAGUUGAAUUACAAGAACAAGUUUACAAUUCUUGUCAAUGGUUAAUGAUUUGUGAACUGCAUAGCAUUCAAGAAUCCAAUUUCAAUACAACAACCUAAAAGAUAAACAGAUGAUGAAUUUUAUGAGAUAAAGAAGGAGAUCGUGUUUUAUCGUAUCUCUAUUUUCUUUCUUUUUAAAUUUAAAAUAAGCUUUUCAACCGGUUUGGUAACUGGUUAUAAUAUUUUUUAAAAUAAUUAAAUAUUUUCAUUAUUAAAAAUAAUGUGUACCGUUGAUUACAUCUAACGGUACAUAUUUCUUACACUACUAAUACCGUAAAAAAAAAAAGGCAUCAUAGAAGGACCCUUAAAACAUUUUCAUUUGAAAUUAUUUGGUGUAGUCAAAAAGUUAAGAAAGAAAUAGUUGUCCCUUUGGUCAUUUCACAAAAAUGAAAGCCCCAUAUAACAUGGACUUGAAUGGAAGCCCAAUUGUUUGUGUUUGAUUUCAAGCUUUAUCGGACCUUUGGACCUGGAUACUUUACUGCGGCCUCUAAGCCCUAUAAAUUUUUUUUUGGGAUAAAAGGUGCUUCAAUGAAAAAGCACUUUAAAACUUUGGAUUUUGCCAAAACUUCAAAGCGGUUGGUCCAGUUACGGUGUGUUAUGCUAACGGGUUUAAAGGUUCCGAUCCAAUGAGUUAGGGUGGAAUAUGAAUAUAUAAAUUCCAUAGCAUGUAAGGACUAGGAUUUGUUUGUUCAUAUCAAGAAAAAAAAUCUGAAAAUUUGAUGAUCAGAAGAUAAAAACACUUAAACACGUUUAUUACAGAGAAACAAACGACAACAUGAUACUAGUAGUAGUUAUUCUUUUCAUCCGAUAUAUUACAUGGUAAUAUCACUACUCGUUCCACUGGUUUCAUAUACACCAUCGAUCAGCAACAUGAUAAUUUUGUGUCAGUUCAUUUUGUUUGUAGGAAAGAGCAGUGUAUUUAUAAUAAAAAGAUUUUAAAAUAUAAAUUGCAUAUUUGUUUAUUACUGUUGUUUGGUCUAAUUUCUUAUGUAGAAUUGCUUGUCAUUCUUUGGACGUUAUUGGUUAUAUUUUUGUCAGACUUGGCGUAUAUAUUCACAUACAUUUUAUUUUGUCAUUUUUUAGAACAUUUUUACACGCCAUAUUAUCACUACUCUUCUCUGUCUGAAUAAGAAGAAAGCAUCAACGGAGGUGUAUUACCACUGUUUCUUACUCAGUUAUCAUCAACGGAGUACCAAGAGGCUUGAUUUUUCCUGAAAGAGGACUUAGGCAAGGGUGUCCACUCUCCCCAUACCUGUUCCUUUUAUGUGCUGAGGUCUUUUCCAGCUUGCUGUCCCAGGCAGAAAGAAAUUAGCAAAUUAAGGGCUUGAGAUUCACUAAAGAUGUUACUAUCUCCCAUCUCCUCUUUGCGAAUGAUAGUCUAAUUUUCACAAGAGCUGCAGUGGCUAAUUGCAAGCAUCUAAAAGGUCUAUUUGAUACUUAUGCGAAGGCAUCGGGGCAUAUUUUUAACUUUGAAAAGUCAUCUAUGUUUUUCAGUGGUAAAAUUUUUUAGGGGCAGAUUUCAGCGAUCAAGAGUAUCUUCAAGCUUAAGGUGGUUCCUGUUGUGCAAAUUUUAAUGAACUCGCAAGCGCACGAAUCUAUUGUAGUAUAGAUCAAUGGUGACGAGUGUCGAUCCCACGAGGAGGUGGAUUUUAAUUAUAUGUAGAAUUAAUUUUGUAAAUGGGUGGUUGGAAUUGUAGUGGAAAUGAUUUGGAAUAUGCUAAAACUUAAAUUAAAAUGGCGAGAAUAAAUUAUGAAAUUGGAAUUGCAAUGGCGAGAAUAAAUUGAAGUGAAAUCUAUUGAAAUAACGUACUUGGGUAUCCGGAUCCGUAUCAACAUGCAUCAUGGGCUAAAUAAUCCGUAUUAAUGCCAAUUAAAUCAUGAGGGGGGAAUCCACACCUCAUGAACCACGCUCUAAUCAAUAUGGUGCUAAGGGCUUAUCGUGCCAAAUAAUAAUAACCUUAUACUAGAGAGCCGGUGUAACCAAGGCGGUAUCUAGACAAGAUUACUAUUAUUUGUCGACGAAAAGUCAAAACAUCCACAAAAACUAGAGGGGAAGAGAAAAUAAAUUUACCAAAUUAAGCCCAUGAAAAUAAUCCUGUGUGAUGCAUGCACCGUACGCGAAAUUUUUCGUCCACUGAUAUGCUGCCACGUCACCAUCAACAGUACAUAAGAAUUUUAGUCCAACAGGAUCGUGACACCUCAUCAGUCAAUGCCACAUCAUCGGUCAAUGCCACGUCAUCGAUCCGUCUAUGUGAACAGUGUCGUGAACAGUAACGUAGACAGUACCGUAUACGUGAAUAGUACCGUACAUGUGAAUAGUGCCAUUUUUCCUUUUAUGCUCCUCCUAAGGUUUUCGACCGUCCUGAGUUCAAAAGUGAUGUCCGUUUUGCUGUCUGAUCUCUCCUUUAUUGUGAAAUGACUAUAAUGCCCCUAAAAUACAUAAAAUACUUAAUUAAAAUAACACACACGUAAUUACAUCACAAAAAGGUUAAAUACAUAAAAGUAAGGGUUGUUAGUAAGACUUGAAAUGUAAAAUGAUGGUUUUCUCCUUUAUAAAUAUGCAUUUUCUAAUACUCAACACACCCCCCAACCAGCUUAUUGCUAGUCCCUAGUAAAUAAAGCGAAAACAAAAUUCAAAUUCAAAAUAUUUUUUUAGAAACACUCGUGUUUAUUCAAUCAGAUUAAUGAUAGCAAUCAAAUAAAAGUAUAAGCAUUAUCUCCAGUCUAAAGCAAUAUCACACCCAUAUCAACCAUCCACAUGAAUCGGCCCAGUAGACUUUGUUAUAGCUACUUUCAAGAAUGACAUGUUAAACCCCAAAAUCUCACUGGAAGUAGUGACACUCUCACAAAGAAAUUAAAACCCAAUAAACAUAGUCACUCCAAUGAAUAGUAAUUGAGAGAGAAAAUAAUAAAGAAAUGAUAUCACAUGCUCUCACCAAGAUGAAAUAAAUAUGCCCUCAGCUUAGAAAUAAUACGAUCUCAAGUCAAAUAAAAUGUUAGUCAACCCACUUUAUUUAUCUUCUUUUUUUUUUUAUUAUUAUGCAUCACUACAUCUUUUUAGCCCAUAUAACUAGCUUCUACUUCAAACUAUAGUUCCCUAAAAUCAAGAAGGACUUUUAUUAGGACGUAACGUAGGCUAGGGAUAUGGCUAACAAAGAAAGGAAAUAAGGAAAACAAAGUGUAUGUUUGAGAAAAAUGCAGAAAUAUAUAUAUAUAUAUAUAUAUAUUUUUUUUUUUUUUUGAAGUUGCAAGGUGGAUUUCACCUAUUAUUGUUAUUUUAUUCUUUUGAAACAACAACUUUUGUUUUUUUGUUUUUUUUUUAUUUUUUGUUUUUUUUUUUGCUUUUAUUUGGCAUAACUUCACUGAACAACAUAAUUAUUUACAUUUUCUCAAACAUAAAUAGGUGAUGGAACUUAUAAGACAUCGAGUAAUACUCCAAAUCGGAGUGAGUCAAGAUGAUAAGUUGACAAAGAAAAGGUUUUAUUUAUUUAUUUUUUUUUAAAGGCUCAAAAGGGGUAACUAUGGAUAUUUAAUAAAAGGGAUGGCUAGAAAGGCUCAAACGGAUCAAAGAUGGCCUUUCCAUCGUCUUUUAGGGCUCUAAAUAAUUAUCCAUAUCUACUAGUUAGAUGGGCCUCCCAAUGUAGCAACACACAUUUUUUUUUUUUUUUUUUAAUUUUACCAUUUUUUUUAAAGGGUUAACUCAAAAGAAAUCUAGAGAUCGUGUAUAAAAUAAUAAACUGCUAAGCUGUAUAGAAAAUGGGCAAAAGGGUUACUCUCCAAGAAAAUGAUAGGCUCAACAACUCACUUGACACUUAUUUAUGACAUGUUCAUUCCUUCAAGCAACUCAUAUUUGUCUCCGACAUCAACAUGUAAAGUAGCAAACAUAGCGUAACAUCACUUAAGACCAAAGAUAAUACAAAUACUAAAAUUUGAAAUUAAUCAUGUCAUCCAAUGUUAAAACAAAUAACACAAAUUUUUUUUUUUUUAAACAACAUUCUACCCCCCAACCUAUUCUAAACAUGAAAAGAAAAUAUGCAUGCAGAAAUGUGAAAAUGAUGUAGAAAAAUUAAUUAGAAAAAGAUUUUUUUUUUUUAAAACUAAGAAGAUGCGUUUCUAGAGGCACUACACUCCAUAUUCAGCCAUCUUCGACUCAAAAGUUGGAAAAUGUAUAUUUAUAGAGGAGAAAAUAAAAAGAAGAAGAAAAAUGAAGUAGAAAAAUUAAUUAGAAAAAGAAUUUUUUUUUUCGAACAAUGAAGAUGCGUUUCUAGAGUAACUACACUCCAUAUUCAGCCAUCUUCAACACAAAAAGUUAGCAACAGUUAGUUUCUACAACAAAAAAUUAGUAAAAACUUAACCAAGAUUCCACAAUUGUCGACUAUUCCCUCCCCCCAACCAGAACGAAACAUUGUCCUCAAUGUUUGAAAGGAAAGAAGUAGAGUUUAGAAGACAUCACCUGGGUGGUGCAACACAGAAGAAUAUAUUUACAGGCGGAGAGUUAAAUCUAAUUUGUACUUCUUACUGCGGCUACUGUUACCAUCAUUAGUUGGUCGCUCCAACACAAAGGUCCAGGGGUCUGGCUCCGGUUUAUAAGCUUGUAACAUAUCAAGUAGCUCAUUAGCAGUGUGAGCACAAAUAAAGAGUUUUUUCACAUUAGAAUGCGAUAAAGUCAUCAUAAAAGUUAUUGACAUUUAACAAACCAAUAGGUUUCUGGUGGAUGUGCAGAUGGGCCCAAGAUGCUAGUGUCAUAAAUGCUUCUAGUGUUGCAAGAUCUCCUGGAAGGAAAAUAAAAGCAUCAGCAUGAUUAAGCAUUUCAGUUAUUCUUUCUUGCAUACCUGAGACGACUAACUCUUCUCCAGUUGAUGAGUCAGACGAACUGCCCAAUGGUUUUAGGACUCUUGGGAUGAUGCCUAACACUUGACUUCCUCUGAUAAAAGCUGCUUCUGAGACCAUUUUUGAUAACCCUCGGUUACCUCCUCCAUACACCAAGUGUAAUUUUCUCGCUGCUAUGCUUCGACCAAGAUCUAUGGCUGCCUCCACAAACUCUUUAUGUUUGCCACAGGUAAAUCCAGAAAGCACACAAAUGUUCUUGAAUUGUCUAAUGGGAGUAGCUGCCAUUGUGAUACUUCUCAAAAACAAUUUGUGAGUGCUUGACAAAAGAUAAAUCACAUUUAAGAAUCUUGGUGACAGUGGAUCACAACUGUGAAUGAGGUAACAUGUCAGUGUCAAAUAACGCGUAAAGCACGUGGCUCGCGAGUCAAAAAGGAAACAAUAAAAAAAAGAAAAAGCAAACAGUAACAAAAUUAUUAAAGACAAAAAUAAAACAACAGUGAAAUGAAAUAAAAUAACAGUAAAGUAAAAGGAUAUUUACACGUAGUUGCGACUGUGGCUCACAUCUUCCUCUGGUUUUACGUCCAGAAACGGCUUGAACGCCCUCUAUGGGUCGAGGAUAGGCUUCCUAUCCAGUUUUCUUAUAAACUGGCAAACAGGGUCGUUUAUAGUCAGAUUCCCGAGACUAUAUCGUGCAUGCUCUUUCUGGAAUAAUGGCCAUAACUGGAGAACCGCUCCUUGCACAUAUCCACUAGGAUGCGUUUCAAGAGACAAAAGGAUAUCAUCCAAUGACUCCUUAUUCAAGCCAUCCCUAAUGAAUUGAAUCUUAUAUUCCCUGUUAUCAGACACCAUUCCUAAAGAACAUGGGUUUCUAUCGCAACUCAUUCUGGCACACUUAUGACAAGCAACAGAAAUUCUUCGAGCUCGUCGUUUUCUUCCAUAAUUUCCUUUACCACAACCAGGCAUGAAUGCAAUAAAUUUUGGAGGAAACUCACCUGCCGAUCGUACUUUAGCCUCGAUUAACCAACGGAUGUCAGCAGGUAUGUUAUUCCUCAUGAGUAAUCGCAUGCGUUCGGAUCGAGCUUUAUAGAUCGUAAGGAGGGCAUUCUGAGGAAGUGAAGGGAAUCGCUUGUGAAGCUUCGCUAGAAUCUCGUUUCUGUUCAUACUUUCACCUCAGAAUGUCAGUUAUUAUGGGAAACUGAAGUAACCGACUUGAUUGUCACGGAGUACCGUUAUCCGCCACUUCACCGGGGUAACAAACUAAAGCACAUAAACAGAAAAACAAAUCAAAACACACAAAGAAAAUUAAAAUCGUCCUCUUAUUGAAUUUACCUCAAGCUCCAACUGGAUGUCGUAAACACUUCUCUCAAUGUCUCUGAGUUGGCGUUCUAAACCCUCAACAUAGGCUACUAACUCUGGUGGUUGUAGAGCCCAAAUGCGUUGUGUUUUACAAAAUUGAAUCUGCCUUUUGAGAUGAGUUUUGAUACGUUGAAGUGGUUUAAGAAUGUUCAGGAGGAACGGUCUAAGUAUGAGACUCAUGAUUAAAAAUGAUAAGAGAAAACUUAAUGGUAAAAUAAACACACUUAUGCAAAAACAAUUUCAAUUAGCAAAAGAAUAAUAAUAAAAAGAAAGAAAGAAAAAUCAAAUCAACGAAAAGAAAAAAAAUCAAUUCAAAUUUGGUGGGUCACUCAAAUUUAUUUCGGUGUCUUCUCUAUGUGGUUGGUACUCAAGAUAUGGCUUUAAUCUUUGACCAUUAACUUUAAACGUGACACCGUUCUUUGGGUCCUUAAUUUCAAUUGCCCCAUGUGGAAAAACAGUAUGAACAAUAAAGGGACCAGACCAUCGAGAGCGUAACUUACCUGGGAAUAGGUGCAAGCGAGAAUUGAAUAAAAGCACUUUCUGACCUGGAGUGAAAGAUUUUCUCAUAAUGUGCUUGUCAUGAAAGACUUUCAUUCGUUGCUUGUAAAUUUUGGCAUUUUCGUAUGCAUCAUUGCGAAUUUCUUCAAGUUCUGCCAGCUGUAAUAUUCUUUCUGAGCUGGCUUGUUGCAUGUCAAAAUUGAAUUUCUUGAUGGCCCAAUACGCACGAUGCUCGAGUUCCACAGGUAGGUGGCAAGCUUUUCCAUACACUAGCCUGUAGGGUGACAUCCCAAUCGGGGUCUUGAAAGCCGUUCUAUAUGCCCAUAAUGCAUCAUCAAGUCUUAAUGACCAAUCUUUCCUGUCUGGCCUCACCGUUUUUUCUAAUAUGUGCUUUAUUUCUCGAUUGGAUAUCUCAACUUGGCCACUGGUUUGCGGAUGAUACGGGGUCGCCACUUUGUGUGUGAUUGAAUACUUUGUCAAAAGAGCCUUGAAUGCUUUGUUACAAAAGUGGGCACCACCAUCACUGAUUAUCGCUCGAGGGAAUCCAAAGCGUGAAACAAUGUUGCUUUUCAAAAAUCCUAUCACCACUUUGUGAUCAUUGGUUCUGCAUGGAAUUGCUUCCACCCAUUUCGAUACGUAGUCAACACCAACCAAUAUGUAUUGAUGGCCAAAAGAAGGGGGAAAGGGUCCCAUGAAGUCGAUACCCCAUACGUCAAAAAUCUCAACCACUAAAAUUGGAUUUAGUGGCAUCAUGUUCCUUCGUGUAAUGCUCCUCAUUCGUUGACACCUAUCACAUGAAGAACAAAAAGUGUAAGCAUCUCGAAAUAUAGUUGGCCAAUAAAAACCACAUUGUAAAACUUUAGUCACGGUUUUCUUAGCACUGAAGUGGCCUCCACAAGCUUGUUCAUGGCAGAAUGAAAGGAUAUUCUGAAUUUCACUUUCUGGGACACAUCGUCUAACAAUUUGGUCUGCACAAUACUUGAACAAAUACGGGUCAUUGUUGAGUGUUAGAAAAUGCAUAUUUAUAAAGGAGAAAACUGUCAUUUUAUGUUUCAAGUCUUACUAACAACCCUUACUUUUAUGUAUUUAACCUUCUUGUAAUGUAAUUACGUGUGUGUUAUUUUAAUUAAGUAUUUUAUGUAUUUUAGGGGCAUUAUAGUCAUUUCACAAUAAAGGAGAGAUCAGACGGCAAAACGGACAUCACUUUUGAACUCAGGACGGUCGAAAACCUUAGGAGGAGCAUAAAAGGAAAAAUGGCACUAUUCACAUAUACGGUAGUAUUCACGUAUACGGUACUGUCUACGUUACUGUUCACGACACUGUUCACAUAGACGGAUCGAUGACGUGGCAUUGACCGAUGAUGUGGCAUUGACUGAUGAGGUGUCACGAUCCUGUUGGACUAAAAUUCUAAUGUACUGUUGAUGGUGACGUGGCAGCAUAUCAGUGGACGAAAAAUCUCGCGUACGGUGCAUGCAUCACACAUGAUUAUUUUCAACCAAACCGCGUUACUGUUCAUCCGGGUCAAACCGUGUUACUGUUCAUCCGCGUGGUCAAACCGUGGACUGUUGACUGAUGACGUGGCGCAAUCCUGAGCGUCCAAACUGUUUUUAAUCCGAUGGCCAUGAUUUACUCCAUGUAUCUAUAAAAAGGGGGCCUCCCCCCCAUAAUUUGAUAUCUCUGAAUCCAUUUUUGGGAUCCAUUUUCUGUAAUUCCUUCUCCAUCUUGUAUUUUCUUUGUAUUUUAAUAAAUUCCCUUUUUGCCCCUAGUUCAAUUAUGAGUAGCUAAUUUCUUUUCAAGCUUGGGUUGAAGGUGAAGUCUCAACAUGUGUCAUGGGCUUUAUUUGGUAAAUUUAUUUUCUUUUCCCCUCUAGUUUUUGUGGAUGAUUUGACUUAUCGUCGAUAAAUAAUAAUGAUCUUGUCUAGAUACCGCCUUGGUUACACCGGCUCUCUAGUAUAAGGUUAUUAUUAUUUGGCACGAUAAGCCCUUAGCACCAUAUUGAUUAGAGCGUGGUUCAUGAGGUGUGGAUUCCCCCCUCAUGAUUUAAUUGGCAUUAAUAUGGAUUAUUUAGCCCAUGAUGCAUGUUGAUACGGAUCCAGAUACCCAAGUACGUCAUUUCAAUAGAUUUCGCUUCAACUUAUUCUCGCCAUUGCAAUUCCAAUUUUAGAAUUUAUUAUCGCAAUUUCAAUUCCAAUUUUAGGAUAAUUUAAAUCACUUCCACCACAAUUCCAACCACCCAUUUUGCAAAAUUAAUUCUAUACACAAUUAAAAUCCACCUCCUCGUGGGAUCGACACUCGUCACCAUUGAUCUACACUACAAUAGAUUCGUGCGCUUGCGAGUUCAUUAAAAUUUGCACAACAGUCAUCCCAAAAGAAAUUCUUUAUUUCUACAAAGAAUUUAGCCUUGUCUUGCUUGGUCCAAUGCUCUGGAAAUUUACCUGUAACAAGAUAAUUAACUAUAUCAGCAUACCAAGGUAAUACUUCCACAUUCAUCAAUUGUUCAUCUGGAAAUGACUCAUUCAAUAUUAAUGGCUCUGUAAUUGUGUCAAAAUGGAGACGAGAGAGGUGGUCCGCCACAACAUUCUCUGUGCCUUUCUUAUCUUUGAAUUCCAAGUCAAACUCCUGCAAAAGUAACACCCAACGAAUUAGUCUAGCUUUUGCAUCUUUCUUUGUGAGAAGAUAUUUAAGAGCAGCAUAAUCUGUGAAUACAAUUAUUUUACAACCAAUGAGAUAAGAUCGAAAUUUUUCUAAUGCAAACACUACUGCUAGCAUUUCUUUUUCAGUAGUUGAAUAAUUCAACUGUGCAUCAUUGAAUGUCAUACUAGCAUAGUAAAUAACAUGGGGAAUUCGAUCAACUCUUUGUCCUAAUACUGCUCCUACGGCAUAAUCAGAUGCAUCACACAUUAGCUCAAAUGGUAAGCUCCAGUUUGGGGCCUGAAUGAUGGGUGAUGAUGUCAACAACUGUUUUAAUUUUUCAAAUGCAACAAGACAUGAAUCAUUAAAGACAAAAGGUACAUCCUUAGCAAGUAGAUUGCAUAAGGGUCUAGAAACUUUGCUAAAAUCUUUAAUGAAACAUCUAUAAAAACCAGCAUGCCUAAGGAAAGAUCUUACUUCUCUGAUUGUUUUGGGUGGAGGAAGAUUAGAAAUGAGAUCCACCUUGGCUUUGUCAACCUCAAUACCUUUGCUCGAAAUGAUGUGACCGAGAACAAUACCUUGUUUUACCAUAAAAUGGCACUUCUCCCAAUUUAAGACUAAGCUCUUCGCGGUACAUCUCUGCAGAACUAGCGUUAGAUGAUGUAAACAUUGAUCAAACGAGUCACCAAAGAUAGAAAAAUCAUCCAUAAAGACUUCAAGGAAUCGUUCAACCAUAUCAGAAAAAAUGCUCAACAUGCAUCGUUGAAAUGUAGCAGGUGCAUUACAUAAUCCAAAUGGCAUUCUCCUAUAUGCAAAAGUGCCAAAAGGGCAAGUAAAAGUAGUUUUCUCUUGAUCUUUUGGUGCUAUGGGAAUCUGAUUAUAUCCUGAGUAGCCAUCUAGAAAGCAAUAAAAUUCAUGGCCUGCUAAUCUAUCAAGCAUUUGAUCAAUAAAUGGUAAAGGAAAAUGGUCUUUACGUGUGACAGAAUUCAACUUUCUAUAAUCAAUGCAUACACGCCAUCCUGUAGUUACUCUAGUUGGUAUCAAUUCAUUAUCAGCAUUGGUAACUACUGUGACUCCUGACUUUUUGGGGACAACUUGUACAGGACUGACCCAUGAACUAUCAGAAAUUGGGUAAAUGAUACCUGCGUCUAAUAGCUUAAGGACUUCUGUUCUAACAACUUCUUUCAUAUUAGGAUUUAACCGACGUUGCAUUUCCCUAGUAGAUUUAGCAUUUUCAUCAAGGUGAAUGUAAUGCAUGCAGUCUACUGGAUUUAUACCUUUUAUGUUCGCUAUGGUCCAUCUUAAUGCUCCUUUGUGCUAUUUAAAACAUCCAACAACUUACCUUUUUGUUCGUCAUUUAGGGAUGAUGAGAUGAUUACCGGCAGAGUACUUUCUUCUCCCAAAAACGCAUAUUCCAAUGUGUUGGGUAAUGGUUUGAGCUCGAGUUUCGGUGGUGAUUCUGAUGAUGGGAUGAGUUUCUUCUCUGAUGGUGCUAGUUGUUCAACUCUUGACUUCCAUUUAUUAGUGUCCAUGGAUGGUGCUGAGUCAAGUAGGGCGUUGACCUCAUCAACUGAUCUGUCAAUAUCAAAAUCCAAACCAAAGUGAGUUAAACAUGUUUAUAAAGGAUCAUCACUAAGGUUUGAAAGAAAAGUAUUAUCAACUAUUGUUUCUAUUAAAUCCACAUCAACAAUUCCAUCAUCUGCACUGUGAGGUUGUUUGGCAAUGUUGAAGAUGUUCAGCUCCAUAGUCAUGCUGCCGAAGGACAACUGCAUAUUUCCAGUCCUGCAUUGAAUGUGAGCAUCCGCAGUUGCCAAGAAAGGUCGACCUAGAAUAAUAGGGAUGUGCUUCCUUGAAUCCUGUAUUGGUUGAGUGUCAAUUACAAUGAAAUCAACAGGAAAAUAAAACUUGUCUACCUGGAUAAGCACGUCCUCCACAAUACCACGAGGUAUUUUCGUGGACCGAUCUGCAAGCUGUAACACCACUGGAGUUGGGUGUAAUUCUCCCAGUCCAAGUUUCACGAAUACAGAGUAAGACAAAAGAUUUACACUAGCUCCUAAAUCCAACAAAGCAUUCUCAAUUGUGUGGUUCCCUAUACUACAUGAGAUAGUGGGGGAGCCUGGGUCUUUGCAUUUUAAAGGAAUUUUAUGUUGGAGUAUAGAACUAACAUUUACUGUUAAAAAUGCCUUCUUUUGAACAUGCAUAUUUCUCUUUUUAGUACAAAGGUCUUUAAGAAACUUGGCAUAAGAUGGAACUUGCUUUAUAGCAUCAAGUAAAGGGAUGUUAACACUUACCUGUUUGAAGAUUUCGAGAAUCUCACCUGUGGAUUUUCCCUUCUUUCCUUUCGCUAACCUCUGAGGAAAUGGAGCUUUGGGAACGUAUUCUCGUGGGUUGGUUUCUUCUUUUUCCUCCGGUGGUGAGUCCUCAACAUUCACAGGUACAAUUUGAUUUUCUUUUGUCACCGGCAUCUCCACUUUGUUGUCGACUUCCUUUCCUUUUCGCAAGGUCAUGACUGCUUUGACCUCUCCAUGCUGUUGUGGUGAACUGGUACUUGCUUCAUGUACUCCUUUAGGAUUAGGCACUGGUUGACUUGGAAAUUUACUUUUCUCAACAGUAAUUGCCAAGGUCUGAACUGAAGAAGCAAGUUGUCCCACCAUCUUCUCGAGGCUUGAAACUGAUUGGGCUUGUGAGUUGAAGCCCGCUCUCAACUCAUUUCGUAGUCCAUCAAUAGUGCGGUUCUGUUGCUCAAUCGUAGAGUGAGUAACAUUCUUGAGAUUUUGGAAUGAAUCCUCCCAUGGUCUGGGUUGAGAGUAGUUCUUGUUCUGAUUGUAUGGUCUGAAUGGUGGCUGAGAGGCUUGAGGAUUUUGAGGAAUUUGUUGCAUUGGUGGAGCUGGAGCUGCUGGUCCAUUCUGUUGGAAUCCUUGAGACCAUGAAAAAUUGGGGUGGUCUCUCCAUCCAGGGUUAUAUGUGUUGGAGUAUGGGUUGUAAUUAGAUGGCUUUCUCAUUACACCUAUGGCAUUGGCUUGAUCUGGAUAUGAGUCAGGGUCACGUGAUUCUGUUGAUUUAGCAGUCGAUAACGAUGUUAUUUGUCGAGCAAGACCUUCAACCAUCUCCUUGACUUCUUUGAUUCCCGAAGUUGACUCGCCAAUGUGAACCUCAUUCACUCCUUUAAUCCUUCUAGUAUUCCUGAGUGAUCGACUCCGUUGUUGGGAAUUGUCCGCUUGUCGCUGGAAAAACUCCCAAAUUUCUGAUGCACUUUUUGACAUUAGCUCUCCUCCACUUGUUGCCAUUAGCCAUUCUUGCACAUUCGGCAAUAAUCCCUUCAAAAAGUAUUGGUAUUGGUGCCAUUUCUCGUACCCAUGAUGUGGACACUUCAAGAGUAGUCCAUUGAAUCGCUCCCAAGUUUCGAAAAACUGCUCGUCCUCUCUUUGUGUAAACUCUGAGAUUUCCCUGCGAAUAGAAUUGGUUUUAUGCACUGGGAAAUAUUUAUUUAGAAAUUUUGUAACCAUUUGUUCCCAUGAUGCAAUGCUAUUAGCAGGCAAAGUAUUUAACCAUGAACGAGCUCUAUCCUUUAAAGAAAAUGGGAAUAAUCUAAGUUUAACAUCAUCGUCUGAAAAAUUUUCAUAUUUAAAAGUUUGACAAAUGGCAUGAAAAUCAUUCAGAUGAUUAUAUGGGUCCUCAUUUUCUAGGCCAUAGAAUGUGGGGAGACAAUUUAGCACACUAGGUUUUAAUUCAAAACUCCUAGCAGCUACAUUUGGGUAUCUUAUGCAUGAUGUGCUCAAAUUAGCUAAGGGACUAAAAUAAUCCUUAAAUGGCCUCUCCUGUGGUGCUUGUAAAUCCAUUUUAUUUUUAAAUUGUUUGUGUGUGCGAAGUGUUUUUUCUAAUUCAAGGUCUAUAGGUUCAAGAUUUGGUAAUAAUGACCUACGACCAUGCAUGCAAAACAAAUAAAAUAAAAAUAAAGAUGGGAAUAAAACGAAUAAAAAUAAAGAAAAAUGAGAAAUUACGAUACUAACCUUAUUGCGCUGUUACAACUUUUCUAUAAAAACACACUAAAACAAAUACGUGAAAUAAAUUAACUAAAAAUAAAUUAAUUAAAAAAAAUUACAAAGAAAAAUAACUUAAAAAUUAAAUUGCAGAAUUGUAAAGAAUAGAGAAAGAAAAGAAAUUAUUACCUCUAAUUGCAGAUUCACUUUUUUUUUUCUCUUUUUUUUUAUAAAAAAAUACAAGAAAACAAAUAAAAGAAAUUAUUCACAAAAAUUAAUUCUAUGAAUUAAAAUUACUUACCUCCCCGGCAACGGCGCCAAAAACUUGUUGUGCAAAUUUUAAUGAACUCGCAAGCGCACGAAUCUAUUGUAGUAUAGAUCAAUGGUGACGAGUGUCGAUCCCACGAGGAGGUGGAUUUUAAUUAUAUGUAGAAUUAAUUUUGUAAAUGGGUGGUUGGAAUUGUGGUGGAAAUGAUUUGGAAUAUGCUAAAACUUAAAUUAAAAUGGCGAGAAUAAAUUCUGAAAUUGGAAUUGCAAUGGCGAGAAUAAAUUGAAGUGAAAUCUAUUGAAAUAACGUACUUGGGUAUCCGGAUCCGUAUCAACAUGCAUCAUGGGCUAAAUAAUCCGUAUUAAUGCCAAUUAAAUCAUGAGGGGAGAAUCCACAUCUCAUGAACCACGCUCUAAUCAAUAUGGUGCUAAGGGCUUAUCGUGCCAAAUAAUAAUAACCUUAUACUAGAGAGCCGGUGUAACCAAGACGGUAUCUAGACAAGAUUACUAUUAUUUGUUGACGAGAAGUCAAAACAUCCACAAAAACUAGAGGGGAAGAGAAAAUAAAUUUACCAAAUUAAGCCCAUGACACAUGUUGAGACUUCACCUUCAACCCAAGCUUGAAAGAAAAUUAGCCACUCAUAAUUGAACUAGGGGCAAAAUGGGAAUUUAUUAAAAUACAAAGAAAAUACAAGAUGGAGAAGGAAUUACAGAAAAUGGAUCUCAAAAAUGGAUUCAGAGCUAUCAAAUUAGGGGGGGGAGGCCCCCUUUUUAUAGAUACAUGGAGUAAAUCAUGGCCAUCGGAUUAAAAACAGUUUGGACGCUCAGGAUUGCCCCACGUCAUCAGUCAACAGUCCACGGUUUGACCACGCGGAUGAACAGUAACACAGUUUGACCCGGAUAAACAGUAACACGGUUUGGUUGAAAAUAAUCCUGUGUGAUGCAUGCACCGUACGCGAGAUUUUUCGUCCACUGAUAUGCUGCCACGUCACCAUCAACAGUACAUAAGAAUUUUAGUCCAACAGGAUCGUGACACCUCAUCAGUCAAUGCCACAUCAUCGGUCAAUGCCACGUCAUCGAUCCGUCUAUGUGAACAGUGUCGUGAACAGUAACGUAGACAGUACCGUAUACGUGAAUAGUACCGUACAUGUGAAUAGUGCCAUUUUUCCUUUUAUGCUCCUCCUAAGGUUUUCGACCGUCCUGAGUUCAAAAGUGAUGUCCGUUUUGCUGUCUGAUCUCUCCUUUAUUGUGAAAUGACUAUAAUGCCCCUAAAAUACAUAAAAUACUUAAUUAAAAUAACACACACGUAAUUACAUCACAAAAAGGUUAAAUACAUAAAAGUAAGGGUUGUUAGUAAGACUUGAAAUGUAAAAUGAUGGUUUUCUCCUUUAUAAAUAUGCAUUUUCUAAUACUCAACAGUUCCCAAAUAUGAAAGAUGCUUAGGCCUCCCAUCCAUGAUAGGCCGGAAGAAGAUGAGUUUUUUCAAGGAUGUCAAAUUAAAGGUUUUAAGAAAAAUUUCCAACUGGCACCAUAAAAUGUUCUCUAGUGGUGGAAAGGAAGUUCUUUUUAAAGCAGUCGCUCAAGCCAUCCCAGCAUAUGCCAUGAGCGUUUUCAAGCUCCUGAAGGGGCUAUGUGAAGACAUCCAAAGAGUUAUAGCCAAAUUUUGGUGGGGUUCGAAUCAAGAUAAGCAAGCAAUACACUGGUCGAGAUGGGAAAAAUUAAGUUGUGCAAAGAGUAGAUGGGGGCUGGGAUUCAGAGAUUUUACCAGCUUCAAUCAAGCAAUGGUGGCUAAACAAGGUUGGAGGCUGCUUCAGUUCCCGGAUUCCCUGGUAUCCAAGUUACUGCAGGCCAAAUACUACAGGAACUCCUCAUUCUUGAAUGCAAAGGAAGGUUCUAAUCCUUCUUUUAUCUGGAAAAGCAUCCUUUGGGGUAGGCUAGUUAUAAAAAAAAGGGCAAGAUGGCGAAUUGGGAAUGAGAGCAAUAUUCGGGUGUACAAAGACAAUUGGCUGCCAAGAUUGGAUACUUUCAAACCGAUAUCCCCUCCAACAUUGCCCAUGGAAACAACAGUGGCCAAGUUGAUAACUGAGGACAGCCACUGGAAUGAAGCUAAGCUAAAGCACCACUUUUUCGAGGAGGACACAGAAGCAAUACUCAAAAUUUCCCUCCCCCCAAGCCAUAAAGAGGAUUCCUUACUAUGGCAUUUUGACAAAAGAGAGGCAUACACUGUAAAAAGUGGCUACCAGGUGGCUCUCAAGCUUAAAUUCCCAAAUCAGGCCAGCAGCUCAGCCAGCCCCCCCCCCAAGAUGGAAUAAUCUGUGGUCUCUUAACUGGCCUGAAAAAAUCAAAAUCUUCAUGUGGAGAGCAUCCAAAAACCUUUUUCCAACAGCUGAAAACUUGUGGAAAAGAAAAUGUCUCCAAGAUCCAAUUUGCAAAAGAUGCUGCAGAAGUGUAGAAACCACUUACCAUGCUCUGCUAGAGUGUAAAGCAACGAAGAAGAUCUGGAAUCAUGCUCCUCUCCAGCUGAUAAGAAGCUACGCAGAACUAAUCGUGUAGCCAAACCCAACAGCAAGUACAUGGAAUAUGCAUGGGCACGUCAUUAGCCAUGCAACGUUUGAGAUGAUGAUCUGGAGCUGACUUCUUCAAAUUAACCGUUGCUUAUUUGGAGGAGAUCUUUCAUGCAAGUAUUUGUUUUGGUAUAUUUUGGAAUAAUAGUCAGGUUGUUGAGAUGUUGUUAACGACUUGAUUUAGUUAGCUUUGUUCAAGCCUUGUUUCACGGCUAAGGAAAUUAGUUUUGUAUUAGACUAUAAAUAAGCUCUUUUAUUCAAUAAGAAGAUCAUCAGAUUUUUAUUCCAAAAACAUUAUUUGUGGUAGUUCUCGCCCAAAGAAGAACAAGCAAUUUACUUUGUCAAUUCUGCUAGUUUUGACUGGGACCUCUAUUAGUGGUAUCAGAGCUAGGUUAGGAUGGCAACCAACAAAGAGCGUAUCGAGCGAAUAGAAACAGAGGUCGGAGAUAUACAAGACAAGAUGCAACAGUUGGAGUUGGGGAUCAAUGACAAAUUGGCACACAUUGAGGCAACAUUAAGCAAGCUUGCGGACUCAAUCAAUACUUCAAGAGGGUUGCCAAGUAUCAACAACAAUACUGCAUCUUCACGACUGGGCCGAGAAGUCAGUACAGGAGGGCCUCAACAUUUCCAAUCCAAGGUAGCAAAACUAGAAUUCCCUCACUAUUCGGGCGACGACCCCACCGAAUGGUUCAAUCGUGCAAGUUAGUUCUUCGAAUAACAGGAAUCAACAGACGAUCAGAAAGUGGUUCUAGCGUCAUUCCACUUGGAGGGGGAAGCAAAUCAGUGGUGGCAGUGGCUUCGAAGGUCUUAUCAAGAUGAAGGCAAAGUCGUGACUUGGGAGGUGUUUAUGGAGGAGUUAUGGGCAAGGUUUGGACCGACAGACUGUGAAGAUUUCAACGAGGCUCUCUCACGGGUUAAACAAACCGGUACUCUCCGUGACUACCAGAAGGAAUUUGAACGACUCGGAAACCGUGUUCAAGGCUGGACACAGAAGGCACUUGUUGGAACAUUCAUGGGAGGGCUUAAACCAGAGAUAUCUGAAGAAAUUCGGCUGUUUCGACCGAGGACUCUUAAGGAAGCAAUAAGCUUGGCAAGAAUGAGAGAUGAGCAACUGACCCGACAACGGAGACUGUUGAGAUCACCAAUCCUCACUCGUUCACCAACGGCUCAAGUCACCAACCAACGUGCUUCACCAACAGUACCCUUUAAGAGACUUUCUUGGGAGGAGAUGCAAAAACGCAGGUCACAAGGAUUAUGUUUUAACUGUAAUGAAAAAUUCUCUGCAGGUCAUAAGUGCAUAAAGGCGCAAUUGUUAAUCUUAGAAGCAGAUGAUAACGAAGAGUCCACGGAAACAACGCAACAUGAGUAUGAGACGGAAGAGCACGACAAACCUAAAAUAACAUUCUAUGCUUUGGCGGGUUAGGCUGCUCCUCAGACAAUGCGAGUGAAAGCUAAGAUUGGGCCACACGAGAUUAUUGUACUAGUGGACAGCGGCUCAACGCACAAUUUUAUCAACUCGCGUUUGGCUAAUAUGCUUCAGCUCCCAGUUCAACCGACAUCAGCAUUUCCAGUAAAAGUGGCCAAUGGAGAGAAAGUUAUUUGCCAGGGGAAACAUGACAAGGUACAUGUUUUAAUUCAGGACAUCCCUUUUGAACUUACUCUCUACUCAUUGCCGAUUACAGGACUCGACGUGGUGCUUGGUGUCCAAUGGCUUGAAAGCUUAGGGUCGGUGGUUUGUAAUUGGAAACAAUUAACAAUGGACUUCGAUUGGGAUAAUGCUAAGCGAAGGUUGCAAGGGCUGGAUCCACAAACAAUUCAAGCUACAACAUUAUCUGAAGUUGCCAAAGAUAUGAAACAAGGGCACAACGUGUUUGCUAUAUGUCUCUAUUUAAACAAUGAGGAAUCAUAUACAGUAGCACCGGCCAGCAUGAGGAGUUUGCUAGAGGAAUAUUCCGAGCUGUUCGUGGAACCCAAACAACUCCCACCAACACGGGAAAUCGACCACCAAAUCACUCUUAAAGAAGGAACAGAACCAAUUAAUGUGAGACCCUACCGGUACGCUUAUUUCCAAAAAGCGGAGAUUGAGAGACAAGUGAACGAAAUGCUGUCUUCCGGGCUCAUUCGACCAAGCACCAGCCCCUUCUCAUCACCGGUACUCCUAGUAAAAAAAAAGAUGGCAGUUGGAGGUUUUGUACUGACUACAGAGCACUCAACAAGGCCACAGUAAAAGACAGAUUUCCAAUACCAACAGUAGAAGACAUGUUAGAUGAAUUGCACGGUGCAACAUUCUUCACCAAACUAGACCUCAGAGCCGGCUACCAUCAGGUACGGCUAAACUCAUCAGAUAUACAUAAGACGGCUUUUCGCACACACAAUGGCCAUUAUGAAUAUCUGGUCAUGCCAUUCGGCUUAUGCAAUGCUCCCUCUACUUUUCAAGCAAUUAUGAAUGCUAUUUUUCGGCCCCAUCUUCGGAAAUUUAUAUUGGUAUUUUUUAACGACAUCUUGAUUUAUAGUCCCACGUGGGAAUGUCAUUUGAAACACGUUAGACAGACCUUGGAAAUUCUUAAACAACAUCAAUUUUUUGUCAAGGCUAGCAAGUGCAAUUUUGGCCAGCAAGAACUUGAAUAUUUGGGACACAUCGUCACUUGCCAUGGUGUGAAGGUGGAUGAACAGAAAAUUGCAGCAAUGGUGUCAUGGCCAAAGCCACGGAAUAUUACAGAGCUAAGGGGAUUUUUAGGCCUAACAGGGUAUUAUCGCAAGUUCGUUCGUGGGUAUGGCCUGUUAGCCCGGGCCCUAACCAAUCUUCUUAAGAAAGGACAAUUCGGGUGGAAUACUGAAGCUGCAACAGCAUUUGAGCAAUUGAAACUUGCCAUGACUCAAACUCCAGUACUUUCUAUGCCUAAUUUUAACGAUGUUUUUGUUAUUGAAACUGAUGCGUCCGGUGAUGGCAUAGGAGCAGUACUGCAGCAAAACGGAAAACCAAUAGCUUACAUGAGUCGAGCGUUGGGUAUAACAAAAAAGACUUGGUCGACAUAUGCGAAAGAGAUGUUGGCAGUGGUAGAGGCGGUCAGAUUUUGGAGGCCUUAUUUACUGGGACAACGAUUUGUGAUACAAACAGAUCAAAAAAGCUUAAAAUAUCUCUUGGAGCAGAAGAUAGCAACUCCUGAUCAACAGCAAUGGAUGGUCAAACUCAUGGGUUACGAUUACGAAAUCCGAUACCGCCCCGGCAAGGAAAACGCUGCUGCCGAUGCACUCUCUAGAAGAACUGACAGCCCAACUCUUAAUCAUCUUUUUGUACCGCAGGUGUCACUAUGGGGAGAAAUUAAAAAGGCUAUGCAUGAAGAUGAUUAUCUAAAGAAGAUUGCACAGCAAGUUGAGACUCAACCCGACGGCCCUUACACGGCAAAAAACGGCCUCAUAUUCUUCAAAGGCAGGGUAAUAGUUCCGCGAAAGAUGCGUGACUUAUUAUUAUUUGAGGCCCACAAUACGAAAAUAGGAGGGCAUUCCGGAGUCCUUCGCACUUACAAACGCUUAGCGCAGCAAUUUUAUUGGCCCUCAAUGUUUCAAUCUGUUCAUGAUUAUGUAAGUAAGUGUGUUGUUUGCCAGAAGACGAAGAGUGAAACGCUACAACCAGCAGGGCUUCUUCAACCGUUGCCUGUUCCUUGCCAAGUGUGGGAGGAUAUUUCUUUAGAUUUUAUUGAAGGGCUGCCUAAUUCACAAGGAAGAGAUACAAUAUUUGUGAUAGUCGACAGGCUCAGUAAAUAUGCAUUCUUCCUUUCCUUAUCUCACCCAUUUACCGCUAAAUCUGUUGCUGAAAGAUUUGUUGACGGAGUGGUAAAACUACACGGCAUGCCCAAGAGUAUUGUAAGUGAUCGGGAUCCAAUAUUUAUUAGCAAAUUUUGGAGUGAAUUUUUUACACUGUCAGGCACACAAUUAACGAUGAGUUCAGCCUAUCAUCCGCAAACGGACGGCCAAACAGAGGUUGUUAACAGAUGUCUGGAGCAAUAUUUACGCUGCUUUGUCCACCAGUGGCCACGCAAGUGGAACAUGUAUCUGUCGUGGGCUGAGUUUUGGUACAAUACCACUUUUCAUGUAUCCACCGGAAUGACCCCUUUUCAAGCUCUCUAUGGCCGGCCUCCACCUUCUGUCCCCAUGGAUUCGAUCGGGUCUUCACCGGUUCACGAAGUCGAUCACGCCUUACAGACCAGAGAUGAGUUAUUGCGGCAACUAAAAUCUAACCUUGCUGCAGCGGCUAAUCGAAUGAAACAAACGGCCGACAAGAAAAGGAGGGAUGUCGAAUUCAAAGAAGGAGACAUGGUGUACUUGCGCUUGCAUCCGUACCGGCAAUCUUCAGUUUUUAAACGUGCACAUCAAAAAUUAUGCAACAGGUAUUUUGGACCAUAUCAAAUAAUUCAAAAAGUGGGGCCUGUCGCUUUUAAGCUCCAGUUGCCAGAAGGUGCCAAGGUCCAUUCUACAUUUCAUGUUUCAGUACUAAAAAAAGCAGUGGGAGAUUCGACAGAGAGCAGCACGGAGUUACCUCCUAUAGAUGAUGAAGGUGUGCUGGUUUUGGAGCCUAAAUCAGUUCUGGACACUCGGUGGCUUAAAAGAGGUGGUACUGUUAUUGAGCAAAGUCUGAUUCACUGGAACAAUCAACCAAUGGAAGAGGCCACUUGGGAAGAUACUGUCGUCAUUAAGCAGCGGUUUCCUUCGCUGACCCUUGAGGACAAGGGUCCUCUUUCAUGGGGGAGUGAUGAUAAGAAGCUACGCAGAACUAAUCGUGUAGCCAAACCCAACAGCAAGUACAUGGAAUAUGCAUGGGCACGUCAUUAGCCAUGCAACGUUUGAGAUGAUGAUCUGGAGCUGACUUCUUCAAAUUAACCGUUGCUUAUUUGGAGGAGAUCUUUCAUGCAAGUAUUUGUUUUGGUAUAUUUUGGAAUAAUAGUCAGGUUGUUGAGAUGUUGUUAACGACUUGAUUUAGUUAGCUUUGUUCAAGCCUUGUUUCACGGCUAAGGAAAUUAGUUUUGUAUUAGACUAUAAAUAAGCUCUUUUAUUCAAUAAGAAGAUCAUCAGAUUUUUAUUCCAAAAACAUUAUUUGUGGUAGUUCUCGCCCAAAGAAGAACAAGCAAUUUACUUUGUCAAUUCUGCUAGUUUUGACUGGGACCUCUAUUACCAGCCCAAUUUUCAGAAUUCUCCAAACCAGAGCAUCCUCAGCAUCAUCCAAAAUAUGCCCUCCAAUAUGCGGAAGUCUAAUUUCGAUCUCUUGAUCUCUCUAUGUUGGGUGGCUUGGUAUGCUCGAAACAAGUUUAUUUUCGAAGGUAAGAAGAUAGACCCAAGGCUCUCUGUAGCUAAAGCUGAAGCAGUGAUUGAUGCUUUCCAAAGAGCUAGGAAGCCUGGAGCCACUCAUAUCCAUAACAGCAGCAAAGUACCUCAGCAUAAGUGGAAUCCCCCUCCGAAGAAUGUUGUCAAGGUUAACGUGGAUGCAGCCAUCAACAGCAAGAGUCAAAUGGCAGGCUUAGGAGCUGUAAUUAGAGACUCAAAGAACAAAUUUGUAGCUGCAGGCAUCAUGCAAACUGGUUUGAAGGAGCAUGUCAACUAUGCAGAAGCUGAAGCCAUUGUAUAGGGUUUAAAGCUAGCUAGAAGGGCAGCUCUUUCCACUUUGAUCAUAGAGUCAGAUUGCCUAGAAGUGGUUGAGUUAGUAAACAACAUAAAGAGCAACAAAACAGGACAAUGGUGGAUAAUUGAAGAGAUCCAGAACUAAAAAAGUGAGUUUUGUAAUGUAAUUAUCAAUCAUAUCCCUAGAACCUAUAAUGUUUGUGCUCAUUCCCUAACAAAACUUACUGUGGGAGCAAAUACGCCUGCUGUCUGGUUAGACCAUAUUCCAACAGAGGUGAUGAAUGUUCUGAUUUAGUGUUGUUUUUAAUGGAAAGGAUUACUUUCUUCAAAAAAAAAAAAAGAAUAAGAAGAAAGCAUAAUGCGACCCUCCAACAGCUUAAUCUAUGGAAUUAUCGUGUUUUGUAAGUUAGGGUCCAAUGGCGUUUUGGCACAUCAUAUGAUAGACCACUAUAUUGCGUUGCUUUACAAAAGAUUAAUAUUUUUAAAAUUAUUAGGUAAGUUUAGGCUCAGUGGCACUUUAACUCAUGAUAUGAUAGUCCAGGUUUUCGAGGACCACUAUAUUGUAUUGAUUUAAAAAAAAAUUAAUAUUUUUUAAUAUUAAUAUUCUAAAUUAUAUUCAGUUAAAAUAUUAAAUAUUAAAUACAUUCUUAAUAUUAAUAUUCUUAGACGAAAUUCUUUUGCUGGCUUAAGAAUAAAAUAUUAAAUAAUUUUAUUUUUCUUUUAUUGUGUAACGUGGACCCAAAAAAAAAAAGGAAAUGAAUUUAAUAAAACCUUCAUUCCGCCACCAUCCAUGUUAAUUGUUUCCAAAUUCCAACCUCCGUACUCUCUUGAGGAGUUUCCCAUUCAUCAAUUAUUAUUUUUUAUAAUCCAUACCAUCCUGAUAUAAUUAAACACCAUUAAUAAUGUACCAGCCUUUAAAUAGUAAUUAAUUUAUUUAUCUAAUUCACCAAAUGUUUUUUCCGGUACAUAUCUCCAUUGGUAUCAAGAAGAAGCAGAACCCAAACAAAUGUUUCUUGCAUCUUCAUAUUUGUGCAAAUUCAUCCUUUCAUUGAGAAUAACCAUUUCCAGGCAGCAGUUGGCAAUCAAUUCAUGCGCACGUCGAUGCUAUUCAUAGAUAUUAAAGACAAUGAUGAACCAAAGGUGAUAAAUCAUAAAUGCAUAAUUACCAAACCUCCAUCCUUCUCUCAUUAUGAUUUGAUUUUAAAUGAAUUAUUGCUUGGUAACAUUAUUUCCAACCAUUGCAAGCCCUUUUUUUUUUUUGGGAGAAAUUUCAAUUGAAAGUGAAACCUUUAGACAUUUACCUAAUGAAGUUAGUUAAUCGGGAGGGUGGAAAAAAAAAAGGUUGACGCAAGUCAAUACACAAUAAUUAAUUAAAUCCGGAGUGACUAAAACAGAGCCACGACUUUUUCAAAAAUAUCUGCAUUCAUCACUUUCUCCUCGUUUGUUGUCAUCCAAAAUUAUUCACCAAUACCAUGGCUGAUGCAAUCGUUUCCACUAUCUUGGAGCAGCUGAUUUCCUUCGCUGCUGAAGAGAUAAAACAACAGGUGAUCGAAGUUACACCCCUCAUAUUACAAAUACUUCCAAUGAUUUUAAUUGGUUUUGUUUUUAUCAAAAACAUUAUAUAUUUUUGCUUUAUUUUAUUUAUCUGGUAAUUUUAGAUUUUGAAAUUUGAAUUGAAUUUAAUUAAAAGGUCAUGUAGUAACCACUUAUUUUUAUUUUAUUUCAUUUAUAUUCUCAAUAACUAACCAUAUUUUGGUAACUUAAUAUAACUCUCGUACAUAAGAAAUGAUCAAAACCCACAAUUUUAACUCUGUAUAAAUAUUCAACGUUGAGUCAUUAAUUCUCAACUCAGCACUGAAUCCCAAAGCUAUUACUUAGACUCUAUGAAAAAAUUCAUAGUUUUCUUACAUUCUUUGAGUUUGGUAAGUGAUUUCGUAUAAUUUCUUUUCAAGUUAAAUUUUAAUUUGGUUUAUGAUAUAGUCUCUGUGCCGAAUUGUAUCUUUUAUGAUUCUUGGAUUUUGGGCUCCAACUUUUUAGGAUUUGAUAGUCAUAUUUUAUGCCAUGCUCAGAUUGAUUUUCAUGAUUUUUAGUAGCCGUUAAGUGACUUACAAUUUGACGAAAGUUUGAAAGGAAAAAUGUUUCAGGAUUAUGUUUUAAUUGACCUUUUAGUAGAAAUAGGAUGCUUAUAACUUAAUGUGGAUGGUUCGUAAAAUCAUGAAAUUUGGAUAGGAUUCACUAGAAAUAUGUACAAGACUCUCCAUAAAGUUUCAUAAUUUUUCAUUCGGUAUGGGGUGGCACAGGUGAAACUUGUGUUUGGUGUUGAAAAAGAAGUGAAAAGCCUUACCAGCCACCUUCAAGCCAUUCAAGUUGUGCUCGAUGAUGCAGAGGAAAAGCAAGUGAAGGACAAAGCUGUUAGUCUUUGGCUGGGUAGGCUCAAGUACGCAUCCUACGACAUUGAAGAUGUGUUGGAUGAGUGGAUCACAGCAAGACGCAAAUUGCAAAUUGAGGGUGGCGUUGAUGAAAAUGCUCUUGUUGUUCCUCAUAAGAAAAAGAAGGUAUGUCUCUGCUUUCCCAGCUCUUGUUUUGGAUUCAAACAAGAAGAAUUUGGUUUCAAACAAGUCUUUCUCCGUCAUGACAUUGCCGACAAGAUCAAAGAAAUCAAUGAAGAGCUACAUGAUAUUGCCGCUCAAAAAGACAUGUUUGAUCUUGUUAAGAGUGGCAAUAAAAGUAGUGAAAGACCAAGGCGUGUACAGAGUACCUCCUUGAUUGAUGAGGAAGAGAUUUGUGGUAGAGUUGGUGAGAGGAAUGAACUCAUAAGCAAGCUGUUGCGUGAGAGUAGCGAGCAACAAAAAGGCCUCCAUAUCAUCUCAAUUGUUGGUAUGGGAGGCAUAGGGAAAACUACUCUUGCACAACUAGCUUGUAAUCAUGACGAGGUGAAGAGAAAGUUCGACAAAAUUCUGUGGGUGUGUGUAUCAGAAACUUUUGAGGAGUUUAGGGUAGCCAAAGCGAUCGUUGAAGUUUUGGAUGGUCGUGAAUCUCAUUUAGCUGAAUUCCAUUCUCUUCUUCAACAUAUUUAUGAAUCAAUUGCAGGGAAGAGCUUUCUUCUUGUCUUAGAUGAUGUGUGGGAUGGAAAUUACUUGAAAUGGGAACCAUUCUACCGUUGUCUAAAGAAUGGUCUCCAUGGAAGUAAAAUUUUAGUUACCACACGCAAAGGGUCAGUCGCAUCCAUGAUGGGAUCCACAGAUAUUAUCUCUGUCAAGGAGUUAGCUGAAGAGGAAUGUUGGUUGUUGUUUAAAAAGAUAGCAUUUUUUGAUCGGUCCAUCGAGGAACGUGAAAAAUUAGAACAAAUUGGGCAAAGAAUUGCAGGCAAGUGCAAAGGUUUACCUCUUGCAGCAAAGACAAUAGGGAGUCUCAUGCGUUCUAAACAAACUGAAGAAGAGUGGAAAAGAAUUUUAAAUAGUGAUUUAUGGAAAGUAGAAGAGAUUGAGAAAGAUGUUUUGUCCUCUUUAUUGUUGAGUUAUAAUGAUUUGCCAUCUAGAGUAAAAAGAUGUUUUUCAUAUUGUGCUGUCUUUCCAAAAGACUACGAUAUAAAAAAAGACGAACUAAUCACAUUAUGGAUGGCUCAAGGUUAUCUUAGUGCAGAACAAGAUGAAGAGAUGGAGACAAUAGGUGAAGAGUAUUUUGGCAUCUUAGCUUCUCGCUCGUUUUUUCAAGAGUUUAAGAAAAGUUAUGAUAAUCGGAUUAUAGCGUGUAAGAUGCAUGAUAUGGUACAUGAUUUUGCCCGAUUUGUAAGUCAAAAUGAAUGUUUUUCGAUGGCAAUUAAUGGUAGUGAAGAACCAAACGCCACAAACUCUCUUGAUGAAAAGGUCUGUCAUUUAAUGUUAAUCUUUAGUAAAGGGGCUUCAUUACCUGUUUCCACUCGUAGAGUUAAAAGAAUGCGUACCCUCUUAAUUAGCGCUAGUGGAUCUGAUCAUUCAUCAUUAAAUGCUGAGAUCGUAGAAGAAUUAUUUAGGGAAUCGACAAGUUUAAGGGCAUUAGAUGUUAGCCAGGUGUCUUUGCCUACAGAGAUUUUAAGAAAUAUAAAAAAGCUGGUACAUUUAAGAUACCUUAAUUUGCGUUUUCCGAAAAUAGUGAAACUACCGGAGACAUUGUGCGAGUUAUAUAAUCUAGAAAAGUUAGAUAUUAGUUAUUGUUUUAAUCUUAAAGAAUUACCUGAAGGGAUUGGGAAGUUAAUAAACAUGAAGCAUUUACUAAAUAGAGGUACUAAUUCUUUAAGGUACAUGCCAGUAGGGAUUGGGAGAUUAACGGGUCUUAGGACCUUGGGUGAGUUCCGCGUGAGUGCAGGAGGAGAUGUUGAUGGUAGGAAAGCAUGUAGGCUUGAAUCUCUUAAAAACUUGGAACACCUUCAAGUAUGUGGUAUACGUAGACUGGGUGAUGUAUCAGAUGUGGGCGAGGCUAAGCGAUUAGAACUUGACAAAAAGAAAUACCUCUCUUGUUUGAGACUUCGGUUUGAUAAGAAGAAAGAAGGAGGAGAAAGGAGGAAGAACGAAGACGAUCAACUACUUCUUGAAGCCCUGCGACCAUCUCUGGAUUUAAAGGAAUUAGAGAUACAGUUCAACCGAGGCAACACUGUUUUCCCCAGCUGGAUGACGUCAUUAACCAACUUAAAGAGUUUAGGUCUCUCUUUGUGCGAAAAUUGCGAGCAGUUGCCUCCUUUGGGAAAAUUGCCAUCCCUCGAACAGCUCUUCAUAUCGUACAUGUCGAGUGUGAAAAGAGUGGGUGAUGAAUUUCUGGGGGUAGAAAGUGAUCGUCAUGACUCAUCGUCAUCUUCAUUAGUUAUUAUUGCCUUCCCCAAAUUGAAAUCACUUAGAAUUGAGGGAUUGAUGGAAUUGGAGGAGUGGGAUUAUGGGAUUACAAGAACGGGAAACACCGUCAUCAACAUCAUGCCCCAUCUUUCUUCCUUGGUAAUUGAUAGUUGCUACGAAUUAAAGGCACUGCCCGAUCACAUUCAUCAAACGACGACAUUGAAGCGAUUGUGGAUUUUGAAUUGUGGGCCUCUGGGAGAACGUUACCGCACGGGGGAAGGAGAAGACUGGCCUAAUAUAUCACACAUUCCCAACAUACAUAUUCGUUAAGAAGGAUUUGCGCAUUUGAGAUUUGGCGUUGACAAGUAAUUUCUUCUCUUACUCUGAUUUGCUUUUGUUGUUGUUUUUAAUCUAGUUAAGAAGUGUAAAUAGCAUUUUGAAUCAAACUCUAUAUCAGAAAUCUGCAAUACAUACUUUCUAAUAUUCUGAUUUUCAUAUCCUAUGAAUAUACGAUUUUUAAUUUGUGAGAUGGGUAACGUUACUGUAAAAGAUUAUUAAUGCAAUAUGAGUAAUUCUUUUGCAGGACAAGUGACCUACAUUUAGUUUGGCUUUGGAGUUGAAUAAUAACCUUUCGAGGUCCCGACAAACAAAAAACGAAGCUUAAUUUGCCACAGAUUGCACGUAUUGCCAUUAUUGACAAUUUUCUGCACAAGUGAUCGAGGGUGAGGUCCUGUCCUGAAUAAAGCUCUCGUGACUGAACUUAGGUUGAUGUCAAAAGAGGUAAAUUAUCGGCAUGCCUGACUAUUUUGACCAUUACAUGAUUCAUAAAUUGAGUGAUUACUUUUCAAGGUUUGCUUACUUAACCGGGUGACCAAUUUCUUGUAACUAAAUGUAUGAUAUGAAAUGAGAAGCUUAUUAGUGGAAGGAUUGCCUGUAACAGAACCCAAAGAAAAUGAAACCAUUUCAAGGCAGCAGCCGGCAGUUGGGAGUGAAUGGAGGGCCUUCACAAAAUUCUCAAGCAGUUGCAAUGCAAUUACGAUCAUCCUCAGCCUCAGGUAAUUUCUUCUCCUGCUUUGUUUUUAUUUGUUACCUAAUUAAGAAGCAUUAUUUGUUUUUAUUUGUUACCUAAUUGAAGGACAAGUGCUGAAGAGUGGGAAUGGUGCUAUAUUGGGGAAUAAUGCAGGAGGAGGUAAAUUAUUGGGAGUUUCUUCAACCUUGUUUUCUUUGAACCAGCGCCUGAUCCACAAGACUCCGUUAAUUUGGCUUUUGAUCGGCUGAUUGAUAAAUUUUCAAUUUCUUUUGUGAUAAAUGUAUAUGUGAAGCAGGCAGCAGGACAUGACUGUGGAAAAGAGAAGAUCUUAGUGAAAGCUGAGACUCAGAUAUUUCUACAAAGUAUGUGUUUUGGCUGAUUUAUCUAAUUCAUGAAAUUUUAUUUCCAUCUGUUACAAGAUCAAACUGAAGCAGAACUCAAAGAAAAGUAUUCUACUUCUUACGGCAAUCUUGCCUUCGUUCAGAUUAUGGAACCAUUUCCAUGCAGCAAAUUCAUCCAAAAGUUUGAAUAAGUUUCAUGGUUGGACACUGUUGGCUUCUUUUUCUUUUGGGGUGCAUUUAGGUGCUAUCAAGUGACAGCCGUAAGUAUGAUUGCACUAAGCUGCUGCUGGGAAAUUCGAGGUUUUGAUGGCUGCCCACGUUAUUGUCAAGAAACUCCUCAUGUAAGAAGUUGUAGUUCUUUUCAUCAGCUUGAACCUAAAACUGUCGCUAUUGAUAACUCAGGUUUUUGUUAUCAACUAUAUCAUCUUUUUCACUGUUUUGAAACUCUUUAAGAUUAAACUUCAGUAAAGUUCUUUCAGUUAUCCACAUAAUCAGGCUGAGGAUACUUUAGUAAAGUUGCUUCAGCUAUUCAAAUGAAAAAUCUCAUUGAUUUGAGACUUCCUUCAUUAUUGUUUUUGAUUAAAAUGCUAAGGGUCCAGAUAAAAUAAUAUUUAAUUGGUGGAAGGUGUCCCUUGGAAGUACAUCAUGAUUAGCUGUUGUGCUAAUCAUGCCAAUGCAUAAUUCGGCCCCUAAUGUGGGUACUCUGUUACAUUGUUCUGCAAAUUCUCCAAAAAAGUUAAAUCAAUAAAUUUUGUAUUAGCUAGAUUAGCUCUAGGUUGUGAGGAGUCUGUCAUAUGGGAGAACCCAUUUCCAGAAAAUAUCUGGUAUUUGUUCCAGUCUUCUAAUGAAUGAAAGUUAUGAUUCCUUUUCAAAAAAAAAAAAGAAUUUUGUAUUAGUUCUAGUGCGUUGACCUAAAUGCUAUUCUAUAUUUUAGUGCCUUAAUUCUAGAACCUUGGCUCCUGCCAGAGCAUGCGGAGAUAAUGGUAGGGAGAGUGUUUGUGUAUUUUAACCAUGAUAAAGCUAAUGUUCCCAAUGAUUUCUGCUGGUGAGACUUGUGAAGAGGGUGAAUGAGGCAACUGCUAAUAUUCCUGGGUGGGAUACAGUAACUAGAGGCUGAGAUCAGGUGGUGGAAUUUUUUGUUUGAUCGAUGAUACCAGAAUUGUCCACAAAAAGUUUGUUGAUACAAAUUACAGGUGAUAGAAAGAGGUAUAGGUGGAGAAGAGAAAUCUGCGAGUCAAAUUAGGGAUAAUUGAUUUGCUGAUGCAAGUUACAUUGAAUAAUAAUAAUAACAAUUGCAUGAAGAUCCCUUAUUAAUCUUGUGUUCUCCUAUCUUUUACAUUCAGCUGGUAUACUUAAGCCUUGCUUGUGGAAUGUUUUAACCUUUAAAUUCACUACCCCUGGAUGUUGGAUUUUCUAGAACUUCAAAAUGAUUAAUGGAGAAAGAUCCCAUUAUCGAUAUCGCUAUAAGAAAUUUUAUUUAUACUUCCAAAGAUACAUUAUAUAUUUAUGUGUAUCUCUUUAUACAUGACAUUUAAGCAUCCAUAAACUGUCAGACAGAGGAAGGGGGUUGAGUGUAAAGAUUCUGUUGACCUAGGGGUUGCCUGCUUAAUGUCACUUGUUAGUGAUCUAUUAUUUAUUUCAUAUUUUGAAGAAUUUAAAGGGCAAUCCUGCUUGUUUGUGUUGUUAUCUCCUUCUAACUUACGGUCGUACCUAAAGAGCAUAGUUUCAUAUGUGUUACCCUGAGAUGUACAGAAUUUCACAUUUGCCUCAGAUUAAGCUUAAUUUCCCACAGAAUAGAGCUGUUGUGACUGAACUUAGGUUGAUGUCAAAAGAGGUAAAUUAUUGGCAUGCCUAGAUAAUUUGACCAUUUCCUAAUUCAUAAGUCUACAUUAAUUUUGAUUUUGAGUUGACUGAUUUCUUUUCAAGGUCUGCUUACUUAACGGAGUGACCAAUGUUUUUCAACUAAAUUUAUCAUAUGAUGCAGGAAGCAGGGCAGGAUAUGAAAUGAGAAGCUCAUUGGUGGAAGUAUUGCCUGUAACAGAACCCAAAGAAAAUGAAACUAUUUCAAGGCAGCAGUUGGCAGUUGCAAGUGAAUGGAGGCCCUUGCCAAAAUUCUCAAGCGGUUGCAAUGCAAUUACGAUCAUCCUCAGCCUCAGGUAAUUUCUUCUCCUGCUUUGUUUUUAUUUGUUCUCUAAUUAGGAAGCAUAAAGUAUCUUGAAUCAUUUUCUGUAUCUGGAAUAUAUGCAAGAGUUUCUAAAAUUUUGAUAUGAGUGUAAUGAUGGUAAUUUCUGUUUUCUGUCUGUCAUCAAAUGUUAGAAAACUUUCAUUGAGACCCUUGAACCGAGUCAUUUUUGACAAGUGAAGUGCUGAAGAGUGAGGAGUAAGAAUGGUGCUAGAUUGGGGAAUAAAGCAAAAGGAGGUAAAUUAUUGGCAGCUUCUUCAGCCUUAUUUUCUUUGGACCAGUGCCUAAUUCACAAGUCUCCGUAAUUUGGCUUUUGACCAGUUGAUAGAUAAAAUUUUAAUUUCAUUGGUGCUAAUGUACCCGUGAAGCAGGCAGAGAAGGACUGUGGAAAAGAGAAGGUUUUUAGUGAAAGCUUAAACUCAGGUAAUUCUAAAAAUUAUAUGUUUUGGCUGAUUUAUCUAAUCAGGAAAUUUUAUUUCCAUCUGUUACAAUAAAACAGAAACAGAACACAAAGAAAAAUAGUCUACCUCUUGUGGCAAUCUUGCCUUCAUUCAGACUAUGAAACCAUUUCCUUUCACCAAUUUCUUCCAAAAGUUUGAACACGUUUCAUGGUUGGACAUAGUUAGCUUCUUUCUCUUUUGGUGCAUUUAGGUGCUAUCAAGUGACAGCCAUAAGUAUGAUUGCAUUAUUGGGAAAUUUUAGGUUUUGAUGGCUCCCCAUGUUAUUGCCAAGAAAUUUUAAGUCCUCAUGUCAGAAGCUGCGUUUCUUUUCAUCAGCCUGAACCCGAACCUGUCACUAUGGAUAACUGAGGUUUUUGUCAUCAACUAUAUCAUCUUUUUCACUGUUUUGAAACUGUUAAGAUUAAACUUCAGUAAAGUUGUUUCAGUUAUCCAUGUAAUCAGGCUAAGGAUAUUUAGCAGCUUAUUUAGGCAACUGCCAGAAUUUAGUUUGUUCGCUCGAAACUUGUAUGGUGACAAGGAUACUGGCAAGGAUAGUGAGAUAGUUUUUUGUGUGAGUGAAUUUUGAAAGCUUGGGUGUUCUGGGAUUUGCAAUUGCAAUCAUCCUCUGCUUUAGGUGAUUUCUUCUCCUGUUCUGUCUUUAUUUUCUCUCUAAUUGAAAGCAUUUCAAUCAAAUUCUGUACCAGGAAUACGAAAAAUUUACUAAUAUUUUAUUUCCAUCUGUUUGCAUUGAUAACUUGGCCGCAUAUGUACUAGUUAAAGAACAAACAGAAGCAGAGUUCAGGAAAAAGUUUCUUCGGCCACCAUAUUUGAAAAUGAAACCAAUUCCAGGAAGCAGUUGGCAGCAAAUUCAUACAAAGUAUAGACAAUGAUGUGCAAAAAGGUGAUUCGCAAUUUCAUUUUUUUAAAAUGAAAUUAUUUGUUAAGUUGGAGCUGAUAUUGUUAGAAGGCCAUUGAGCUAACCUAUGACACUGCUUGCCUAGAUUGCAGGAGGUCAAGGCUCAAAAGAUGCACUGAAUUUUAAAAGGCAUGCAAUAAUUCUUAUGGCCAUUUGUCAAUGGUGGAAUGCUUUUAGCUUCUUUUCCUUUCGUGCAUUUUGGGGUUCUAUCAAGCGACAGCCGUAUGUAUGGAUGGAUAUAGCUGCUGCGUUGAUUUCUAAUGCGGUGGAGUAAUCGUCGUUAGAAUCUGAAUGAUAUGUCUAAGACGUUGCAUGCAUCAAGAAAAUUGCAGAUGAUUAAACCUUGCCAUCUAUGCGUUGUAUGAGGUUAUAGCAACUAUCUAUCUGGUCACCGUUUUAAAAGAAUAAGACAAAGGGAAAAAGAGAAAGAAAAGAAUGAUUCGACAAUGGCAUUAAAGUUCAACAUACCCCAAGAUCUUGUAAUAAUGCCAUUAAUCAUUUCUAGCUAGGCUAGCCUUAGAGAAAAGUGAAACUGUUGCACAGGUAGAAUCACACCCCUCAGAGAUAAUGUGUUUUUAUUCAGCUCUUCGAAUGAAUGAAGUUUAUUUUCUCGUCAAAAAAAAAACUGCUCGUUCCGCUGGUUUCAUACAAUGUCAACUAGAAACAUCAUACUUUCGUAUAAGUUCAUUAUUGUUUCUUGGAAAUAUCAGAAUAUUUCUUAGAGUUUGUAUAAAAUGAAAAGAUUUUAAAAUAUAAAUUUAAUAUUUGUUUAUUACCGUUGUUUGGUCUAAUUUCCUCGGGAGAAUUUUCAGAAUUUAUAGGACAUUAGUUUAUAAUUUGCGCAUUGACAUAUAUCUUAUUUUAUCAUUUUGAAUGAAUUGCACGGCGAGGCUUAUCAACUUUGGAUGAAUCCUCCAAUUGUCGCAGUCCAAGACUGGCUGCAGUGAGUGAAAAUUUACCCAUAUAUAUGCUGGCUAUUUUUAUUGGCGACGAAUUCGUUGUAGUUGGUCCAUCUUGCUAUUCUCGGACAAUAUUAGAGAAAAUAAUCAUAUUAUUUCGCGUGAUGUGACCUUCCAUAACUUAUCAAUUGAAUUACUGUAAAAUUAUUGUGUAAGUUUAGGCCCAAUGGCACUUUAGUUCGAUAGCCUGGAUUUAAAAGGAAAACUAUAUUGCAUUGCUUCAAAAAAAAAAAAUUAAUGUUUUUAAUAUGAAUAUUCUUAACUAUAUUCAGUUAAAAUAAUAUAUUCUUAAUAUUAAUAUUCAUAGAUGAAAUUCUUUUGUGGAUUUAAGAAUAAAAUAUCAAAUAGUUUUAUUUUUCUUUUGUUGUGUAACUUGGACCGAAAAAGAAAAUGAGCUUAACAUGACCCUCCUUCCGGCACUAUGCAUGUUUUUCUUUUAUUGAUGACAGUGCUCUUGGUGCUUCUCAUCUGCUUCUUGCUUUGGUUUCAAACAAGUCUUUCUCCGUCGAGACAUUUAUUGUAAUUUGAUUUGGAGACAUCUGUCGUUCAAAUAUAUUUCAUAUGCAAGCUGUUGAUAAUUCUGCUUGAGAAAGCCUACAAAGCAGCUGUGUGAUGUAAUAGAAGACUAUAUAUGCAAACGGUCAUCAGUUUCUCUUGAAUUCUUUCUUGAGUUUCUUUGAAUUAUUUGUGAAUGAGUUCUUAAUCGGCUGCUGCUCUUCAGGAAAAGGAAAGUGUUGCAAACUGGUGAAGCUGAUCGAUAAAAGCAAUGUACCAUCUUUGCUGGCAUGGAUCGAUGCCAGUGAGUUUUUUUAUUUGUCAACCUUUUUAAUAAUGCAUAUGUUUUUCUUCAACUUGAAGCGGCAUAUAAGACGAAAGAAGUGAUCUUUAAAGCAUUCUAUGGCAUUAUCCUUUCCUAUUAUAUAUAUCCAAUUGCUCCAAAUUAUUUGUAAAUUACUGAACACGAAUGCUGAUGAAUAAACUGAUGGCUCUAUGUAUGUAUGCACAUGCAUGGAGAAAUUUUAAGUCAGACAUUCUCAUAUAUAACUCGUGGGACCAAAUCAUUAAAUAAUCUUGAAAUCAAAGUAAUAAUUAAAUACAAAUAAAUUGCUCGAAUUGUACAUAUAUCUGAAUCAUGUAGUGAAGAAAAUACAACAACAACAACCAAUGGCUCAAAUUCCCCAUCAACUUCUAGUCUCAACACUUUUGAGUGUCAGAAGCAUUACUCUGCUACCAGUUAACAAACAUAUAAUUAGUAAUUUGCCAUUCACUUCCCUUUUAGGCCUAACACAUUUUCUAUAAAGGAGCCACAGAGUGAACUCAGCAGGAAACACUCAAUUUCAACCUACGUAGGACCAGGAAUUUCAACAAAAAAAAAAGUGUGCAAUUGCUUAUCCUAUCCUAUUGCUACUAGAAAGAAAGUGAACAAUUAAUUUCAGUGAAUAAAUUAAAAAAAAUUACUUCUGCAGAUACUCAAGCUAAGAACACAUUAACCCAUUAAAGACUCCAAAUUGCAUCAAACAAAUUGUUGUUAAACAAGUAAAACAAAGAAAGAGAGUUAAGGAAGCUGACCUAGUAGUAGGGGAGCUGAAGAAAGACUGCCAGUGAAUGUAAGAGAAAAUAAAAUGCAAGAAAUGGUGAAGUGCAGCUUUUCAUGUCAACUUGAAAUUGUUUCUUCUGUUUUUUGUAAUCUUUUGGAUUUUUCAAACAAAGAAAAUGAGGAGCAACCAGGGAGAUAAAAAGGGCGCCAAGGCAACUGUGUGUUGGGUUUAGAGCCAAAAAAAAAAAAGAAUAAGACAUCGUGUUCUUGUGGAGACCAGACCUAUUACGUAUAGGGAUGGCAAUGGGGCGGGGUGGGGGUGGGGAUGCCUACCCCAUUCCCCACCCCAUUAAAAAUUUUUGCCUCCAUUCCCCACCCCAUUCCCCAAUAAAUUUAGUGGGUUGGGGAUGGGGAAUCCCCACGUGGGGAAUGAUUCUCCCAUCCCCACCCCAUUCCCCAUUUACAUAUUUUAUAGUAGAUAUAAAAAUAUGAUUUCAGUAAAUUAAAAAUUAGAGACUUAAGAUAAAAUCAUCACAAUAUUAUAAAGUAUUUAAUUUUAAAAAAAAAUCUCUAAAAAUUUGAAACAAUAUCUUAAAAUGAUAUUAAAAGUGAAAAAUAUUUAAAGAAAGCAGCACCUUAAAAGAGAAAAGAAAAUAUAUUAAUGUUUUAAAGUUGAAAAAUAUUGUAGAAUUUUCUUUUAUUCAUAUUCUAUUUAUAUUACAUAAAAAUUAAAAAAAAUUAUUAAUUGACAUUAUAGUUGAUAAAAUAUAAAUUAUUAAAUAAGAAUUAAAAACAUAUUUAUAUAUAAUGGGGAUUGGGGUGGGAGUGGGGUGGGGAGUGCAAUACCAAACCCCACCCCGUUAACAAUUUGGGGAUUAUUUUUUCCCCACUCCCCACCCCAUUCCCCAAAAAUUAUUAAAAAAUUUCCCCAUUUGGGGUGGGGCUCCAUGGGGCCCCAAACCCGUGGAGGAUUUUGCCAUCCCUAAUUACGUAACGUCCCCUUCAAUACCACUUGUUCCGUAUCUGGUUUUUUCUUCGUCUUUUACAUAUUUAUCCUGUGAUUUUACAAUAACUAAAUAAUCCCCGCAUAGUUUGCAAUUUUAUUCAUUUGGGCCCUACAGAUUUCAGUAAUAGGAAUUAUUAAGGGACAAGAGCGCAAAACAGAAACUCUGUCCACUACUGAUGAUAUAACAACGAACCUUUGUAGUUUCUGCCUGUUAAUAUGAAUUGAUCAGGAGUGUUUCCUCACUUACAAAUUACGAAUUUACAAAAUAUGUAUGUAAGUAUGUGUGUACGUACGUGUGUAUGUAUGUACAUAUAUGCAUACACCUAUGUAACAUUUACUUAUACAUUCUUUUGAGUUUAAAUCUUAAUACACAUUUUCAUGAAAUUUUUAUUUUAUUAAGUAUACAACUACAUACAACUACAUUAAUGUAUAUAUUUUUUAUAUAAGACAUGCCGUCCUAUUAUUCAUAAGUAAACAAUGUGUUGUAAAUAGUAUUCUGUGUUUUCUCAAAGUUGACUUUUCGUCUUUUAUUUUCAGACGCAGACGCUAUGUCAUUUUGUAAUCUUCAAAACAUAUGCAGAGCAGAAUUGGUGUUAUAUGAUUUUGUGAUGCAAUAAGAUUUGCACUUCCUGUGCACUCAAUGGAAUCAUUUCUUUGUAACUAAUUGGGUGGUGGAAUGGUGGUCAAAUAUCGAACGAAGACAGAUCUAUCAAACUCCAGAAACAGGGAAACCAUGCCACGCUAGUAGACAAUAUGCUAGUAUGAACAAACUUGUUUGAAUGGCAAAAACGACAUGACCUGCUGUAGUAUUAGUUCUUUCCCGAACCAAAGGGUGAUUUGCUACGUUAGAUCAUGAAAAUUGAAAAAAAAAAUUAACCAAAAUAAAAAUUCUUACGGUAAGAAUAAAAAUUCUUAAGGAAUUAGUUAGUUAAUUGAUUGAUCGAAUUUAAUCUAAAUUGGAAAAUGAUAAGAUAAUUUUGAAUUUUUUAUUAUAAUUAUUAUUUUAAAGUGGGGUGGGUUUAUACAAUUUGAGGCUUUGAGCGGUGUAAAUAUCACUGCUGAAUUAUUAAAUAUACAGUGUAAAAUUUUGACCUUUAAAAUAUUCCUUUUUUUCAUUUAGCACUAUAAGUUUAAAAAUUUAACAUUUUACCUCAAUAAUUAAAUACUUUUAACUUUAAUCUUCAAAUAUUUACCCUACAACAUUCGGACCUAAAUUUUUAAUCCGACUCGGCCCCUGACCCAAGUGGGAAGAAGAUCAGGCUUAUAAGUUAUAACUAUCACCAACAUAACAUCUUCUGGAAAAUAAUAAGAUUACUCACCUGCAAUUAUGUGAUCAAACUAAUGGUAAGCAAAAUAGAACAGCGUUAUUUCAGUCCCCUUUCAGUUUCUUUAUCAUUUUUCUUUUCCUAUUUAUAAGCUUAAUUCGGUCCAAUAUCGGCUAAUUCACUUUGAUUUCACUUUUCUUUCUUUCGGUUCAAAAAAAUUGAACCCAUUGGCUGUCAAUUCAAUUUUGUUGAAAACCAACUUUGCCUGAAUUUGAGUAAUAAUAGAGGAAAAAAAAAGUGUACUUAGCAGAAGAGAUUUCUCAUUUUUUUCUCAUUCAAACUUCUAAAAUAAAGGGAAAAAAAAAACAAGAGUAAUUGUUAAUUAUCAAAAAUUUGUUUAUACUAUUCCACCAAGAAAAUUAUAAAAAAAAAAUUUAAAAAUUGGAGAAGAAAUAUGAGGUGAAAUACGUGGAUGGCUUAGACUAAUAAUGUGAACAAAUUCCUCUCGGAAACAUGUCAUUGUUCAUCCGGACAACACGCGGCAAUGAGAUUCAAGAAUUAAAUGAUAGGAAUCAACUGUAACCUCAUAAACAAAUGGCCUUGGAGUUGUAAACACCAAGCUCGGCAGAUUAAUUAAACAAGAAUAUCCGAAUUUUCUAUGAUAAUCUCUAGGAAACGAUCAGCUAUAAUAUACGAAAUUAAAAUAUUGCAUAUAUUUUUGAACUCAUGCAUUAAUUUCAAAAAUUAUAUCGUAUUAUAAUUUAUUCACAAAAGAAAGAAAAAUUCACUAAUCAAUUGAAUAAAUAUAAGUAUUUCAUCCAGUGUAAUACUUAUAUCAAUUGAAUAAAUAUAAGAAAAAUCACCAAAAUUCACUAAUCAAUUGGAUAAAUAUAAGUAUUUCUUCCAGUGUAAUUUUUGUUUAAUAGAAAAUCUAUUUGAGAUUUUGUGAGAAGAAACUCAACAAUAAAGUGUGAUAGACUUUGUGGGUAUUAAGAGUUUGACAAGUAUUUGAAAUCUGAAGUUUACGAGCAAACAAACUGAAAUCCGAAGUUUACUGAAGUUUACUAUCAAGAGUUUCAAAACAGUGAAAAAGAUGAUAUAGUUGAUGACAAAAACCUGAGUUAUCCAUAGCGACAAGUAACAUACUGAAGUAAGCCGUUGGGAGCUGGCCUGUUCAUGGGCUAUUUUUCUCUGAUGAUCUGCAUUUUUCUUCCUUUUAAGUGAACCUUGACUCGUAUCAAACCUGUCAAAAGAACAGUUCAUCAACUGAGCUGAGAUUUGCUUUCCUUUUUCAAAACCCACCUGAGAUAUUGUAAUUCCCAAAUUUCUCUCUCUCAGCUACACGAGCAAGCAGCCGCUUUUUCACUUCAUCGAAGAAGGUAAGCGAUAUAUCUAUUUCGUCCGAUUGAUUUCUUGUUUCCUUUUCAGUGUUCCGGUAAAUUAUUGGCAUGCCUGACUUUUUGACCAUUACACGAUUCAUAAAUUUAUAUUAAUUUUGAUUUUGAGUUGACCGUUUACUUUUACAGGUUUGCUUACUUUGACUAGGUGACCAAUUUCUUGUAACUAAAUUUAUGACGUGGGCAGGAUAUGAAAUGAGAAUCUUAUUAGUGGAAGGAUUGCCAGUAACAGAACCCAAAGAAAAUGAAACCAUUUCAAGGCAGCAGUUGGCAGUUGGCAGUGAAUGGAGGCCCCUGACAAAACUUCAGUAAACUUCAGAUUUCAGUUUGUUUGCCCGAAAAUUGCAUGGUGACAAGGAUACUGGCAAGGAUAAUGAGAUAGUUUUUGUGUGAAUGAAAUUACGAUCAUCCUCAGCCUCGGGUAAUUUCUUCUCCUGCUUAGUUGUUAUUUGUUACCUAAUUAAGAAGCAUAAAGUAUCUUGAAUCAUUUUCGUUGUCCGGAAUAUAUGCAACAGUUUUUUACGAUCAUCCUGAAUGACUACUAGAGACAGUCAAGCUAAUGACUAUAAAUUAAGCGCUUCUUGGGAGGUAACCCAAGCUUUCUAAACUUUAUUAUUGUCAAUUUUUUUUCAUAUUUUUUUCUUUUCUUUUACUUAUUUUAUUUUGUUUUAUCUAGAUUUUGCACGAGUUCGAGGGUCGAUGAACAUCAACUUUCCACAUGUCUUUCAACGGCUUAGCUACAACUUUACAUCUUCAAGUGCAAAACCGGGGGAGUUUCUCUUUUCCUUUUCUUUUUCUUUACAUUGAGGACAAUGUUUAUUUUAAGUUUGGGGGUGGGAAUAUUUGCUUUUCAUUUUUUUCCCAAAAAAAAAAGAUUUUAAUGCCUAUGAUGAGUUUAUGAUUGAAAAUGAAUAUGGUUCUUAGAAAGGGAUGAAUAUUAUCUUAGUUUAUACUUGAUUCUUGUGUUAGUUUCGUCUUGAUUGAGAUUCUUUAAAGCGAUUCUUUUAGAAUUUUGACUUGAGAUUUGAGAUUGAUACAGCCUAAGUUGAGAAUUUUAGAUUGAGUAAAUGAUUGUUUGCCUCGAUUCUACAUUACUUAAGUUUACCCAGGCACCAUAGUCAGAAAUAGCUACCUACAACCCUUAAGAGUGAAGCUAUCCUCGAGUAAUUUGGGCCUAUGUAUCACCAGUAUGUAGAGGAUAAUCUACCAUGAGAAGAAGGUUACCUUAAGGGGUAGAGUGAAAGCUCCUGACUAUGGACAAAGAAAUGAAAAAAAAAAAGAAAAAAAAAAGAGCACGAGCUUCAAGAAAAAUCAAAAGAAAAUGCUAAUUUAUGCCUGAGAAAAAAAAAAAAAGAUCAAGAUGAUGAGGUUAGUUUGACCUACCCUGUUUAUUAUUCGAGACAAGGGCUGUUGAUGUUGAAGAUCUUGAGAAUGAGUUUUGAUUGAAUUGAUUCACACACAACACAUGAAUCCAAUAUGAGAUGAGGCUGACCAUUGAAUUAAAGUUAGAACUUUGCUAGUAUUUUUAAUUUUCUUUGAGCUAUAUACUUUAUGCAAUCUUUGAGGCAUUUUUUAUGAUGUUUGUGGGUAUCAUCGCUGGAAACCCUCACGAGACUAUAACUCGUCCACUAGGGCCGCCUAGGGGUUUAAAGGCUUGUUGCAUACGCUAAAUGCAAUCGCGAUCACCUGCGAAAGUGGUUUAGUUAGAAUUUUCUUUUCGUAGUUUUUAUUUUAGUUUUUGCUCGAGGACUAGCAAAAUGUUAAGUUUGGGGGUAUUUGAUGUGCUCAUAAUUUAUCUAUUAUUUUAAUGCUUCCAUAACUUAAUUUUAUGUUAAAUUAUAUUUUAUUAUAUUAAUUUUUAUCUUAAUUUUUAUAUUUUGUCAUUGUAGGAAUAUUGAGAAUAUUCAUGAGAAAAGAAGCUUAAAGAGGAAACAAGUUGGAGUAUAAUGGAAAUAAUGUGGAAGCAAGAGGGAAAGAAAUAAAAAGCCAAAUCAAAGAAAAUUUAAUUUAAGCAUCAUGCAUGCAGUCACGUGAUGAAUAAAGGAAGAGAAGAAAAGGUCAAUAGGCUUUUAAUUUCAAGCUAGUUACGUAGAGCCCAUUUGACAAUUUAAAUGGCAAGCUUACAAUAUAUUAAAGGAAGCAAAUAUUUUGGCAUUGUUUGAAAAGGCUAUUCACGUGGAUGGGCUUUGGUUUCAAUUUUGAUUGGCUUAGGAAUGAAAUAGGCGGCUGGGCUUUUGUUUUUAAUUCCUUUCAUAAGAGGAUUUGACAAGCCACAACAUUAUAAAAAGGGAAAAGCCAAGCGGAAGCCAAAAAAAAAAAAAAAAUAAUAGAGCAGCAGCCGCAAGUUUUGAGCAAAACCGAGAGCAGCAUGAAUAAUUUGGAGCAGAAGGAAGACACAUUAAUUCUUGAGUUUUUCUUUCUCUCUUCUCUAUUAUCUUAUUUGAAUGUUUCCCAUUAAAUUCAUGGAUUAUCUUUAUAUUCCCAUGAACUAAUUUAUUUUACUAGAGCUACGAUGUCCUAGUGUUUUAAUCUCUUGGUGAUUUCUAUUACUGCUUGCAUCUUUAUUUGAUUUUUAGUUAUUUUAAUUUUUAAUUUAAAUUCGCUUAUUUGAUUGUUCAAAUAAAUUAGGGUUAGGAUAAUUUCGGUAACUAAUAGGAUAUUCAAUCUCAGUGGGAUGAUACUCUACUCUUCACUAUAUUACUUGUGCCGACUAGUACACUUGCUAAUUUAUGCAAUAGUUGACAGUUGGGAGUGAAUGGAGGCCCUUGACGAAACUUCAGUAAACUUCAGAUUUCAGUUUGUUUGCUCGAAACUUGCAUGGUGACAAGGAUACUGGCAAGGAUAAUGAGAUAGUUUUUGUGUGAAUGAAAUUAUGAUUAUCCUCAGCCUCAGGUAAUUUCUUCUCCUGCUUAGUUGUUAUUUGUUACCUAAUUAAGAAGCAUAAAGUAUCUUGAAUCAUUUUCGUUGUCUGGAAUAUAUGCAACAAUUUUUAAAAUUUUGAUAUGAGUGCAAUGAUUGUAAUUUCUGUUUUCUGUCUGUCAUCGAAUGUAAGACAACUUUAUUAAGAUUCUUGAACCGAGUCAUUUUUGACAAUUGAAGGACAAGUGCUGAAGAGUGGGAAUGCAAAAAGUUUUGUUGUUUUUAGCCUUGUUUUCUUUGAACCAGCGCCUGAUUCACAAGACUCCAUUAAUUUGGCUUUUGAUCAGCUGAUUGAUAAAUGUUCAAUUUCUUUGGUGAUAAAUGUAAUUGUGAAGCAGGCAGCAGGGCAUGACUGUGGAAAAGAGAAGAUUUUAGUGAAAGCCGAGACUCAGAUAAUUCUACGCGUUUUGGUUGAUUUAUAUAAUUCGUGAAAUUUUAUUUCCAUCUGUUACAAGAUCAAACUGCAAUUAGCAAUUUAACAUUCCCUUAAAACCACUAGCUACAUUUCAUCUUUGCACAAUUACACUUAAAAUUCCACUAAAAGAAACUCUUGAGUUGCUCGCAAGCUAUAUAUCAUUAUUCAUUGAAUUCUUACUGUUGAUGCGAGAUUCUGGUUACACUCUUCCGGCUACCAGGAUAUCUGCUCGAUCAACCUCACCUCGACUAGGAUCUCUCCUCGUAUGCUUUCUUCUCCAAGUACUCAUGCGUUCACAGAAACAAGUCAGAGCACGCCGGUUGUUUUCCCGGCGUAAACCCUCCGACGCUCAAGUCAGAUAUGAAGGCUUUGGGAACGCUUGCCACAGAUCUUAUGGCUUUGUAAAUAGUUUUCUCUUCUUUUCAAUUUCCUUAAUCUCUCUUCUAAUCUCGAAAUUGCUAACCCUUUUACCUUCGCUGGCUACCUUUUUAUAGGCCACUUCUGAGCCCAGGCCUUUUUCCCUUUGCGCUCGUCAUCCUCCCACUUCUCGAAAGUGGAUGCUCCAUUUCCGUAGUCGUGGGUGGUUGCGUGGCCCUCGUGCCUAGAUUCUCGGACUGGAAAGCAUGCCACGCCAACUGUCGUUGACCGGGUCUUCUCGAAUCAACCCUUAGCAGGAAUACAGCAGGAAUGGCUUCAGGCUUCUUAUAGGAGAUUGGCCUCGCGGAUGACGUGCUCGUGGACGAGCAGGGUAUUCCUGCUCCUGCUCCUGCUCCCCCGGAUGCCAGGCUCUUACGGGACCCAUCGGCUCGCAGAACUCUACCAUCAGAUAUCUGCUCAUCAUGCCUGGUCUCGUCGACGUAUUUCUCCUAAACACCGGUCCCCCAGUUUCUGGUGUUGGGUAAUGUAGUGGACCAGCAGUAGAAACUCGACAGUACUUGCUCGCGUGGGGUUGGAAAAGGCUUCCAAGAGUCAUGUCGCAUUUAAUUGCGGACGAGGUGAUGUGGCAGAGAUCUAACCCUCCAUUUGAAUUUCAAACCAACGGUUACGAGACCCUUGGGAUUUGGUGCCGUUAAAUGCUGGCAACCCAAGAUUUCGUCCCCAUUAGGAAACCCAAAUCCUUUCGAACGACAAAUUCAUCAUUCACUCCGUCUCCAUCUCUGUCUCUCCGGCAAAGAAGUUCCAGCAUAAAGGCCUCCAUCUCUGUCUUUCACCGACUGAACCAUUACUUCAGGUAUUUCUUCUAUUUCCUUAGUCUCGGAUAGUUGUAGAUAAUUUCUCUUCUCUUUUGCUUGGGUAGUAGUUGGUGGUGGUGUUGUGGUUAGAGCUUAGGGAAUGUCGAAAGGCAAAGAGAAUGUCAUUGAGGUUGACGACGAUGAGUUGGACUUCCUGCCUAGUUUGCUCACCGAUCCUGCUUUUGACCCCGGGAUCCCCUUAGAGCUCAUUAGAUCUAGUGUUGGCACUAGCGCUAGGAGGAUGUCCCCCCAAACAACCUCCACGAGUGGAAGUAGUGGUGAGGAGAGACCCUCUGGCUCGGAAGACACCCUAAGUGAGGAUCAAUGAGGUGACUCUGGGGAGGGGUCUUCACCAGGAACACCGCGACCAGAAGGGUGUAGUACAGUAGGAGGUAGAGCCUUGUCGCGGGAUUAUGCCAUUGAUUACAUGACCUGUACGACCACAUUCAACGAGCUGGAUGACCUCCGGCUCAGGUAUAGCAUUCCUGGUGAAAUUCCUCUCAAGAUCCCAGGAAAGAAGGAUACACCUAGCCGGCCUCCUCGGGGAUACGUUACCCUAUUUUUGGAGAGUUUUAGGCAUGGGCUGAGGUGUCCCUUGCAACCCUACUUUGCCCGGAUUCUUAACGGGCUAAACCUAGCUCCUGGUCAGCUGAACCCCAACGGGUGGAGAGUGCUCUCUGGUCUGUUCAUACUGUGGGACAGAUGUUGUCAAAGCGAGCCCACGGUCGACGAGGUGAAGCACCUGUACCAACUGAAAAGCAGCCCCAAAGACGUCGGCUGGUAUUACUUCCAAUCAAGUACCAAGAUCAGAAAACCCAUAACCGAUCUUCUUACUGGUGAUGGUGGGAAUUGGAAGAGGAAGUUCUUCUUCGCAGGGGGUCCCUUGUUGUUUGCACUUCACUGGUUUGUCUCUAAUCAAAUGUUUGUUUGUGUUGCAGGUUCUUGGGGUGUCCACUUCCCGCUUAAACCUGACCAGCUCAAACGAGUCGAGGCUGUACUAGCCAAUUCCUGCUCGAACCGAGAGCUGUUAACUAUAUACAACUUGCUCGAGUCUCGCUUGAUGCUUCCUGGCCAUAGGAUGGAGGACGCUGUGAUUGGGGCUCUGACCAGGAAACGUUCUCGACCUCCAACCACGAAGAGGGACCAGAGUAAGGACGCCCCUACUGCAAAGCGGGCCAACGUCGUGCAGCAGGUCUCUCCCUUGAAGACUUUACCUCCUGCUCCUGUCAAAGUCGGGGAAACUAGUGGAGCAGCCACAGAUCCUGCUUCCUCUUCUUCUCCUGUCGGCACUCGGUCUCGCUUACCUGACAGCCGAUCAGAACAAUUGGUCCCCUAUCUCAAUGAGUUAUCUAACCUCGUGAGCAAGAAUGACAUGGAGGACUUCGAUGGCUGCACCUUGGGUGAGCUGGUGGGGGCCAUGCAGUAUAGCGCUUUUCACCUCAGCUGCAUGACCACCUAUUACAAGGCCAAGGUUGGGCGCUACGACCGAAAGAUGAAGGAGGACAUUCAAUCGGCGACGACUAGAGCUGGCGUUGCCGAGAAAAAGGCAGGGGAGCUGAAUGUUGAGAACCUCAAGCUGAUGGAGCAGGAAUCUCUUGCUCAAGCAAAAGCCAUUACCCUCGAGGAGGAGCUGACCAAGGUCAAGGGGGAUCUGCAAAGGCAGAAGGCCACGUAUGAGGCUCAGCUCGAAUCCCUCCGCGACUCCCACCGGGCUCACGUCGAGAACUUGGAGAGGGAGGCCAAGAACCAGUAUGACCAGGGACUUCGGCAUUCCUAUCGUUGCAUCAUGGCCGUCCUCGGGAAGCAGCACCCUGAUCUGAAGAUGGAUGAUCUUGCAGUUGGUGUUGCUCAACAUAUGGACGAGGAAGCGGCCAAGGAAGAUGCCGAAGGGGUAGAGCCGAUCGUGAUUGAGGGGGAAAACUCUCCUCCUCGCACAAUCCCUGCUGACGUUGGCGAGGCGAGCACCGCUACUGAUGUUGGCGAGGCGCGCACCCCCCCGGACGCAACUGGUGAUACCCCCCCCCCGCACCUGAGGAGGUCCAGCCAACCAAUGCUGCUCGGCUUACUGAUCCGCCAUCUUCUUGAUAUAUUUCUUGUAUUGUAAUGAACAACGUUGAUGGAGAUUAUCUCCUCUGUUAAUUAUUAACACAUAAAUAAAGAUGUUUUUGAUUAUUUUCGUGUUGUAAUCAUGAGUUAUUUUUCGUUUAAUAAUCUGCCCGUCAUCGUCUGGUUGAGCAGGUUCUGGCCUGGCAUAUGGUUUUACCACAUGCCCUAGAAAAUUCUUCAAUGAUUGAGAUUCUGCUCGCCUUCGCGUGGUCGAGCAGAUCCUGGCACGCUUGGCUUCUGUCUCGCCAUAAACAGGCUUUGAGACUCGACGAGCCUUUGCAUGCCUUAGAAAUAUUUUUUUUUUUCGAUGCUUGGGGGUUCUGCUCGCCUUCGCGUGGUCGAGCAGACCCUGGCACGCUUGGCUUCUGUCUCGCCAUAAACAGGCUUUGAGACUUGACGAGCCUUUGCAUGCCUUAGAGAUUUUUUCGAUGCUUGGGGAUUCUGCUCGCCGUCACGUGGUCGAGCAGAUCUUGGCACGCUUGGCUUCUGUCUCGUCAUAAACAGGCUUUGAGACUUGACGAGCCUUUGCAUGCCUUGGAGAUUUUUUCGAUGCUUGGGGAUUCUGCUCGCCGUCACGUGGUCGAGCAGAUCCUGGCACGCUUGGCUUCUGUCUCGCCAUAAACAGGCUUUGAGACUUGACGAGCCUUUGCAUGCCUUAGAGAUUUUUUCGAUGCUUGGGGAUUCUGCUCGCCGUCACGUGGUCGAGCAGAUCCUGGCACGCUUGGCUUCUGUCUCGCCAUAAACAGGCUUUGAGACUUGACGAGCCUUUGCAUGCCUUGGAGAUUUUUUCGAUGCUUGGGGAUUCUGCUCGCCGUCACGUGGUCGAGCAGAUCCUGGCACGCUUGGCUUCUGUCUCGCCAUAAACAGGCUUUGAGACUUGACGAGCCUUUGCAUGCCUUAGAGAUUUUUUCGAUGCUUGGGGAUUCUGCUCGCCGUCACGUGGUCGAGCAGAUCCUGGCACGCUUGGCUUCUGUCUCGCCAUAAACAGGUUUUGAGACUUGACGAGCCUUUGCAUGCCUUGGAGAUUUUUUCGAUGCUUGGGGAUUCUGCUCGCCGUCACGUGGUCGAGCAGAUCCUGGCACGCUUGGCUUCUGUCUCGCCAUAAACAGGCUUUGAGACUUGACGAGCCUUUGCAUGCCUUGGAGAUUUUUUCGAUGCUUGGGGAUUCUGCUCGCCGUCACGUGGUCGAGCAGAUCCUGGCACGCUUGGCUUCUGUCUCGCCAUAAACAGGCUUUGAGACUUGACGAGCCUUUGCAUGCCUUAGAAAUUUUUCACAGUUUCAAGUGAAUGAAAUUCCUCGACGUUCCAUUAAUUGUAGGAUUCAACUUACAUGAAAAUGUUUGGUCGUAAAAUAAAUAACAGCAAAUACGAACAGAAAGAUCUUGAAAAUAUUAACGACUCUUACUGGAAAUAUUUCCUGAGAUGUGCUGCGUUCCAUGGGCGCUUCACCUCGUGGCCAUCCAUGCGAACCAGCUUGUAAGCUCCUGGUCCCACUAGCUGCUUGACUCUAUAUGGCCCCUCCCAAUUUGGACCGAGCACUCUUUGAGUCGAGUCUUUGGUGUUCUGAUUCACUCUCCUUAACACCCAAUCUCCGACCUUGAACUGCCGUAUGUUCACCUUCUGGUUAUAAUACCGGGCAACCCUCUGCUGGUAAAUGACUGAUCGCUCGGCUGCUUGCUCCCUCUUUUCCGUUAGCAGAUCAAGAUUCAAACAUAUCUGCUCGUCGUUCUCCUGUUCAUUGAAAUGAUAUGUCCGGUGCGUGGUCGUUCCUAUCUCAGUUGGCACGACCGCUUCAUGUCCAAAAGCCAAGGCGAACGGUGUCUCCCCAGUUGCUGUUUUGUGGGUUGUUCUGUAUGCCCAUAGCACACCUGACAGCUCAUCAACCCAUGCACCCUUUUUUGCUCCCAGCCUGGUUUUCAAAAGCCUCUUGAUGGUCUUGUUGGCUGCUUCUACUUGUCCAUUCGAUUGGGGGUGAGCAGGCGAGCAAUACUUCAGCUCUAUUCCGAGGUUCUGGCAGAAAUCCCUGAAGCUGUGAUUAUCGAAUUGUCUGCCAUUAUCCGUUACCAGGGCAUAAGGGAUCCCGUAUCGACAGACCAGGUUUCUCCACACAAAGUCUGUUGUUUUCUUCUCUGUGAUCUUGCUAAGGGCUUCUACCUCUAUCCAUUUCGUGAAGUAGUCUAUAGCAACUAUUGCAUGUGUUGCUGCUCCUCGUCCCUUUGGCAGCGGGCCGAUCAGAUCAAUUCCCCAUUGAGCAAAUGGCCAAGGGGAGGCCAUAGAGGUGAGCUUUUCUGGUGGUUGGUUGGAGAAACUUGCAAAACUCUGGCAACUUACACAGCUCCUGGUCUUCUCCUGUGCAUCCUGGUGCAUUGUCGGCCAGAAAUAUCCCUGCCUUAGAACCUUGUGGGCCAGGGACCUCCCACCAGAAUGAUUCCCGCAAAUUCCUUCAUGUACUUCUCUCAGUACGUAAUCUGCGUCGUCCUCAUCCAAACAUCGGAGGAAAGGUAGUAUAUAUCCUCGCCGAUACAGUACCCCAUCAAUCAUCGUGUAUCUUGAGGCCUGGGCUCUAACCUUCCGAGCUCGCAGCUUAUCUGGUGGUAAUACCCCGUCUCUGAGGUAUGAAAUUAUCGGGUCCAUGCACGAGCAUUUUUGUUCUAUCCGCAACACCCCCAAAUUCUGCUCGAUACUUGGGCUGGACUUCACCUCCAGAGGGACCGACUUUGGCAUUUUUGGGUCGGCUACUGCUGCCAUCCUGGCCAAAGUGUCUGCUCGACUAUUCUGCUCCCUGGGGAUCUGUAUCACCUCCACUGCUUCAAAUUUCCCCAUCAUCUGCCUGACUAUCUUCAGGUACUGCUCCAUCUUCUUCUCUCUUGGUUGGAAUCUUUCGCUGACAUGAUUCGCAACCAGCUGGGAAUAAGUUCUGAUCUUCACUCUGUCUGCUUUCACGGCCUUAGCCAAUUCCAAACCUGCUAUCAAGGCUUCAUACUCUGCCUGGUUAUUUGUGGCUCCAAAUUCCAACUUCACAACAUAAGAGAUCUCCUCCCCCUCCGGGCCUUCCAAGACAAUCCCUGCUCCAGAACCCUGCUCCCCUGAUGACCCAUCCACAUACAUCUGCCAUACUUGAGCUUCGCCACUGUCUGUGACUACAUCUGGUCCAUCUAAACAUACUUCGGGCUCUGUGAAUUCAGCUACGAAAUCGGCCAUUGCCUGAGCCUUUAUCGCUGCUCGGGGUUUGUAGUCUAUGUCGAACUCGCUCAGCUCUAUAGCCCACUUGACGAGCCGACCAGAAGCAUCUGGCUUGUGCACAGUUUGACGCAAUGACUGGUUUGUUAUUACCGAGACCGGGAAUGCUUGGAAAUAUGGCCUCAACUUCCGAGCCGCAACCACAAGGGCAAGUGCCCAUUUCUCCAACGGUGGGUAUCUGGUCUCAGCGUCGAGCAGGGCCUUGCUUGUGUAGUAUAUCGGAUACUGAACUCCUUCUUCCUCUCUCACCAGAACAGAACUGGCGGCCCGAUCCGAUACCGCCAAAUACAGAUAUAACUUGUCCCCAUCCCUCGGUGUGGACAGUAGUGGAGCUUGCUGCAAGUAUUGCUUCAAGUUCUGGAAGGCUUCCUCGCAUUCUGGUGUCCAUUCUGUUUUCUUUCCCCUCCUUAUCACUUAAAAGAAUGGCUGACACUUGUCUGUAACCUUGGAUAUGAAUCUGCUCAACGCAGCCAACCUCCCCGUGAGGCUCUGCAUCUCCUUCAGGUUACGAGGAGACCUCAUCUGCACAAUUGCCUGGAUUUUCUCCGGAUUUGCUUCAAUCCCCCUAUGGCUCACCAUGAAUCCAAGGAAUUUCCCUGACUCGACCCCAAAAGCACACUUCUCCGGGUUGAGCUUCAUCUUAUACUUCCUCAAAAGCCCGAAUGUCUCCUCGAGGUGCCUGACAUGUUCCUUCGAGAUUUUGGAUUUGGUGAUCAUGUCGUCCACGUACACCUCCAUGGUUUUCCCAAUCAACGGCUUAAAGACUUUGUUCACCAGCCUCUGAUAGGUGGCCCCAGCAUUUUUUAGACCAAAUGGUAUUACCCUGUAACAGAACAAACCCUGGUUAGUGAUGAAAGCCGUGCUCUCCUCAUCCUGCUCGUACAUGGGGAUUUGGUUGUAUCCCGAGAACGCGUCCAUGAAACUAAGCAGACCGUGUCCAGCCGUUGAAUCUACUAGUUGAUCGAUCUUUGGUAAAGGGAAGCUGUCUUUUGGGCACGCCUUAUUAAGGUCUGUGAAAUCCACACACAUCCUCCACUUGCCAUUUGCCUUCUUUACCAACACCACAUUCGAUAUCCAUUCAGGGUAAUUGACUUCCCGAAUGAACCCUGCUCUCAAGAGCUUCUCCACCUCGACAUUUAUAGCCUCAUACCUCUCCUGAUUGAAGCACCUCCUCUUCUGCCUUACUGCCCGAGCACCUUUCUUUAUUGCCAGCUUAUGACAUGCUACCUCAGGGUCAAUCCCUGGCAUAUCUUCAUGUGUCCAAGCAAACACAUCUGCAUGAGCCUGUAAGCAUUUCACUAACUCCUGCUUUUGCUCUCCCUUAAGUCUCGACCCGAUUCUGAUUGUUUUUCCCGGAUUCUCUGGUCCCAGGCUUACUGUUUCCAGAUCCUCUACAGGUUCUUGUCUGCCAUUCUUGUUUUCCACUCGGGUAUCGAGGGAUGUUAUCUGCAUUGCUUCCCUUGCUGCUGAGGAGUAGCAGCUUCUUGCGAUCCUCUGAUCUCCUCGUACCACUCCAACUACCCCAUUCACCCGGUACUUCAGAGCCAGAUAAUGGUUGGACAGCAUCGCUUUGCUCAUCCUCAGAAAUGGCCGACCUAGGAUCAUCUGGUAAGGACCUUCCUCAUCCACUACCAUAAAGUCCAGUAUCAUUGUCCUUUCUGUCGGGGAGCUCCCAAUCGUGAUAGGCAGCUCGACCAUGCCCAGAGGGACCAGCCUUCCUCCUCCAAACCCCUUCAAGGAGGUAUUGGUGUAAUCCAACUUCAGGUCUGCUAUUCUCAUCUCCUUCAGGGUUGACUUAAACAACACAUCAACUGAACUCCCUGUGUCAACCAGUAUCCUGUCAAACUUCUUGCUAGCAACAGUGGCCUUGAUGACCAAAGCAUCCUCGUGGGGGUAUAUGAUCCCUUCUUCAUCCUCAUCUGUCCACAUGAUUGGCACUUGCCUGACUCUUGCACGUUUGGCUGCUGGGGUGUUGAAGAAUACCUUUUUGCUGGUCAUGGCGUAUCUAGCAUAAUUUUUCCUCGAUCUGUUAGAAUCUCCGGCCAAUGUUGGGCCCUCAGCUAUAACCCUUACUGCAGGCUGCUCGCGCCUCAAGUUCCUGUCACUCUGCUCCCCUUCACUUGUUGAGGCUACCAUUGGGAAGGUCCCAUCUACGAACUCGUCCAGAUACCGAUUUCUCACUAAAUCUUCAACCUGGGUCUUAAGAUCUCUGCAAUCUGCUGUGGUGUGGCCAUGAGUGCCAUGGAACUUACAAUAGCGUCCCCUAUCCCUCAUGCUGGGUAGCUUGGUUAUUGGAGCAGGGAGGUAUAGCAACCCCCGAUCCUUUAUGGCCUCGUACACCUCGUCCAGGGACAUCUUCAAGGAAGUGUACCGCCCAUAGUCCUAGUUCUGGUCGAUCAGGUGUACUGCUCUUUCUCUGUUUGCUCCGUUCUGGGUUGGGGGCGGUGGCAGUACUUCUGGUCUGCUCCCUCUGCUACCGUGGGAGUGUUGAUGAGCACCAUAUGAUGAAUCAUGCCUUCUCCAAGGCUCCCUAGCUGUGGAACGAGGAGGCUGCGCCCUGCUGCGCUGAUACUGUGGUGGGCUCUGAUGAGGCUGGUAAGCAAUUACCCGACCUCCUGCUCCAUUACCCGAGGCCUGGUGGUCCCUCCUCCUGAUCGGCCCAUUCCCCGGUAAUGCUUUCUUCUCUUUCCUCCCCAACCCUUCUAACUGGUCUAUCUUAAUUCGUGCUGCCUUCUCCUCUUCAAUCUCAAUGUCUCUCUUAGCCUGCUCGUAUGCGGCCGCAUACGUCUGGAUAGCUGGGCUUCUCAAAUUGUACCACAGCCUUCCUAUCUUCACCCUUUCUUUCAAUCCCCUUAACGCCUGAGGGUGGUUGAAGGCUCCCAAGUCGAGGACAGCCCGAUGAAACCUCUUGAUGAAUUCCCGAAGGGUUUCUUGCUCCCCCUGUUUCAUGCUUUUCAGCUCCAUCAUGUCAUCUUCUGGGGCCAUUGCCCCACUAAACUGCUCUGCGAAUUCCUGGCACAUCUGCUCGAAGGUUUUAAUGCUGCCCCGAGGAAGUUUCCUGUACCACUCGCGUGCACGUCCCUCCAGGGAUAGUGGAAACACCCUGCACCUUUGGGGCUGAGAUAAUCCUUGUACCCCCGUUAUGUCAUUGAAGCGUUCUAUGUGCACCAGCGGAUCAGUUCGUCCCGAAUAUCUAAGGUCCGGGAGACGGAAAUCCCUCGGAAUAAUUGCCCUCAUGAUCUCUGCUGCGAGCAGUGAUUCUCCGUCCAGCAUUAUCCUCCAACCAGGAGCUCUGCUCCUUCCUUGCAUAUCGUCAAUUAUCUGCGCUAGUCUGCGCACUUCCUCCUCCAGCUGUACUGCACGACCAGGGUCACGUGCUGCAACUUGAUCCCUCUCUUGCUCUACAUCAUGCAAGUGUUGCCUCAACUCUGUUUCUUCUGCAUUCGCCACCCCGUCGUCCUCGUAAAAAAUCUGUCUUGCCGGGGAUUGCUCUUCUUCUCUAUGAAAUUCUCCCCGUAGAGGUAUGUUACCUCUCUCACCACUAAAUCUCCCGGUGGUUUGACUUCUCCUCGUACCAUCGGGACCUGGUGUCACUCCACCACCUCUCACCAUUUCCUCCUGGGUUACCCUUCGUUCACUCCGCAACUCAUGCAGGAUGGUUGUCAGGGUCUCCAUCUGCUUUUCCAUCCGUUCCAUCCGGUCGAACAUGGCUUUUUCCCGUGCUUCGCUGGCUAUCUCCCUCAGCGUUACAGAAUCGUUAAGCCUCAUAUCACCCCCUUGUGCACUACUUCCUCCUGCCUCCAUUGCUUUUCACUUGCUUCACUCCUCUUCUUGCUAUCAACAGAAGCUUUUUGCUCAGCUCCCCACAGACGGCGCCAAAAUGUUGAUGCGAGAUUCUGGUUACACUCUUCCGGCUACCAGGACAUCUGCUCAAUCAACCUCACCUCGACCAGGAUCUCUCCUCGUAUGCUUUCUUCUCCAAGUACUCCUGCGUUCACAGAAACAAGUCAGAGCACGCCGGUUGUUUUCCCGGCGUAAACCCUCCGACGCUCAAGUCAGAUAUGAAGGCUUUGGGAACGCUUGCCACAGAUCUUAUGGCUUUGGAAAUAGUUUUCUCUUCUUUUCAAUUUCCUUAAUCUCUAUUCUAAUCUCGAAAUUGCUAACCCUUUUACCUUCGCUGGCUACCUUUUUAUAGGCCACUUCUGAGCCCAAGCCUUUUUCCCUUUGCGCUCGUCAUCCUCCCACUUCUCGAAAGUGGAUGCUCCAUUUCUGUAGUCGUGGGUGGUUGCGUGGCCCUCGUGCCUAGAUUCUCAGACUGGAAAGCAUGCCACGCCAACUGUCGUUGACCGGGUCUUCUCGAAUCAACCCUUAGCAGGAAUACAGCAGGAAUGGCUUCAGGCUUCUUACAGGAGAUUGGCCUCGCGGAUGACGUGCUCGUGGACGAGCAGGGUAUUCCUGCUCCUGCUCCUGCUCCCCCGGAUGCCAGGCUCUUACGGGACCCAUCGGCUCGCAGAACUCUACCAUCAGAUAUCUGCUCAUCAUGCCUGGUCUCGUCGACGUAUUUCUCCCAAACACUUACCACAUAUAUGUCACCUUUCAAUCAAUUGUUGAAAAAUUCAAAUUUGGAAUUCAAAUACAUGCAUUCAAAUUUGGAACACUUUGAACGGUCCGAUUCAAAACUUCAUAUUCCAAUUAUAUUCAUAAGACAAAUGGAACACUUUGAACGGCUUGUGUCCGAGCAUUGUAGUUUGAUUUAUUUUGAUGACAUUACCUUUUGACAUUGAGAUUCUUUCAGGAUUUAAACAUUCUUUUUAAAACCAAAUUAUUAAAAAAAAAUAACUAACAUAUAUUAUUUUAUUAGUGCUUUUUAAAUCAAAUAUACAUAGGAGAACUGUAAUUCUUAGCAAUCAAUUUUCCACUAAAUACACCUGCAACAAACUAUUAAUAACAAAGUGAUAGAAAAUACCUGAUUUUUCAUACUUUCUAAUUUCUUUUGGUCCUAAAAUAUGGGCAUUUGUGUAAUAAUAAGCCCAUGUGGAUCUCUAUGCCAUGAGUUUGAUAAAUAGCUAUCAAGGAUCACUUAUUAAGCUAAAAAUAUUUGGAGGACAAAAUUGUAAAACUAAAAGGGUGGAGCAAAUAUGGCUAUCUAGGAUUAAAUAGUAAGUCAACUAUAUUUAAAGGAUAAAAUAUUAAAACUUGAAUUGUGAUAUUAAAAAUAUCUCAACUAUUAUAUUAUUAAACCAUAUGUUCUAAUAGUUUUUUUUUUAAGCUUCAAAAUGUUCAGGAUUUUAGAUUGAAACAUUUUCAAUUGAAAUAAUUUGGUGCAGUCACAAGUUAAGAAAGAAAAAGUUGUCCCAUUGGUCAUUUCACAAAAAUGAAAGCCCUGUAUAACAUGGACGUGAAUGGAAACCCAAUUGUUUGUGUUUGAUUAAUUGAUUUCAAGCUUUAUCUAACCUUUGGACCUGGAUACUUUACUGCGGCCUCUAAGCGCUAUAAAUUUUUUUGGGGAUAAACGGCGCUUCAAUGAGGGCAUCUCCAAUGCUUAACACCAUUUUGGUGUAACACCAACAUUAAAAAUAUACAUUUUUCACACUAAAUUACUAUUUCAUCUCCAACCCAUUUACACCAAAUUUUACACCAAAAAUAAUAUUUUUUUUAUUCUUUUAAUUCUCAAGAAUUAAUUCAAUUAACACAAUAAAUACUACUAUUAACAUAGAUAAUUAAGUAAUAAGUAAUUUUAUCAAUUAACAAAAAAAAUAGAAAAUUAUUAAAUUUGCAUUUAAUUAACUAAAUUAGUACAUUAUGAAAAUUAAACAUUACAUUAAUAUAGAAAAAUACAAUAAAAAUAAUAAUAAUUUUAUAUCUAAUAUUUUGAUGAUAUUGGAGGAUCUAAUAAUGAUCUUCCAGAUUAUUAAAUAAUUGUUCUAAUUUAUACUAGUAGUAGUAGCUUUUUUAAUUUGUGUUAAUUUAAUUUUGUAAUAUGUAAUAUAGUAAUUAAUGUUAUUGGCAUUUUAUUUUUAUUAUUAAUUUUUGUGUUGAAUUUUUUUAUUUAAAAUAUUAGUAUAAUAUUAAAAAAUUAAAAAUGAAAUAAAUAAUAACAAAAAUAAUAAUAAUAACUUAAAAUAUUAUAUAAAAAAGGACAUAUAUGUAAAUAAGAAAAAGUAAUAAAGAUAUUUAGGACUCUUUUUUCCUAGCACCAAAUGAAUAGUGUUACACCAUAUUUGGUGCAAUACUAUUCAUAACACCAAUUUGCUGUUCGUUUUGAUGUUACAUUGGAGAAGCAUUUUACACAAAAAAUGGUGUAAAAGGUAGUUUGGUGUUAGUUUUGGUGUCACAUUGGAGAUGGCCUGGAAAAACACUUGAAAACUUUGGAUUUUUGGUUCGUCCAGUUACGGUGUUAUGCUAAUGGGGUUAAAAGUUCCGAUCCAAUGAGUUAGGAUGGAAUAUGAAUAUAUAAAUUCCAUAGCAUGUAAGGACUAGGAUUUGUUUGUUCAUAUCAAGAAAAAAAAGAUCCGAAAAUUUGAUGAUCAGAAGAUGAAGACACGUUUAUUACAGAGAAACAAACGACAACAUGAUACUAGUAGUAGUUAUUCUUUUCAUCCGAUAUAUUACAUGGUAAUAUCACUACUCGUUCCACUGGUUUCAUAUACACCAUCGAUCAGCAACAUGAUAAUUUUGUGUCAGUUCAUUUUGUUUGUAGGAAAGAGCAGUGUAUUUCUUAGAGCUUGAAAAUAAUAAAAAGAUUUUAAAAUAUAAAUUGCAUAUUUGUUUAUUACAGUUGUUUGGUCUAAUUUCUUAUGUAGAAUUGCUUGUCAUUCUUUGGACGUUAUUGAUUAUAUUUUUGUCAGACUUGGCGUAUAUAUUCACACAUACGUUUUAUUUUGUCAUUUUGUAGAACAUUUUUACACGCCAUAUUAUCACGACUCUUCUCUGUCUGAAUAAGAAGAAAGCAUAAUGCGACCCUCCAAUAGCUUAAUCUAUGGAAUUAUCGUGUUUUGUAAGUUGAGGUCCAAUGGCGUUUUGGCACAUCAUAUGAUAGCCCACUAUAUUGCGUUGCUUUACAAAAGAUUAAUAUUUUGAAAAUUAUUAGGUAAGUUUAGGCUCAGUGGCACUUUAACUCAUGAUAUGAUUGUCCAGGUUUUCGAGGACCACUAUAUUCUAUUGAUUUAAAAAAAAUUAAUAUUUUUUAAUAUUAAUAUUCUAAAUUAUAUUCAGUUCAAAUAUUAAAUAUUAAAUACAUUCUUAAUAUUAAUAUUCUUAGAUGAAAUUCUUUUGCUGACUUAAGAAUAAAAUAUUAAAUAAUUUUAUUUUUCUUUUAUUCUGUAACGUGGACCCAAUAAAAAAAGGAAAUGAAUUUAAUAAAACCUUCAUUCAAAAUCUUCAUUCCGCCACCAUGCAUGUUAAUUGUUUCCAAAUUCCAACCUCCGUACUCUCUUGAGGAGUUUCCCAUUCAUCAAUUAUUAUUUUUUAUAAUCCAUACCAUCCUGAUAUAAUUAAACACCAUUAAUAAUGUACCAACCUUUAAAUAGUAAUUAAUUUAUUUAUCUAAUUCACCAAAUGUUUUUUCCGGUACAUAUCUCCAUUGGUAUCAAGAAGAAGCAGAACCCAAAGAAAUGUUUCUUGCAUCUUCAUAUUUGUGCGAAUUCAUCCUUUCAUUGAGAAUAACCAUUUCCAGGCAGCAGUUGGCAAUCAAUUCAUGCGCACGUCGAUGCUAUUCAUAGAUACUAAAGACAAUGAUGAACCAAAGGUGAUAAAUCAUAAAUGCAUAAUUACCAAACCUCCAUCCUUCUCUCAUUAUGAUUUGAUUUUAAAUGAAUUAUUGCUUGGUAACAUUAUUUCCAACCAUUGCAAGACCUUUUUUUUGGAGAAAUUUCAAUUGAAAGUGAAACCUUUAGACAUUUACCUAAUGAAGUUAGUUAAUCGGGAGGGUCGGAAAAAAAAAGUUGACGCAAGUCAAUACACAAUAAUCAAUUAAAUCCGGAGUGACUAAAACAGAGCCACUACUUUUUAAAAAAUAUCUGCAUUAAUCACUUUCUCCAGCAACUAGUCAGCUACACACGAAUCAAUUUCUCUCCUCGUUUGUCAUCCAAAAUUAUUCACCAAUACCAUGGCUGAUGCAAUCGUUUCCACUAUCUUGGAGCAGCUGAUUUCCUUCGCUGCUGAAGAGAUAAAACAACAGGUGAUCGAAGUUUCACCCCUCAUAUUACAAAUACUUCCAAUGAUUUUAAUUGGCUUUGUUUUUAUCAAAAACAUUAUAUAUUUUUGCUUUUUUUUUAUUUAUCUGAUAAUUUUAUAUUUUGAAAUUUGAAUUGAAUUUAAUUAAAAGGUGAUGUAGUAACCACUCAUUUUUAUUUUAUUUCAUUUCUAUUCUCGAUAACUAACCAUAUUUUGGUAACUUAAUAUGACUCUCGUACAUAAGAAAUGAUCAAAACCCACAAUUUUAACUAUGUAUAAAUAUUCAACGUUGAGCUAAGGUUUUGCAGAACAUUCAAGUUUAUCAAAUAGUCAUUAAUUUAAUGUUUUAGUAAAACCUCAACUCAUCACUGAAUCCCAUAGCUAUUACUUAGACUCUAUGAAAAAUUUCAUAGUUUUCUUACAUUCUUUCAGUUUGGUAAGUGAUUUCAUAUAAUUUCUGUUCAAUAUAAAUUUUAAUUUGGUUUCUUAUAUACUCUCUUUGCUGAAUUUGUAUCUUUUAUGAUUCUUAGAUUUUGGGCUCUAACAUUUUAGGAUUUGAUAGUCACAUUUUAUGCCAUGCUUAGAUUGAUUUUCAUGAUUUUUACUACCCAUUAAGUGACUUAGAAUUUGACAAAAGUUUGAAAGGAAAUCUGCUUCAGGAUUCUGUUUUAAUUGACCUUUUAGUGGAAAUAGGAUGCUUAUAACUUAAUGUGGAUGGUUCGUAAAAUCAUGAAAUUUGGAUAGAAUUAACUAGAAAUAUGUACAAGACUCUCCAUGAAGUCUCAUAAUUUUUCAUUCGGUCUGGGGUGGUACAGGUGAAACUUGUGGUUGGUGUUGAAAAAGAAGUGAAAAGCCUUACCAGCCAUCUUCAAGCCAUUCAAGUUGUGCUCGAUGAUGCAGAGGAAAAGCAAGUGAAGGAAAAAGCUGUUAGUCUUUGGCUGGGUAGGCUCAAGUAUGCAUCCUACGACAUUGAAGAUGUGUUGGAUGAGUGGAUCACAACAAGACGCAAAUUGCAAAUUGAGGGUGGCAUUGGUGAAAAUGCUCUUGUUGUUCCUCAUAAGAAAAAGAAGGUAUGUCUCUGCUUUCCCGGCUCUUGUUUUGGAUUCAAACAAGAAGAAUUUGGUUUCAAACAAGUCUUUCUCCGUCAUGACAUUGCCGACAAGAUCAAAGAAAUCAAUGAAGAGCUACAUGAUAUUGCCGCUCAAAAAGACAUGUUUGAUCUUGUUAAGAGUGGCAAUAAAAGUAGUGAAAGACCAAGGCGUGUACAGAGUACCUUCUUGAUUGAUGAGGAAGAGAUUUGUGGCAGAGUUGGUGAGAGGAAUGAACUCUUAAGCAAGCUGUUGUGUGAGAGUAGCGAGCAACAAAAAGGCCUUCAUAUCAUCUCAAUCGUUGGUAUGGGAGGCAUAGGGAAAACAACUCUUGCACAACUAGCUUGUAAUCAUGACGAGGUGAAGAGAAAGUUCGACAAAAUUCUGUGGGUGUGUGUAUCAGAAACUUUUGAGGAGUUUAGGGUUGCCAAAGCGAUCGUUGAAGUUUUGGAUGGUCGUGAAUCUCAUUUAGCUGAAUUCCAUUCUCUUCUUCAACAUAUUUAUGAAUCCAUUGCAGGGAAGAGCUUUCUUCUUGUCUUAGAUGACGUGUGGGAUGGAAAUUACUUGAAAUGGGAACCAUUCUACCGUUGUCUAAAGAAUGGUCUCCAUGGAAGUAAAAUUUUAGUUACCACACGUAAAGGGUCAGUCGCAUCCAUGAUGGGAUCCAUAGAUAUUAUCUCCGUUAAGGAGUUAGCUGAAGAGGAAUGUUGGUUGUUGUUUAACAAGAUAGCAUUUUUUGAUCGGUCCAUCGAGGAACGUGAAAAAUUAGAACAAAUUGGGCAAAGAAUUGCAGGCAAGUGCAAAGGUUUACCUCUUGCAGCAAAGACAAUAGGGAGUCUCAUGCGUUCUAAACAAACUGAAGAAGAGUGGAAAAGAAUUUUAAAUAGUGAUUUAUGGAAAGUAGAAGAGAUUGAGAAAGAUGUUUUGUCCUCUUUAUUGUUGAGUUAUAAUGAUUUGCCAUCUAGAGUAAAAAGAUGUUUUUCAUAUUGUGCUGUCUUUCCAAAAGACUACAAUAUAGAAAAAGACAAACUAAUCACGUUAUGGAUGGCUCAAGGUUAUCUUAGUGCAGAAGAAGAUGAAGAGAUGGAGACAGUAGGUGAAGAGUAUUUUGGCAUCUUAGCUUCUCGCUCAUUUUUUCAAGAGUUUAAGAAAAGUUAUGAUAAUCGGAUUAUAGAGUGUAAGAUGCAUGAUAUGGUACAUGAUUUUGCCCGAUUUGUAAGUCAAAAUGAAUGUUUUUCGAUGGCAAUCAAUGGUAGUGAAGAACCAAACGCCACAAACUCUCUUGAUGAGAAGGUCCGUCAUUUAAUGUUAAUCUUUAGUAUAGAGGCUUCAUUACCUGUUUCCACUUGUAGAGUUAAAAGAAUUCGUAGCCUCUUAAUUAACGAUAGUAGAUCUGAUCAUUCAUUAUUAAAUGGUGAGAUCCUAGAAGAAUUAUUUAGGGAAUUGACAAGUUUAAGGGCAUUAGAUUUUUGCAAAUCGUAUAACGCAAGUUGGUCUUCGACUCUGGAGAUUCCGAGAAACAUAGAAAAGCUGGUACAUUUAAGAUACCUUAAUUUGUCUUAUCAGGGAAUAAAGAAACUACCGGAGACAUUAUGCGAGUUGUAUAAUCUAGAAAAGUUAGAUAUUAGUUAUUGUUAUAAGCUAGAAGAAUUACCUGAAGGGAUUGGGAAGUUAAUAAACAUGAAGCAUUUACGAAAUAGAGGUACUAGUUCUUUAAGGUACAUGCCAGUAGGGAUUGGGAGAUUAACGGGUCUUAGGACCUUGGGUGAGUUCCACGUGAGUGCAGGAGGAGGUGUUGAUGGUAGGAAAGCAUGUAGGCUUGAAUCUCUUAAAAACUUGGAACACCUUCAAGUAUGUGGUAUAUGUAGACUGGGUGAUGUAUCAGAUGUGGGCGAGGCUAAGCGAUUAGAACUUGACAAAAAGAAAUACCUCUUCAGUUUGACCCUCGAGUUUGAUAAGACGGAAAGAGGAGGAGAAAGGAGGAAGAACGAGGACGAUCAACUUCUUCUUGAAGCCUUGCGACCACCCCUGGAUUUAAAGGAAUUAGAGAUACGGUACUACCGAGGCAACACUGUUUUCCCCAGCUGGAUGGCGUCAUUAACCAACUUAAAGAGUUUACAUCUCCAUAGGUGCGAAAAUUGCGAGCAGCUGCCUCCUUUGGGAAAAUUGCCGUCCCUUGAAAAUCUCUACAUAUGGCGCAUGGAGAGUGUGAAGAGAGUGGGUGAUGAAUUUUUGGGGAUAGAAAGUGAUCAUCAUGACUCAUCGUCAUCUUCAUCAGUUACUAUUGCCUUCCCCAAAUUGAAAUCACUCACAAUUUAUUCGAUGCUGGAAUUGGAGGAGUGGGAUUAUGAGAUUACAAGAACAGGAAACACCGUCAUCAACAUCAUGCCACGUCUUUCUUCCUUGACAAUUGUUGAUUGCACCACAUUAAAGGCACUGCCCGACCACAUUCAUCAAACGACAACGUUGAAGGAAUUGAGCAUUUUUAUGUGUUGGCUUCUGAACAAACGUUACCGCAAGGGGAAAGGAGAAGACUGGCCUAAAAUAUCACACAUUCCCAACCUCCGUAUUGGGCUUUGACAAGUAAUUUCUUCUCUCACUCUGAUUUGCUUUGUUGUUGUUUUUAAUCUAAUUAAGAAGCGAAAAUAGCAUUUUGAAUCAAACUCUAUAUCAGAAAUCUGCAAUACUUACUUUCUAAUAUUCUGAUUUUCAUAUCCUAUGAAUAUACGAUUUUUAAUUUGUGAGAUGGGUAACGUUACUGUAAAAGAUUAUUAAUGCAAUAUGAGUAAUUCUUUUGCAGGACAAGUGACCUACAUUUAGUUUGGCUUUGGAGUUGAAUAAUAACCUUUCGUGGUCCCGACAACCAAAAAACAAAGCUUAAUUUGCCACAGAUUGAACGUAUUGCCAUUAUUGACAAUUUUCUGCACAAGCGUGACUGAACUUAGGUUGAUGUCAAAAGAGGUAAAUUAUUGGCAUGCCUGACUAUUUUGACCAUUACAUGAUUCAUAAGUUUACAUUAAUUUUGAUUUUGAGUUGAGUGAUUAGUUUUCUAGGUUUGCUUACUUUAACUGGGUGACCAAUUUCUUGUAACUAAAUGUAUGAUGUGAUGCAGGAAGCAGGGCAGGAUAUGAAAAGAGAAGCUUAUUAGAGGAAGGAUUGCCAGUAACAGAAUCCAAAGAAAAAGAAACCAUUUCGAGGCAGCUGUUGGCAGUUGGCAGUGAAUGGAGCCCCUUGAAAAAAUUCCCAGGCCGUUGCACUGCAAUUACGAUCAUCCUCGGCCUCAGGUAAUUUCUUCUCCUGCAUUUUUGUUAUUUGCUAUCAAGUGACUAUUUUAAGUAUGAUUGCAUUAAGCUUCUGCUGGGAAAUUUGAGGUUUUGAUGACUGCCCAUGCUAUUGUCAGAAGCUGCGGUUCUUUUCAUCAGCCUGAACCUGGACCUGCCGCUAUGGAUAACUCAGGUUUUUUUUUUUUUUUUAAUCAACUGCCAUCUUUUCCACUGUUUAGAAACUCUUAAGAUUAAACUUUAGUAAAGUUGUUUUAGUUAUCCAUGUAAUCAGGCUGAGGAUACUUAGCUGCCUAUUUAGGCAAAUGUCAGAAUUUAGUUUGUUCGCUGGGAACUGGUGUGGACUGGCAAAGGAUGAUGAGAUAGUUUUUUGAGUGAGUAAAUUUUGGGAGCUUGAGUGUAUUGGGAUUUGCAAUUACAAUCAUCGUCUGCCUCAGGUGAUUUCUUCUCCUGCUCUGUCAUUGUUUGUUCUCUAAUUCAAAAGCAUAAAAUAUUUCAAUCAAUUUUUAUGCCAGGAAUAUGCAAAAGUUUCUAAUAUUUUAUUUCCAUCUGUUACAAGAUCAAACUGAAGCAGAACUCAAACAAAAGUAUGCUACUUCUUGCGGAAAUCUUGCCUUUGUUCAGAUUAUGAAACCAUUUCCAUGCAGCAAAUUCAUCCAAAAGUUUGAAUAAGUUUCAUGGUUGGACACUGUUGGCUUCUUUUUCUUCUGGGGUGCAUUUAGGUGCUAUCAAGUGACAGCUGUAAGUAUGAUUGCACUAAGCUGCCGCUGGGAAAUUUGAGGUUUUGAUGGCUGCCCAUGUUAUUUUCAAGAAACUAUUGAUGUAAGAAGCUGUGGUUCUUUUCAUCAGCUUGAACCUGAAACUGUCGCUAUGGAUAACUCAGGUUUUUGUUAUCAACUAUAUCAUCUUUUUCACUAUUUUGAAACUCUUAAGAUUAAACUUUAGUAAAGUUGUUUCAGCUAUUCAAAUGAAAAACUCAUUGAUUUGAGACUUCCUUCAUUAUUGUUUCUAAUUACAAUGCUAACGAUCCAGAUAAAAUAAUAUUUAAUCGGCGAAGGUGUCCCUUGGAAGUACAUCCUUCUUUUUCUUUUAUUAUAUAAAUUCUUGCAAUGAGCUUAGUGAAGCUGUUGUGCUAAUCAUGCCACUGCAUAAUUUGGCCCCUAAUGUGGGUACUCUGUUACAUUGUUCUGCAAAUUCUCCAGAAGUUAAAAUCAAUAAAUUUUCUAUUAGCUCUAGUGCUUUGACCUAAAUGCCAUUCUAUAUUUUGAUUACAAUGUUUUAACCUUUAAAUUAACUACCCCUAGAUGUUGGAUUUUCUAGAACUUCAAAAUGAUUAAUGGAGAAAGAUCCCAUUAUCGUUAUUGCUAUAAGAAAUUGAUUUAUGCAUCCAAAGAUACAUUAUAUAUUUCUGUGUCUCUAUUUGUAGAUGACAUUUAAGCAUCCAUAAACCGUCAGACAGAGGAAGGGGGUUCAGUGCAAAGAUUCUGUUGACCUAGGGUUGACUGCAUAAUGUCACUUGUUCGCAAUCUAUUAUUUAUUUUAUAUUUUGAAGAAUUUAAUGGGUAAUCCUAAUUGUUUGUUUUGGCAGGUAUGUGUUGUUAUCUCCUUCUAUCUAACAGUCGUACCUAAAUAGCAUAGUUUCAUCUGUGUUACCAUGUGAUGUACAUAAUUUCACAUUUGCCUCAGAUUAAGCUUAAUUUCCCACAGAAUAGAGCUGUCGCGACUGGACUUAGGUUGAUGUCCAAAGAGGUAAAUUAUUGGCAUGCCUAGAUAAUUUGGCCAUUUCCUAAUUCAUAAGUCUACAUUAAUUUUGAUUUUGAGUUGACUGAUUUCUUUUCAAGGUCUGCUUCCUUAACGGAGUGACCAAUGUUUUUCAACUAAAUUUAUCAUAUGAUGCAGGAAGCAGGGCAGGAUAUGAAAUGAGAAGCUCAUUGGUGGAAGUAUUGCCAGUAACAGAACCCAAAGAAAAUGAAACUAUUUCAAGGCAGCAGUUGGCAGUUGCAAGUGAAUGGAGGCCCUGACAAAAUUCUCAAGCGGUUGCAAUGCAAUUACGAUCAUCCUCAGCCUCAGGUAAUUUCUUCUCCUGCUCUGUUUUUAUUUGUUAUCUAAUUAAAAAGCAUAAAGUAUCUUGAAUCACUUUCUGUAUCUGGAACAUAUGCAGCAGUUUCUAAAAUCUUCAUAUGAGUGUAAUGAUGGUAAUUUCUGUUUUUUGUCUGUCAUUGAAUGUUAGACAACUUUCAGUGAGACUCUUGAACCGAGACAUUUUUGACAAAUGAAGGACAAUUGCUGAAGAGUGGGAAUGGUGCUAGAUUGGGGAAUAAAGACAAAGGAGGUAAAUUAUUUGCAGUUUAUUCAGCAUUAUUUGCUUUGGACCAGCGCCUGAUUCACAAGUCUCCAUAAUUUGGCUUUUGACCAGUUGUUAAUAAAUUUUUUAUUCCAUUGGUGCUAAAUGUACACGUGAAGCAGGCAGAGCAGGACUGUGGAAAUGAGAAGGUUUUUAGUGAAAGCUUAAACUCAGGUAAUUCUAAAAAGUACAUGUUUUUGCUGAUUUAUCUAAAUCAGGAAAUUUUAUUUCCAUCUGUUACAAGAUAAAACAGAAACAGAACACAAAGAAAAAUAUUCUACUUCUUGUGGCAAUCUUGCCUUCAUUCAGACAAUGAAACCAUUUCCUUUCACCAAUUUCUUCCAAAAGUUUGAAUAAGUUUCAUGGUUGGACAUAGUUAGCUUCUUUUUCUUUUGGUGCAUUUAGGUCCUAUCAAGUGACAGCCAUAAGUAUGAUUGCAUUAUUGGGAAAUUUUAGGUUUUGAUGGCUCCCCACGUUAUUGCCAAGAAAGUCCUCAUGUCAAAAGCUGCGGUUCUUUUCAUCAGCCUGAACCCGAACCUGUCGUUAUGGAUAACUCAGGUUUUUGUCAUCAACUAUAUCAUCUUUUUUACUGUUUUGAAACUCUUAAGAUUAAACUUCAGUAAAGUUGUUUCAGUUAUCCAUGUAAUCAGGCCAAGGAUAUUUAGCAGCUUAUUUAGGCAACUGCCAGAAUUCAGUUUGUUUGCUCGAAACUUGUAUGGUGACAAGGAUACUGGCAAGGAUAGUGAGAUAGUUUUUUGUGUGAGUGAAAUUUGAAAGCUUGGGUGUUCUGGGAUUUGCAAUUGCAAUCAUCCUCUGAGUCAGGUGAUUUCUUCUCCUGCUCUGUCUUGAUUUUCUCUCUAAUUGAAAGCAUAAAGUAUUUCAAUCAAAUUCUGUACCAGGAGUACAUAAAAGUUACUAAUAUUUUAUUUCCAUCUGUUUGCAUUGAUAACUCGGCAUAUGUUCUAGUUAAAGAACAAACAGAAACAGAGUUCAGGAAAAAGUUUCUUCGGCCACCAUAUUUGAAAAUGAAACCAUUUCCAGGAAGCAGUUGGCAGCAAAUUCAUAUGGAGUGUAGACAAUGAUGAGCAAAAAGGUGAUUCGCAAUUUCUUUUUUUUUUAAGUGAAAUUAUUUGUUAGAUUGAAGCUGAUAUUGUAAGAAGGCCAUUGAGCUAACCUAUGUCGUCACUUGCCUAGAUUGCAGGGGGUCAAGACUCAAAAGAAGCACUGAAAUUUAAAAAGCAUGGAAUAGUUCUUUUGCCAUGUGUCAAUUAAUGCAAGUUUGAAUAAGUUUAUUGGCUGAACGAUGUUAGCUUCUUUUCCUUUCGUGCACUUUGGUAUGCUAUCAAGUGACAGCCGUAUGUAUGGCUUGCAUAUAGCUGCUGCUGGGAAAAUUGACGAUUUCAUGGCUGGCCGUGUUAUUGUCUUAAAUUAGUUGUGAUAAGCUGUUGCUUGGAGAUUCUGUUGCCAAGACUUUGCUCACAUCAGAAGCUGUGGAAUCUGAACCCUUCGUUAUGUAUCAUCUUUUUCAUUGUUUUAAAACUCUCAGGAUUAAACUUGAGCGAAUUUGUUCGGUUGUCUAUAUAAUCAUGUAUUGAGUAAACUCUCAGGAUACUGAGGGUGAGAGAAAUUAGAGGGUGUAUAGGGAUUUGGAUUUGUUAGGAAGUUAUCAUUUUUAUUUUUAUUUUUAUUUUUUUCCCAGAAAAUCUUCUGGUGGUGCUAUAUUUUCAAACGACAGUCCGAUUCAAAACUUGAUAUUCCAAUUAUAUUCAUAAGCUUCUACAGUUAUCUUCAAAAAGACAAAUGGAAGGCUUUGAACGGCUUGGGUCUGAGUAUUGUAGUUUGAUUUAUUUUGAUGAAAGUACCUUUUGACAUUGAGAUUCUUUCAUGAGUUAAACAUUCUUUUUAAAACCAACUUAUUAAAAAAAAAAAGUAACUAACAUAUAUUAUUUUGUUAGUGCUUUUUAAAUCAAAUAUAAAAAAGAGAACUGUAAUUCUUAGCAACCAAUUUUUCACUGAGUACACCUACAACAAACUAUUAAAAAAUAAAGUGAUAGAAAAUGCCUGAUUUUUCGUACUUUCUAAUUACUUUUGGUCCUAAAAUAUGGCAAUUUGUGUAAUAAUAAGCCCAUGUAUAUCUUUAUGCCAUUAGUUUGAUAAAUAGCUAUCAAGGAUAACUUAUUAAGCUAAAAAUAUUUGAAGGAUAAAUUGAUUUAUGCAUCCAAAGAUACAUUAUAUAUUUCUGUGUCUCUAUUUAUAGAUGACAUUUAAGCAUCCAUAAACCGUCAGACAGAGGAAGGGGGUUCAGUGCAAAGAUUCUGUUGACCUAGGGUUGACUGCAUAAUGUCACUUGUUCGCAAUCUAUUAUUUAUUUUAUAUUUUGAAGAAUUUAAUGGGUAAUCCUAAUUGUUUGUUUUGGCAGGUAUGUGUUGUUAUCUCCUUCUAUCUAACAGUCGUACCUAAAUAGCAUAGUUUCAUCUGUGUUACCAUGUGAUGUACAUAAUUUCACAUUUGCCUCAGAUUAAGCUUAAUUUCCCACAGAAUAGAGCUGUCGUGACUGGACUUAGGUUGAUGUCCAAAGAGGUAAAUUAUUGGCAUGCCUAGAUAAUUUGGCCAUUUCCUAAUUCAUAAGUCUACAUUAAUUUUGAUUUUGAGUUGACUGAUUUCUUUUCAAGGUCUGCUUCCUUAACGGAGUGACCAAUGUUUUUCAACUAAAUUUAUCAUAUGAUGCAGGAAGCAGGGCAGGAUAUGAAAUGAGAUCUCAUUGGUGGAAGUAUUGCCAGUAGCAGAACCCAAUGAAAAUGAAACUAUUUCAAGGCAGCAGUUGGCAGUUGCAAGUGAAUGGAGGCCCUUGACAAAAUUCUCAAGCGGUUGCAAUGAUGGUAAUUUCUUCUCCUGCUUUGUAUUUAUUUGUUAUCUAAUUAGGAAGCGUGAAGUAUCUUGAAUCAUUUUCUGUAUCUGGAAUAUAUGCAAGAGUUUCUAAAAUUUUGAUAUGAGUGUAAUGAUGGUAAUUUCUGUUUUCUGUCUGUCAUCAAAUGUUAGAAAACUUUCAUUGAGACCCUUGAACCGAGUCAUUUUUGACAAGUGAAGGACAAUUGCUGAAGAGUGGGAAUGGUGCUAGAUUGGGGAAUAAAGACAAAGGAGGUAAAUUAUUUGCAGUUUAUUCAGCAUUAUUUGCUUUGGACCACCGCCUGAUUCACAAGUCUCCAUAAUUUGGCUUUUGACCAGUUAAUAAAUUUUUAAUUCCAUUGGUGCUAAAUGUACACGUGAAGCAGGCAGAGCAGGACUGUGGAAAUGAGAAGGUUUUUAGUGAAAGCUUAAACUCAGGUAAUUCUAAAAAGUACAUGUUUUUGCUGAUUUAUCUAAAUCAGGAAAUUUUAUUUCCAUCUGUUACAAGAUAAAACAGAAACAGAACACAAAGAAAAAUAUUCUACUUCUUGUGGCAAUCUUGCCUUCAUUCAGACAAUGAAACCAUUUCCUUUCACCAAUUUCUUCCAAAAGUUUGAAUAAGUUUCAUGGUUGGACAUAGUUAGCUUCUUUUUCUUUUUGGUGCAUUUAGGUCCUAUCAAGUGACAGCCAUAAGUAUGAUUGCAUUAUUGGGAAAUUUUAGGUUUGGAUGGCUCCCCAUGUUAUUGCCAAGAAAGUCCUCAUGUCAGAAGCUGCGGUUCUUUUCAUCAGCCUGAACCCGAACCUGUCGUUAUGGAUAACUCAGGUUUUUGUCAUCAACUAUAUCAUCUUUUUUACUGUUUUGAAACUCUUAAGAUUAAACUUCAGUAAAGUUGUUUCAGUUAUCCAUGUAAUCAGGCUAAGGAUAUUUAGCAGCUUAUUUAGGCAACUGCCAGAAUUCAGUUUGUUUGCUCGAAACUUGUAUGGUGACAAGGAUACUGGCAAGGAUAGUGAGAUAGUUUUUUGUGUGAGUGAAAUUUGAAAGCUUGGGUGUUCUGGGAUUUGCAAUUGCAAUCAUCCUCUGAGUCAGGUGAUUUCUUCUCCUGCUCUGUCUUGAUUUUCUCUCUAAUUGAAAGCAUAAAGUAUUUCAAUCAAAUUCUGUACCAGGAAUACGUAAAAGUUACUAAUAUUUUAUUUCCAUCUGUUUGCAUUGAUAACUCGGCGGCAUAUGUUCUAGUUAAAGAACAAACAGAAACAGAGUUCAGGAAAAAGUUUCUUCGGCCACCAUAUUUGAAAAUGAAACCAUUUCCAGGAAGCAGUUGGCAGCAAAUUCAUAUGGAGUGUAGACAAUGAUGAGCGAAAAGGUGAUACGCAAUUUCUUUUUUUUUUUUUUUAAGUGAAAUUAUUUGUUAGAUUGAAGCUGAUAUUGUAAGAAGGCCAUUGAGCUAACCUAUGUCGCCACUUGCCUAGAUUGCAGGGGGUCAAGACUCAAAAGAAGCACUGAAAUUUAAAAAAGCAUGCAAUAGUUCUUUUGCCAUGUGUCAAUUAAUGCAAGUUUGAAUAAGUUUAUUGGCUGAACGAUGUUAGCUUCUUUUCCUUUCGUGCACUUUGGUAUGCUAUCAAGUGACAGCCGUAUGUAUGGCUUGCGUAUAGCUGCUGCUGGGAAAAUUGACGAUUUCAUGGCUGGCCGUGUUAUUGUCUUAAAUUAGUUGUGAUAAGCUGUUGCUUGGAGAUUCUGUUGCCAAGACUUUGCUCACAUCAGAAGCUGUGGAAUCUGAACCCUUCGUUAUGUAUCAUCUUUUUCAUUGUUUUAAAACUCUCAGGAUUAAACUUGAGCGAAUUUGUUCGGUUGUCUAUAUAAUCAUGUAUUGAGUAACCUCUCAGGAUACUGAGCAGGCAAAUGUUAUAACUCGGUUUGUUAGCCAAAAACUUGUUGAAGAUUCUUGACAAAGCUGCAUCAAGUGAAUUGUCGGAGCUCUGAGGGUGAGAGAAAUUAGAGGGUGUAUAGGGAUUUGGAUUUGUUAGGAAGUUAUCAUUUUUAUUUUUAUUUUUAUUUUUUUCACAGAAAAUCUUCUGGUGGUGCUAUAUUUUCAAACGACAGUCCGAUUCAAAACUUGAUAUUCCAAUUAUAUUCAUAAGCUUCUACAGUUAUCUUCAAAAAGACAAAUGGAAGGCUUUGAACGGCUUGGGUCUGAGUAUUGUAGUUUGAUUUAUUUUGAUGAAAGUACCUUUUGACAUUGAGAUUCUUUCAUGAGUUAAACAUUCUUUUUAAAACCAACUUAUUAAAAAAAAAAAGUAACUAACAUAUAUUAUUUUGUUAGUGCUUUUUAAAUCAAAUAUAAAAAAGAGAACUGUAAUUCUUAGCAACCAAUUUUUCACUGAGUACACCUACAACAAACUAUUAAAAAAUAAAGUGAUAGAAAAUGCCUGAUUUUUCGUACUUUCUAAUUACUUUUGGUCCUAAAAUAUGGCGAUUUGUGUAAUAAUAAGCCCAUGUAUAUCUUUAUGCCAUUAGUUUGAUAAAUAGCUAUCAAGGAUAACUUAUUAAGCUAAAAAUAUUUGAAGGAUAAAAUGGUAAAACUAAAAGGGUGGAGUAAUAUAGUUAUUUAAGAUUACAUAGUAAGUCAACUAUAUUCGAGGGAUAAAAUAUUAAAACUUGAAUAGUGAUAUUAAAAAUAUCUCAGCUAUUAUACUAUUAAACCAUAUGCCGUAAUAAUAUUUUUUUUCAAACUUUAAAAAAUUCAGGAUUUUAAAUUAAAACAUGGAUUUCUUUAAGAUGCUAUAUGUGUUUUUACAGUAUUGAUAGUGGGAUUAGUGUGGACCUUUAGAUGAAAGAGUUUUAAUCUGAAUCAUUCAUUUAAUAUAAUAGAUAAUUAAAUAAUUAAUUAAAAUAUAUCAGGUAACUUAUAGGUUGCAGGUAAAAAAUUAAUUUUUUAAUUUUAAAUUAAAAUUAAUUUGGAACAAAACCAUCCACACCCCUAAGGUUUACUUAAAUGAUCAUAUAAAUCCCUUUAGUUUCUACAUAGUUAUACAAACCCUCUUAAUUUCAUAAAUUAUUAUUAUACUUUUAAUUAAAACAACCUAAAUGAAUAUAAAUAUAGUAAUAGGAUAGAAAUAAUAAAUAAAUAUCAGAUGAAACAAAUAAAAUAUUACAAUAAAUACAAUUAAUUAAAUAACAUGUAGGAUGAAAAUUUUAUUCAUAUUAAGUUAUUAUUAGUCGAUCUCGAUGGAUUUACUCAAAUUAAUUAAUCCAAAAUUUAAUUUUAAGAUUGAUAUUAAUAUGGACAUAAUUAAAUAAGAUGUUGUAAUAUAUAUUACUUUGAAUGUUAAGUAUAAUUAUCUAAUAUUAUUAGUAUGUGAAAUAGAUUUUAAUAUUAUUAAAAGAAUAUGACAAUAUAUAAUUUUGACAUAAAUUUUUUAGUAUUCAUAAUAUUUUAUAAAUUUUAUCUUAUUUUAUAUAUUAUAUUUUUUAAUUUUAAUGUAUUAUAUAUGAUCAUUUAAGCAAAUUUUGGAGGUGCGGUGGUCUUUUCCCUAUUAAUUUUGUAGCAUAUUUAAAGUGUUAUAUCAUACAUCAUACAUCGCACUUUUGUUAAAGUAUUAUGUUAUUAAAAAUUAAACUUUGCAUUUAUAAUAUACUACCAUUUUAAUGUAAAUGUAACAAAAAAUAUGAAGAUAUUUUUAAGUAGUCAAUUGUAGCUUUCUAUUACAAAAUAGCAGUAUAGAAAUACAAUUGGUAAAAUGUAAUAAAAAUGGUAUGGAAAAAAGUUAGUAGAGGCAAUUAUUUUUGUAGUUGCUAAAACAUAUGAAGUGACACACACACACACACACACACACAUCAAGUACUUGUAUGUUCCCCUAACUUUUAUUAAUAGGAAGGAAAUUAAAUUCGUAAUUUUCCCGGUGAAUUAUGAAUUGAUAAAUGAAAUAUAAAUAUUAGUAAAAAUUAAUUUGUCGACUAAAGAAGUAAACCAUAUUUUAUGGGCAUUUAAUACAUUACUUUAAGGUCAAAUGAGAUAUAUCACAUGAUAUUUGAUACAGUAGUCCAAUUUUCAACAUUUGCAUAUAGUUUCUAAGCUAGUAAUCUAAUAAAAUAUACCAAAUGAGAAAUUCAAGGCUAUUAUUUAUAUUUCACAAUUGGACAAACACCAUACAUUAGAAUAAAAAAAUCUCACAGUACAGACGACAUCUGUUUGCAUGUUUUGAAAAUAGAUUUUGAAAAUAGUUUAAUUACAUGAUAAUUAAAUUAUAUUAUAAAACUAAGAAUAUGAUUUAAGUACUAUUUUAGCAAUUUUGAGUCUCACAUUGAGUAUUCAAGUUAAUUAAAUGUUGAAACUCUUUUCUAUUUGGCUUGAAAUCACUACUUAAUUAAAUUACAAAAAGUCGAUAAUGAAUGAUGUAGGACACAUAUGUAAAAUAAAUUUUAAAGUGUAAUUAAACAUUCCUAUCAAUAUUAGUUUCGUAUACAUGUUCAUAUAUUUUAUUGAAACCAUAUAUAAUUAAAUUUUGUGUAAUUAAGUAAAAUAUAUUAUUCAAGUGAAUUUAUGAGAAUAUUUAAAAUUAUAGGGGUGGUCACUGAAAUUUGCCAAACUUGAGCCAACCGUGCAUGAUCCAAACAAUUUAUUUUAAUAAUUCUCAAUAUGUUAGUCUGUUUGACUGUUGGCAAAAUAAAUUCCUAUCAGCAAUGCAACACAAUUCAAAAUCAUAUCUGCAUACAACGAACAAUAUCUCAUCAAAGAUCAAAUUAUACAUUUUUUACACCAAAGCAUAAAUAUCUAAAUUAUCCCUCUUCAACUCACCAAGCUCAUACCUAACAACAGCAAGAUUAAAUGUCAUUUGAUCCAUCUUUUUUAGUAAGCUUUAUCAAUUCUUCUCAUGGUUGCAAUUUUGAAAGCUCGCUUCGCUAUUUCCAUUUGCUUUUAUGCUUUGUUUGAGCUCCAUCUUUUCUCUCCAUCUACAUUUUACACUGUAAAAAAAAUUUUAAAAAAAUUACAAAGCUUCUUAUACUAGAAUAUGAGCAACAAUAUAAAUAAUAAACAAUAAAGUUAUGAUAGCACAACAUACUCAUUAAAGUGCUUCUUUUUUUUUUUCAACAAGAAAUUACUACUGAAUUAAAGAAUUGGCUUUGCAUUAAGGUUUGCCUUCAAUAACUCAACUCCCCACUUGGGUUUUGUCGUUUUCUUAAAAUCUCUGCUCAAUCAAUUUAAAGAUCCAUUUUUUUUUUCUUUCCAAAGAUCUAAAAGCAAUGUCUUUUAUUGGUACCCAACAAAAAUGCAAGGUCUGUGAGAAGACAGUUUGUCCAGUUGAGCAGUUAUCUGCUGAUGGGGUUGUUUAUCACAAGUCUUGCUUCAAGUGCUAUCACGGCAAAGGCACACUCAAGCUAAGCAAUUACUCAUCCCUGGAAGGUGUUCUUUACUGUAAGCCUCACUUUGAGCAGCUUUUGAAGGAGUCGAGUAACUUCAACCAGAAUUUCCAAUUACCUGCAAAGUCAGCUGAGAAGUUAACUCCUGAGCUGAGAAGGUCGCCUAGCAAAGUUGCCAGCAUGUUCUCUGGGCCCAAUAAAAAUGUGCUUCUUGCAGUAAAACAGUGUGUCCGUGGGAGAAGGUAGCAGUGGAAAACCAAGCCUCUCACAAGACAUGUUUCAAGUGCUCACAUGGUGGUUAUUCCAUUAGCCCGUCAAAUUACGCAGCCCUAGAAGGCAUCUUGUAUUGCAAACAUAAUUUCUCCCAAUUGUUCAAGGAAAAAGGCAGCUACAACCACCUUAUAUCAAAUCUGCUCCCAUGAAGCGUGCUGCAGUCUCUGUUCAAGAAGCUUGAACACGUUAUGUUAUCUUCCAUAAAUCUUAUUUGGCGUGGGUUUUCUCUGGCUUGAGGGUGUGCUUUCUAUUUUGAUCCCUCUUGUUGUUUUUGCGGGGAACUACCAAACCUUCGGUUCCCUCUGCUUCUUUGGAUCAUCUUUGUUUGGACAAAUUUCAUGUAAUUAGAGAUACCGAUUUAUGGGAGGCAUAAUCCCAUGGUCGUAAAUUGACCAUUUUCUGGCAAUGUUCUUUUUAAAAAGAGAUGAGCAGUUGUUUAAAAAAAAAAAAAAUUGCUUGCCUUCAUCAUUGUAUAUUACCAAACUGCUAUGUAUAGCUGCUAACUAUGAGCAUCCGAAAAUAUGGUGCAUCGUGAUUCAUGUAGUGCAAUAUGGCUACCAACGCAUCCUAAAUGGAGUAUUACUCAGUUAGUCAGCAAAAUAAGACAACAUAACUGAUAUUAAAAAAAAAAAAAAACUACAUUAAUAAGUGGGCAAGAUCAUGCCAGUUUAACUUUUCGCGCGUCGCUGCUGGAGAUGAUCAAAUCGGGGCAUAGAAAAGGAGAAUGGAAUCAGAGGCUAAGAUUAAUAAGUGGGCUUCUGCUUGCUUUGCCCUCUUUCUUAAACGAUUGGUAGACUGCUGCUUCCGCCGAUUAACCGGGUCUUCAACCACUGCUUUUACUGCCUGCCAUCUUGUUGUUUGUCGAAGGGAUGAAUUCGAGUCGAAAAGAGAAAGCGCGCUGAAAAAGAUAAAUCACUAGUGGUUAACUGCUGACUCAGCCAAGUGUUGGCUUCACUUGAUUCACCGAUUGAGGUUAUUUUGUCUUCUAUCUAAUGCAGCGAAGAAGCUUUGCUGCUUAACAUGCUGCAAUGCAACUUUAUCCUUUGAAGUUCACACUCCAGGGCUGCGCACUUUAUGUAAUCCUAUGAGUAAAAAGAAUUUGUUUUCAAAUGUGAAAAAAGAAAAUGUAAGGUAGUAACUAAAUAUAUUAUAGCAUCAAAGCAAGAUUUGAUAUGAAUUUAGUACAACAAAGAACAUCAAAUCUGUGAUUCCUUGUCUAAUGUCACCAUCGAGCAACAAAUUUAAAAGCCUACCUAUCAAAUACACGAGGCAAUAAACGGAGAAAAAGUUGAAUUACAAGAACAAGUUUACAAUUCUUGUCAAUGGUUAAUGAUUUGUGAACUGAGAUAUCAUUCAAGAAUCCAAUUUCAAUACAACAACCUAAAAGAUAAACAGAUGAUGAAUUUUAUGAGAUAAAAAAGGAGAUCGUGUUUUAUCGUAUCUCUAUUUUCUUUCUUUUUAAAUUUAUGAGAUAAAGCGGUUGGUCCAGUUACGGUGUUAUGCUAACGGGUUUAAAGGUUCCGAUCCAAUGAGUUAGGGUGGAAUAUGAAUAUAUAAAUUCCAUAGCAUGUAAGGACUAGGAUUUGUUUGUUCAUAUCAAGAAAAAAAAUCUGAAAAUUUGAUGAUCAGAAGAUAAAAACACUUAAACACGUUUAAGUAUCAAUAAAUACUUGCUGCUGUAGUUUGAAAAUAAAAUGAGUUUAUCUUGUUGCUGUUUGAUAAAAAUUUAUACUAUUUUUAUUAAUUUUGUCAAAAUCAAUAUUUAGACAUUAUAUUUACCAAGCAUUAUCAUUUUUUUAAUCUCAUAAUUAAUUAAAAUUUUCAUUUCAUUCAAUACAGUAAUUAAUUAGAAUUGUAGCAUAAGCCCAUUUUAAUUUUCUUUCUUUAGGCUAUAUACGCUACUUAUAAGAAAAACUUAUGGACCAUUGACCUAGGCUUAUACAAUAAGCCAAUUUAGAAAUUGUAGACUCACUCUAUGGAUUACUCAUGAGUUGUGGAUGAUGAGUUCUUCACUAACGAAGUGCAUUGGAUAUCAUAUAACGUAAAAACACACAUUGUCAUUAGUCUAUUGCAAGCAUUCCCAUUUGGCACCGAAUCUUUCUCAUUAGCCUAUUGCAAGCGAUCCCAGCCACUUGGAAUCAAAAUUUAGUGAAUUUACAUAUGUUGUCUCGAAGUGGUGUCUCUUAUGGUUGGGUGUUUUUAUAAAUUUCUUAAUUGCUUCGAAUACCAUGGCUGAUGCAACCGUUUCUACUAUCUUGGAGCAGCUGAUUUCCUUCGCUGCUGAAGAGAUAAAACAACAGGUGAUCGAAGUUGCACCCCUCAUAUUACAAAUGCUUCCAAUGAUUUUAAUUGGUUUUGUUUUUAUCAAAAACAUUAUAUAUUUUUUCUUUAUUUUAUUUAUCUGGUAAUUUUAGAUUUUGAAAUUUGAAUUGAAUUUAAUUAAAAGGUGAUGUAGUAACCACUUAUUUUUAUUUUUUUUUAUUUAUAUUCUCAAUAACUACUCAUAGUUUGGUAACUUACUAUAACUUCCAUAUCUAAGAAAUGAUCCAAACCCACAAUUUUAACUCAAGUUUGUCAAACAGUCAUUAAUUCAAUGUUUAGUAAAAAAAACACUUCUCAGCACAGAAUUCCAUGUCCAUUACUUAGACUCUAUGAAAAAUUUCAUAAUUUUCUUACAUUCUUUGAGUUUGGUAAGUGAUUUCAUAUAUUUUCUAUUCAAUAUAAAUUUUAAUUUGUUUUCUUAUAUACUCUCUUUGCUGAAUUUGUAUCUUUUAUGAUUCUUAGAUUUUGGGCUCUAACUUUUUAGGAUUUGAUAGUCACAUUUUAUGCCAUGCUUAGAUUGAUUUUCAUGAUUUUUACUACCCGUUAAGUGACUUAGAAUUUGACAAAAGUUUGAAAGGAAAUCUGCUUCAGGAUUCUGUUUUAAUUGACCCUUUAGUGGAAAUAAAAUGCUUAUAACUUAAUGUGGAUGCUAUGUAAAAUCAUGAAAUUUGGAUAGAAUUAACUAGAAAUAUGUACAAGACUCUCCAUGAAGUCUCAUAAUUUUUCAUUCGGUCUGGGGUGUUACAGGUGAAGCUUGUGGUUGGUGUCGAAAAAGAAGUGAAAAGCCUUACCAGCCACCUUCAAGCCAUUCAAGCUGUGCUCGAUGAUGCAGAGGAAAAGCAAGUGAAGGACAAAGCUGUUAGACAUUGGCUGGGUAGGCUCAAGUAUGCAUCCUACGACAUUGAAGAUGUGUUGGAUGAGUGGAUCACAGGAAGACGCAAAUUGCAAAUUGAGGGUGGCAUUGGUGAAAAUGCUCUUAUUGCUCCUCAUAAGAAAAAGAAGGUACGUUUCUGCUUUCGUGCCUCUUGUCUUGGAUUCAAAACAGAAGAAUUUGGCUUCAAACAAGUCUUUCUACGUCAUGACAUUGCCAACAAGAUCAAAGAAAUGAAUGAAGAGCUACAUGAUAUUGCUACUCAAAAAGACAUGUUUAAUCUUGUUAAGAGUGGCAAUAACAGUAGUGAAAGACCAAGGCGUGUACAGAGUACCUCCUUGAUUGAUGAGGAAGAGAUUUGUGGUAGAGUUGGUGAGAAGAAUGAACUCAUAAGCAAGCUGUUGUGUGAGAGUAGCGAGCAACAAAAAGGCCUCCAUAUCAUCUCAAUUGUUGGUAUGGGAGGCAUAGGGAAAACUACUCUUGCACAACUAGCUUGUAAUCAUGACGAGGUGAAGAGAAAGUUCGACAAAAUUCUGUGGGUGUGUGUAUCAGAAACUUUUGAGGAGUUUAGGGUUGCCAAAGCAAUCGUUGAAGCUUUGGAUGGUCGUGAAUCUCAUUUAGGUGAAUUCCAAUCUCUUCUUCAACAUAUUGAUGAAUCCAUUGCAGGGAAGACCUUUCUUCUUGUCUUAGAUGACGUGUGGGAUGGAAAUUACUUGAAAUGGGAACCAUUCUACCGUUGUCUAAAGAAUGGUCUCCAUGGAAGUAAAAUUAUAGUUACCACACGUAGUGGGUCCGUUGCAUCCAUGAUGGGAUCCAUAGAUAUUAUUCCCAUUAAGGAAUUAGCUGAAGAGGAAUGUUGGUUGUUGUUUAACAAGAUAGCAUUUUUUGGUAGGCCUAUUGAGGAACGUGAAAAAUUAGAACAAAUUGGGCAAAGAAUUGCAGGCAAGUGCAAAGGUUUACCUCUUGCAGCAAAGACAAUAGGGAGUCUCAUGCGUUCUAAACAAACUGAAGAAGAGUGGAAAAGAAUUUUAAAUAGUGAUUUAUGGAAAGUAGAAGAGAUUGAGAAAGAUGUUUUGUCCUCUUUAUUGUUGAGUUAUAAUGAUUUGCCAUCUAGAGUAAAAAGAUGUUUUUCAUAUUGUGCUGUCUUUCCAAAAGACUACAAUAUAAAAAAAGACGAACUAAUCACAUUAUGGAUGGCUCAAGGUUAUCUUAGUGCAGAAGCAGCAGAACAAGAUGAGGAGUUGGAGACUAUAGGUGAAGAGUAUUUUGGCAUCUUAGCUUCUCGCUCUUUCUUUCAAGAGUUUGAGAAAAGUUAUGAUAAUCGUAUUAUAGAGUGCAAGAUGCAUGAUAUGGUACAUGAUUUUGCCCGCUUUGUAAGUCAAAAUGAAUGUUUUUCGAUGGCAAUUAAUGGUAGUGAAGAACCAAACGCCACAAACGCUCUUGAUGAGAAGGUCCGUCAUUUAAUGUUAAUAUUUAGUAAAGCGGCUUCAUUACCUAUUUCCACUCUUAGAGUUAAAAGAAUGCGUACCCUCUUAAUUAACGAUCAUUCAUUAUUAAAUGCUGCGAUCCUAGAAGAAUUAUUUAGGGAAUUGACAAGUUUAAGGGCAUUAGAUUUUGGCGGAUCGUACCACUCAACGCGGUUGUUGACUCCGGAGGUUCCGAGAAACAUAGAAAAGCUGGUACUACCGGAGACAUUGUGUGAGUUAUAUAAUCUAGAAAAGUUAGAUAUUAGUGAUUGUUUUAAUCUUAAAGAAUUACCUGAAGGGAUUGGGAAGUUAAUAAACGUGAAGCAUUUACUAAAUAGAGGUACUAAUUCUUUAAGGUACAUGCCAGUAGGGAUUGGGAGAUUAACAGGUCUUAGGACCUUGGGUGAGUUCCACGUGAGUGCAGGAGGAGGUGUUGAUGGUAGGAAAGCAUGUAGGCUUGAAUCUCUUAAAAACUUGGAACACCUUCAAGUAUGUGGUAUAAGUAGACUGGGUGAUGUAUCAGAUGUGGGCGAGGCUAAGCGAUUAGAACUUGACAAAAAGAAAUACCUCUCCAGUUUGACCCUUUGGUUUGAUAAGGAGGAGGAAGAAGAAGGAGAAAGAAGGAAGAACGAGGACAAUCAACUUCUUCUUGAAGCCCUGCGACCACCUCUCAAUUUAAAGGAAUUAGAGAUUGAGUACUACCGAGGCAACACUGUUUUCCCCAGCUGGAUGACGUCAUUAACCAACUUGAAGAGUUUAGAUCUCUCUUCCUGCGAAAAUUGCGAGCAGCUGCCUCCUUUGGGAAAAUUGCAGUCCCUUGAAAAUCUCCACAUAUGGCGCAUGGAGAGUGUGAAGAGAGUGGGUGAUGAAUUUUUGGGGAUAGAAAGUGAUCAUCAUGGCUCAUCUUCAUCUUCAUCGGUUAUUAUUGCCUUCCCCAAAUUGAAAUCACUUUCAAUUGAGGUUCUGCGCGAAUUGGAGGAGUGGGAUUAUGGGAUUACAAGAACGGGAAACACCGUCAUCAACAUCAUGCCACGUCUUUCUUCAUUGACAAUUAAUUACUGCUCCAAAUUAAAGGCACUGCCCGACCACUUUCAUCAAACGACAACAUUGAAGGAAUUGCACAUUUGGAAGUGCAGGCUUCUGGAAGAACGUUAUUGCAAUGGGGAAGGAGAAGACUGGUCUAAGAUAUCACACAUUCCCAACCUCCAUAUUGGGCUUUGACAAGUAAUUUCUUCUCUUACUCUGAUUUGCUUUGUUGUUGUUUUUAAUCUAAUUAAGAAGCGUAAAUAGCAUUUUGAAUCAAACUCUAUAUCAGAAAUCUGCAAUACUUACUUUCUAAUAUUCUGAUUUUCAUAUCCUAUGAAUAUACGAUUUUUAAUUUGUGAGAUGGGUAACGUUACUGUAAAAGAUUAUUAAUGCAAUAUGAGUAAUUCUUUUGCAGGACAAGUGACCUACAUUUAGUUUGGCUUUGGAGUUGAAUAAUAACCUUUCGAGGUCCCGACAACCAAAAAACGAAGCUUAAUUUGCCACAGAUUGCACGUAUUGCCAUUAUUGACAAUUUUCUGCACAAGCGUGACUGAACUUAGGUUGAUGUCAAAAGAGGUAAAUUAUUGGCAUGCCUGACUAUUUUGACCAUUACAUGAUUCAUAAGUUUACAUUAAUUUUGAUUUUGAGUUGAGUGAUUAAUUUUCUAUGUUUGCUUACUUUAACUGGGUGACCAAUUUCUUGUAACUAAAUGUAUGAUGUGAUGCAGGAAGCAGGGCAGGAUAUGAAAAGAGAAGCUUAUUAGAGGAAGGAUUGCCAGUAACAGAAUCCAAAGAAAAAGAAACCAUUUCGAGGCAGCAGUUGGCAGUUGGCAGUGAAUGGAGCCCCUUGAAAAAGUUCCCAAGCCGUUGCACUGCAAUUACGAUCAUCCUCGGCCUCAGGUAAUUUCUUCUCCUGCAUUUUUGUUAUUUGCUAUCAAGUGACUAUUUUAAGUAUGAUUGCAUUAAGCUGCUACUGGGAAAUUUGAGGUUUUGAGGACUGCCCAUGCUAUUGUCAGAAGCUGCGGUUCUUUUCAUCAGCCUGAACCUGGACCUGCCGCUAUGGAUAACUCAGGUUUUUUUUUUUUUUAAUCAACUGCCAUCUUUUCCACUGUUUAGAAACUCUUAAGAUUAAACUUUAGUAAAGAUGUUUUAGUUAUCCAUGUAAUCAGGCUGAGGAUACUUAGCUGCCUAUUUAGGCAAAUGUCAGAAUUUAGUUUGUUCGCUGGGAACUGGUGUGGACUGGCAAAGGAUGAUGAGAUAGUUUUUUGAGUGAGUAAAUUUUGGGAGCUUGAGUGUAUUGGGAUUUGCAAUUACAAUCAUCCUCUGCCUCAGGUGAUUUCUUCUCCUGCUCUGUCAUUGUUUGUUCUCUAAUUCAAAAGCAUAAAAUAUUUCAAUCAAUUUUUAUACCAGGAAUAUGCAAAAGUUUCUAAUAUUUUAUUUCCAUCUGUUACAAGAUCAAACUGAAGCAGAACUCAAUCAAAAGUAUGCUGCUUCUUGCGGAAAUCUUGCCUUUGUUCAGAUUAUGAAACCAUUUCCAUGCAGCAAAUUCAUCCAAAAAUUUGAAUAAGUUUCACGGUUGGACACUGUUGGCUUCUUUUUCUUCCGGGGUGCAUUUAGGUGCUAUCAAGUGACAGCUGUAAGUAUGAUUGCACUAAGCUGCCGCUGGGAAAUUUGAGGUUUUGAUGGCUGCCCAUGUUAUUUUCAAUAAACUAUUGAUGUAAGAAGCUGUGGUUCUUUUCAUCAGCUUGAACCUGAAACUGUCGCUAUGGAUAACUCAGGUUUUUGUUAUCAACUAUAUCAUCUUUUUCACUAUUUUGAAACUCUUAAGAUUAAACUUUAGUAAAGUUGUUUCAGCUAUUCAAAUGAAAAACUCAUUGAUUUGAGACUUCCUUCAUUAUUGUUUCUAAUUACAAUGCUAACGAUCCAGAUAAAAUAAUAUUUAAUCAACGAAGGUGUUGAUUGAUUUGAGACUUCCUUCAUUAAUGUAGACUUCCUUCAUUAUUGUUUCUUUUUCUUUUAUUCUAUAAAAUCUUGCAAUGAGCUUAGUGAAGCUGUUGUGCUAAUCAUGCCACUGCAUAAUUUGGCCCCUAAUGUGAGUACUCUGUUACAUUGUUCUGCAAAUUCUCCAGAAGUUAAAAUCAAUAAAUUUUCUAUUAGCUCUAGUGCUUUGACCUAAAUGCUAUUCUAUAUUCUGAUUACAAUGUUUUAACCUUUAAAUUAACUACCCCUAGAUGUUGGAUUUUCUAGAACUUCAAAAUGAUUAAUGGAGAAAGAUCCCAUUAUCGUUAUUGCUAUAAGAAAUUGAUUUAUGCAUCCAAAGAUACAUUAUAUGUUUCUGUGUCUCUAUUUAUAGAUGACACCUAAGCAUCCCAUUAUCUAUUAUUUAUUUUAUAUUUUGAAGAAUUUAAUGGGUAAUCCUAAUUGUUUGUUUAGGCAGGUAUGUGUUGUUAUCUCCUUCUAUCUUACAGUCGUACCUAAAUAGCAUAGUUUCAUCUGUGUUACCAUGUGAUGUACAUAAUUUCACAUUUGCCUCAGAUUAAGCUUAAUUUCCCACAGAAUAGAGCUGCCGCGACUGGACUUAGGUUGAUGUCCAAAGAGGUAAAUUAUUGGCAUGCCUAGAUAAUUUGGCCAUUUCCUAAUUCAUAAGUCUACAUUAAUUUUGAUUUUGAGUUGACUGAUUUCUUUUCAAGGUCUGCUUCCUUAACAGAGUGACCAAUGUUUUUCAACUAAAUUUAUCAUAUGAUGCAGGAAGCAAGGCAGGAUAUGAAAUGAGAAGCUCAUUGGUGGAAGUAUUGCCAGUAAGAGAACCCAAAGAAAAUGAAUCUAUUUCAAGGCAGCAGUUGGCAGUUGCAAGUGAAUGGAGGCCCUUGACAAAAUUCUCAAGCGGUUGCAAUGCAAUUACGAUCAUCCUCAGCCUCAGGUAAUUUCUUCUCCUGCUCUGUUUUUAUUUGUUAUCUAAUUAAGAAGCAUAAAGUAUCUUGAAUCACUUUAUGUAUCUGGAAUAUAUGCAGCAGUUUCUAAAAUUUUGAUAUGAGUGUAAUGAUGGUAAUUUCUGUUUUUUGUCUGUCAUUGAAUGUUAGACAACUUUCAGUGAGACUCUUGAACCGAGACAUUUUGGACAAAUGAAGGACAAGUGCUGAAGAGUGGGAAUGGUGCUAGAUUGGGGAAUAAAGACAAAGGUGGUAAAUUAUUUGCAGUUUAUUCAGCAUUAUUUGCUUUCGACCAGCGCCUGAUUCACAAGUCUACAUAAUUUGGCUUUUGACCAGUUGUUAAUAAAUUUUUAAUUCCAUUGGUGCUAAAUGUACACGUGAAGCAGGCAGAGCAGGACUGUGGAAAUGAGAAGCUUUUUAGGGAAAGCUUAAACUCAGGUAAUUCUAAAAAUUAAUUCUGAUUGUUCCGAUUUAUCUAAAUCAGGAAAUUUUAUUUCCAUCUGUUACAAUAAAACAGAAACAGAACACAGAGAAAAAUAUUCUACUUCUUGUGGCAAUCUUGCCUUCAUUCAGACUAUGAAACCAUUUCCUUUCACCAAUUUCUUCCGAAAGUUUGAACACGUUUCAUGGUUGGACAUAGUUAGCUUCUUUUUCUUUUGGUGCAUUUAGGUGCUAUCAAGUGACAACCAUAAGUAUGAUUGCAUUAUUGGGAAAUUUUAGGUUUUGAUGGCUCCCCAUGUUAUUGCCAAGAAAUUUUAAGUCCUCAUGUCAGAAGCUGCGUUUCUUUUCAUCAGACUGAACCCGAACCUGUCACUAUGGAUAACUGAGGUUUUUGUCAUCAACUCUAUCAUGUUUUUCACUGUUUUGAAACUCUUAAGAUUAAACUUCAGUAAAGUUGUUUCAGUUACCCAUGUAAUCAGGCUAAGGAUAUUUAGCAGCUUAUUUAGGCAACUGCCAGAAUUCAGUUUGUUCGCUCGAAACUUGUAUGGUGACAAGGAUACUGGCAAGGAUAGUGAGAUAGUUUUUUGUGUGAGUGAAAUUUGAAAGCUUGGGUGUUCUGGGAUUUGCAAUUGCAAUCAUCCUCUGCUUUAGGUGAUUUCUUCUCCUGUUCUGUCUUUAUUUUCUCUCUAAUUGAAAGCAUAAAGUAUUUCAAUCAAAUUCUGUACCAGGAAUACGAAAAAUUUACUAAUAUUUUAUUUCCAUCUGUUUGCAUUGAUAACUUGGCCGCAUAUGUACUAGUUAAAGAACAAACAGAAGCAGAGUUCAGGAAAAAGUUUCUUCGGCCACCAUAUUUGAAAAUGAAACCAUUUCCAGGAAGCAGUUGGCAGCAAAUUCAUACAAAGUAUAGACAAUGAUGAGCAAAAAGGUGAUUUGCAAUUUCAUUUUUUUAAAAUGAAAUUAUUUGUUAAGUUGGAGCUGAUAUUGUUAGAAGGCCACUGAGCUAACCUAUGACACUGCUUGCCUAGAUUGCAGGAGGUCAAGACUCAAAAGAUGCACUGAAUUUUAAAAGGCAUGCAAUAAUUCUUAUGGCCAUUUGUCAAUGGUGGAAGGCUUUUAGCUUCUUUUCCUUUCGUGCAUUUUGGGGUUCUAUCAAGCGACAGCCGUAUGUAUGGAUGGAUAUAGCUGAAGGACAACAUUUGUCCAUGAGGUUCCUAAAAUCGCAACUUUUGUGCAGUAAAAUUAAAACGGACGGCGGAAGCUCUAGAAACCUCGGAUCGGCUUCAUUCAAAAACUAAAAUCAAGAGGAAAGAUUGAAGUUUAAUUACCUCACUUGCAGUUUCGAAAAAGACUUCUUGAGGUAGGAGAAAACGACUGAAAACAGCAAGCUACGAACACUGUCCAGAAAAUACAGCUCUGCACGAACAGCUUCUGUUUUGCCACGAUCUGAGAUCCUUAAGCACCCCAAUUGUGAUGCCUCUAAUUAUUCCACACUUAUAAAUGUUCUAGGAGUUCAGAGGAUUUUGAAUCACGAAAUUUCGUUUAGAAAUGAGAGAGAUAAUGAUGAAACAUGAAUGCUAGUUCAUGAUGAUUCCCCUUCCACCAAAUAAAGCACCAUUAUGUCUAAUAAUGGCACCAAACAUUAUCAUGUGCUAGACCCAUCCACUUAGCUAUAAUUUAUUGAAAGUGAUCUUAUCACUUAAAUAAAUUAUUUAAUCAAAUUAAUAAAUAGCUAAAUUAAUUAAUUUCGUAAUUAAUUAAUUAACCCCAUUUUGAUCAAAUCAAAUGGUUAAAUGUGGGCUCAUUUUGUGACAUGUUCUAAUGCUUUCUCUUAAUCCAUAUUAGAUCCAAUAAAAGCCCAAAAUUCUAAACCCAAAAAUGGUCUAGAAGUCCAUAAUCAUAUAUGAACCCGAACAUGUCCAAAAUGGUCAUUUUACGUGCUCGAUAUUACAUAAUGUUUAAUGGAGGAUUUACGAAAUUUAUUUUGUUCCUUAAACUAUUUAUGGAACAUCUAAAUUUCUAUCUUAAAUCAUAUUUAAGAUAUAUUUAUAUAUAUAUGUAUAUUCAUUCUCAAUGAAUUAUAAUAUAAAUAUUGAUUUUCCUAAAAAUAGGAAAUUUAACUUCUCAUUUUCUAGUAACUCCUUUUUCAUUUCUAUUUAAUGUGUGACCUUUUAGGUUCUUAGUUAUAAGGUAGUAGAACUAUUUUAAUGAUAACUCUUUAUUCAUUAAAUGAUGCUAAACUCUUUAGUCAUCAAUUAGAACUCUUCUAAUGACCUUAAGAUGCAUUGAUAAUACGCUUUACCAAUAUUGAUCUUAAGGUUUCUACAAGUCAUGAGUGACACCUAGCAGUAUAUCACAACUAUCCAAAUAACAAGAAUUGUUGGAUCUAUAGAACCUAUUCCAUUGUACCUCUAUGUCUUGGUCUCUUCAUCAUCCAUGUCCAAAGAAAAGCACGGCUUAUGGUUUAUUAUGUUAAGCACUUAUGCUUUAUCUCAAAACAAAUCUAAAUGAACUUGACAUGAAAAUAUAAUUUGAACUCCUUCAAAUAUAUUUCACCUUGGCCAAGGAUUUCUCAUGCCAAUUCAUAUUAUCUCAUAGGGACAUCCUUUUUGUAUAUUACAAAGUGAUGAAUUCCAUAUUGGCCAUGCACUAGUCUUCAUACAUAUCCAACCAUGACAGUUAUUGCUAGAUCUCUUCCGUGAUUAGGAAUCAAUCAUUAUGCAUUCACAUAUCAGAGAUGUCUAUGUAUAAGACAUCUGUUAUGCCUCAGGUCUAAAAACCAUUACUAAACAUAGUGUUUAAUACAAUGUAUAAUAAGCCAUUAACACUCAAGACCAUAUAGCUUACUAUAUUUGGUCAAGUUUAGUAAACUUGUUCUCUCAACAAGUAUCUAUGUGUUUGACUUGACAUCUCAUGUCAAUGAUAUGAAACUCACCAUCUAUUUUAGUAUCACAUACCAUAAGGAGUCAUAACACAUACUAGUGUUUAUAGAAAUUUAUAAUGUCCAAUCAUAAAUCCACCACUAGGAACUAUUUUAGAAGUAUAGUACAAAGGAUACACGUUUCAUAUUCUCGACAAACUCGAGAAUGUGUUCCUUAACUAUUUUACAUCUUGGACUAUAUUCAUUAAAUUAAUUAAUGAAUAUUGAUAACUUUGCCAUUUUAUAAAUAUCAAAAUGCUAUUCAAAUACGAUAAUUCCCUAAACAAACAAACACCAUUUGAUUGGCCUUUAGGGCAUAUUACUAACAAUCUCCCACUUGCACUAAAGCCAAUCGCUAUGGUAUCUCAUACCCAUCUUCUCAAGAUGACGAUCUAACUCUUGUUGAGUAAGUGCUUUAGUCAGAGGAUCCGCAGUGUUAUCAGCGGAGGCUACUUUCUGCAUAGUGAUAUCACUCCUUCCAAUGAUUUCUUUGAUAAUGUGAUAUCUUUUUUCUAUGUGUUUGGACUUCUAGUGAGACCUUGGUUCCUUAGCUUGUGCUAUAGCUCCAUUGUUGUCACAAUAUAAAGAGAUUGACAACGCAAUGGUUGGAACCACUUCAAGUUGUUGAAUAAACUUCCGUGUCCAAACAGCUUCUUUUGCUGCAUCUGAUGCAACUAUAUAUUUCGCUUCAGUGGUAGAAUCUGCAGUAAUUGUUUGCUUAGAACUUUUCCAGCUUACUGCUCCACCAUUGAUAGUGAAUAAAAUCCUGAUGUAGAUUUUCUAUCAUCUACAUCUGACUGGAAAUCUGAAUAUGUGAAGCCUUCAAUUUUUAGCUUACUUUCUCCAUAUGUUAAGAACAAAUCUUUAGUUCUUCUGAAGUACUUAAAGAUAUUCUUAACUGCGGUCCAAUAUUCCUCACCCGGAUUACUCUGGUAUCUGCUAGUGACACUCACUGCAUUGAGCUAUAUCCGGUCUAGUACAUAGCAUAGCAUACAUAAGACUUCCAAUUGCAGAAGCAUAUGGAAUCUUAUUCAUUCGCUCUAUCUCAUCAUAAGUUUUAGGACUCAUGCUUUUAGAGAGAUGAAUUCCAUGUCUGAAGGGUAUAAAACCCCUUUUGGAAUCCCACAUAUUAAAUUUCUUUAAUAUCUUUUCUAUGUACUUAGCUUGACAUAGACCUAUUAAUUUUCUGGAUCUAUCUCUAUAAAUCCUGAUUCCCAAGAUAUACAUUGCAUCUCCUAGGUCUUUCAUGGAGAAGUUUUGAGAAAGCCAAAUUUUGACAGAAGACAUUUGUCCAAUGUCAUUUCCUAUAAGUAAUAUGUCAUCUACAUAUAGCACAAGGAAAGAUAUUGCACUCCCACUAACCCUUUUGUAAACACAUGGUUCAUCCUCAUUCUUGAUGAAACCAAAUGAUUUGAUUGCAUCAUCAAAUCGGAUGUUCCAGCUCCUGGAGGCUUGUUUUAGCCCAUAAAUGGACUUUCUUAGCUUGCAUACUUUAUGAGGAUUUGUCUUAGAUUCAAAACCACAAGGUUGUAUCAUAUAGAUAUCUUCCUCAAUGUACCCAUUAAGAAAUGCAGUUUUGACAUCCAUUUGCCAAAUCUCAUAGUCAUAAUAUGCUGCUAUAGCCAAUAAGAUUCUGAUGGACUUUAGCAUGGCUACUGUUGAAAAGGUUUCCUCAUAGUCGAUACUUUGUAUUUGACGAUAACCUUUAGCUACCAACCUUGCUUUAUAGGUCUCUACCUUUCCAUCUAAGCCGAUCUUCCUCUUGAAGAUCCACUUGCAUCCAAUAGGUAUAAUACCUUCGGGUGGAUCCACUAGAGUCCAGACUUGAUUGGUUCUCAUAGAGUCCAUCUCUAAAUCCAUGGCUUCAAGCCAUUUCUUAGAGUCAAUAUCUGAUAUUGCCUCUUCGUAACUAGUAGGAUCAUCUCUAUGAUUUGUAUCACCCAAUAAAAAAUAUAUCGUUCAUCUGAUGAAGAAAACCAUAUCUUUCUGGUGGGUGAAUUAUUCUAUUAGAUCUACGGAGCUGCUGUGUUCCUUGUGUUUGUACUUGAACAAGUUCUUCAUUGGAUUUAUCCUCAUUAGAAUUCUCAAUAAAUUCUAUUUUUCUUCCUUGUCCACCUUCUUGAAUAAACUCUUUUUCAAGAAAUAUGACAUUUCUACUGACCAAUACCCUUUGAUCAGAUUGGAUGUAAAAGUAAUAACCCAAAGUUUCCUUUGGGUAUCCAAUGAACCUCCCACUAUCCGCUUUAGCUUCAAGUUUCUCACUCUUGAGUCUCUUGAUAAAAGCAGGACAUCCCCAAAUCCUAAGAUGAUUUAGGCUUGGUUGUUUACCAUACCACAUCUCAUACGGUAUUUUAGGUACAGACUUGGAAGGUACUCUGUUUAGUACAUAUGUUGCAGUAAGGAGAGCAUAUCCCAAAGAGAAAUUGGUAAGUCUAUAUAACUCACCAUUUAUCGCACCAUGUCUAACAGUGUGCGAUUUCUCCUCUCAGAUACUCCAUUAAGCUCUGGUGUACCUGGAGGUGUCCAUUGUGAAACAAUACCAUUUUCUUUAAGGUAAGACUGGAAUUCUCCACUGAGAUAUUCACCACCUCGAUCUGAUCGUAGGGUUUUAAUAACUUUUCCAGUCUGUUUCUCUACUUCAUUUCGGUAUUCUUUGAACUUUUCAAAGGCUUCAGAUUUAUAUUUCAUUAAGUAUACUGAACUAUACCUUGAGUGAUCGUCGAUAAAAGUUAUGAAGUAGUAAUAUCCACCCCUUGCCAUUUCAUUAAAUGGUCCACAUACAUCAGUAUGUAUAAGUUCAAGUAAAUCAGUGGCCCUUGUACUUCGUCCAACGAAGGGUGCCCUGGUCAUUUUUCCUUGAAGGCAUGAUUCACAAGUUGGAUAAGGUUCUAAACCAAAUGGACCUAUUAGUCCAUCUUUAGCCAAUUUUGUGACUCUAUCUUCUCCAAUAUGACCUAGCCUUAAAUGCCACUUAUAUUUGGGGCUUAUUUCUUCUCUUUCACGUUUAUGUGUUAUGGUAUUUACAUUCACAACAUGCUCAUUAUUUUCUUUCAUGUUUAGUACAUAUAGAUCAUUAUCUAAAGUACCAUGUGCAACAUAUUUAUUCUCAUGAUAAAUAUUACAAAUUUUAUUUCUGAAAUAAAAUUCAUAAUUGUCUUUGCAUAAACAUGAAAUUGAAACUAUGUUCCUUACAGCAGAAGGAACAAAUAAACAAUCAUUCAAACUUAUUACAUGCCCAGAUGUCAUUUUUAAGAAAAAUGUCCCUAUAGCUGAGGCAGCAACUAUUGCUCCAUUUCCCACUCUAAGAGACACUUCUCCUUGUUUAAGUCUUCUACUUCUUUUCAGAUCCUGCAUUGACAUACAAAUAUGUGCGGUCGCAGCAGAAUCUAAAAUCCAAGAAGUAGAAUGAAUGAUUGAAAUAUUAGUUUCAAUAAUGAGCAUACCUUCAGAAGGAUUCUCUUUAGGCUUGACUUUCAAGCUGUUGAGGUAAGAUUUGCAAUUCCUCUUCCAAUGCCCAUUCUUACCGCAAUGGAAACAUUUUCCCUUGUCAUUGGGCUUAUUAGCUUUCCCCUUCUUAAUCCCACCUUUAGCCUUGGGUUGAAACUUUUUCUUUUUACCCUUUUUAGUUGAGGGCCCUUCUAUAGCCAUAACAUCUUUUGGCUUCUUUAUGCAAGUUUCAGCAGUAUUAAGCAUCUUUAGCAGUUCAGCAAGACUGCACUCCAUUUUAUUCAUGUUAAAAUUCAUGAUAAAUUGAGAGCAUGAGUCUGGCAAGGACUGUAGGAUAAGGUCGAUAGCUAAUUCCCCAUCCAUUGAGAAAUUAAGAGCUUCCAGCUGCUCUAUGUAGUCAAUCAUUUUGAGUACAUGAUCAUUGACCGAUCCUUCAGUCAUUCUCAUUCUGAACAGUUUCUUAGAUAUCUCAUACCUAACUGUUCUGCUUUGUUCACCAUACAACUCUUGUAAAUGAAGUAUCAUGGAACUUGCAUCAGGCAUAUUUUCAUGUUGCCUUUGUAGUUCAUUGGACAUCGAUGCCAAUAUAUAGCUUUUAGCACUUAGGUCAUCAUCUUGCCACUUCUGAUAAGUGACACGAUCUGCCUCACUUGCUCCCUCAGGAAUUUCAUUUAGAUUAGAUGUAUCAAGAACAUAGCUAAUUCUCUCAUAAUUAAGAACAAUUCUUAAAUUUCUGAACAAAUCAACGUAAUUAGGUCCCGUCAAACGGUAGUUUUCCAGAAUUCGUGCUAACAGAUUAUUCAUUAUUAAGUAUUUCUGCAGAAAGUAUAAAUUAAAUUAUUAGCAUUUUAUUUUAUUAUAAUCUAUUUGAUUUUGGUCUUUAAACCAAAUAGUGCCUCCUGUUGAGUGUUAGAAAAUGCAUAUUUAUAAAGGAGAAAACCGUCAUUUUACAUUUCAAGUCUUAUUAACAACCCUUACUUUUAUGUAUUUAACAUUCUUGUGAUUUAAUUACAUGUGUUUAUUUUAAUUAAGUAAUUUAUGUAUUUUAGGGGCAUUAUAGUCAUUUCACAAUAAAAGAGAGAUCAGACGGCAAAACGGACAUCACUUUUGAACUCAGGACGGUCGAAAACCUUAGGAGGAGCAUAAAAGGAAAAAUGACACUAUUCACAUGUACGGUACUAUUCACGGGUACGGUAUUGUCUACGUUACUGUUCACGACAAUGUUCACAUAGACGGAUCAAUGACGUGGCAUUGAUUGAUGACGUGGCAUUGACUGAUGAGGUGUCACGAUCCUGUUGGACUAAAAUUCUUAUAUACUGUUGAUGGUGACGUGGCAGCAUAUUAGUGGACGAAAAAUCUCGCGUACGGUGCAUGCAUCACACAGGAUUAUUUUCAACCAAACCGCGUUACUGUUCAUCCGGGUCAAACCGUGUUACUGUUCAUCCGCGUGGUCAAACCGUGGACUCUUGACUGAUGACGUGGCGCAAUCUUGAGCGUCCAAACUGUUUUUAAUCCGAUGGCCAUGAUUUACUCCAUGUAUCUAUAAAAAGGGGGCCUCUCCCCCCUAAUUUGAUAUCUCUGAAUCCAUUUUUGGGAUCCAUUUUCUGUAAUUCCUUCUCCAUCUUGUAUUUUCUUCAUAUUUUAAUAAAUUUCCAUUUUGCCCCUAGUUCAAUUAUGAGUGGCUAAUUUUCUUUCAAGCUUGGGUUGAAGGUGAAGUCUCAACAUGUGUCAUGGGCUUUAUUUGGUAAAUUUAUUUUCUCUUCCCCUCUAGUUUUUGUGGAUGUUUUGACUUCUCGUCGACAAAUAAUACUAAUCUUGUCUAGUACCGCCUUGGUUUCACCGGCCUUCUAGUACAAGGUUAUUAUUAUUUGGCACGAUAAGCCCUUAGCACCAUAUUGAUUAGAGCGUGGUUCAUGAGGUGUGGAUUCCCCCUUCAUGAUUUAAUUGGCAUUAAUACGGAUUAUAUAGCCCAUGAUGCAUGUUGAUACGGAUCCAGAUACCCAAGUACGUCAAUUUAAUAGAUUUCAUUUUCAAGUUAUUCUUGCCAUUUCAAUUCCAAUUUUAGAAUUUAUUCUCGCCAUUUUAAUUUAAGUUUUAGCAUAUUCCAAAUCAUUUCAACCACAAAUCCCACCACCCAUUUCCAAAAUUAAUUCUACACAUAAUUAAAAUCCACCUCCUCGUGGGAUCGACACUCGUCACCAUUAGUCUAUACUACAAUAGAUUCGUGCGCUUGCGAGUACAUUAAAAUUUGCACAACACGUCCCACUAUUUUAUCAUUUCCUUACACUCCCAUAUGUAAGAAACGGAAACUCUCAUUGGUAAAAGUUUCUAGUAGGAAUCAGAUUCUCAUUAGCCUAAGUUUACCUCACCUAACAGUUCUUGGCUUACUUAUUAUAAUGAGUAGGUAACUCUUACCAAAUGCAUCUCAUGCAUGUACCGAUUAUCCUUCGGCCUCUAAAUCAUUAAUACCUCACCUGACAGUUCUUAGUAUAAAUGAUUUAGUUAAGUUUACCCUAAUACCCUUGCAUAUUUUCAUAACGUCUUACUAACUUCACCUAACAGUUCUUGGUAGCUUAAUGUAUGAAUUACGCAUCAUCGCAUGAUAUAUGGUUUAUUUUCAACAUUUUAAUGAAUGAGUAGCCCAUGUAUCUAUGACAACUAGCCCAAGCAUAAAAUAUUUUAAAUAUUCCAUUGGUAUUAGUAGGCCAUGAUGGAUAUUCUCAAUAUUCAUCAUUACAACUUAACAAUAAUUAUGUUUAUUUAAUUAGGGAGUAUUUGGUCAUUAUUAUGGUCUCACUUUUUAGCAUGUUAUUCCAUUUUCAAUAUUCAAAUAUGUCUAAGCACCCUAAUAUACAUCUCAUGCAUAUUAUAGACAAGCCAACUAAGGAUGAUCAUGGAAUUUUCUAAUAAAACCAAUUUGAGCCAAAAUUAGUUUUAAGGUCCACCUAGGUAUCAAGCAAACAAUAAUAAUUAUGAGACAUCCCAUGCCUCAAAUUAUCAAGCAAACAAUAAUGAUUAUGAGACAUCUUAUGCCUCAAAUUAUUACAAUUAUUAAUUUCUAUUUGAAUGGCCAAAAUAUCAUUGGAAGUGAUGCAACGAUCCACAAAGACUUCUUACUCCAACCUCCAAGGCAUCGCAACGUCCCUCCUUUGACAAUCAUCUUGUAGAAAUUACAUAUUUAGAAGAAUUGGAGUACAAAUUUAGGGGUAAUGGGAUACAAUCAGAUCUUAAUAGAAGGAGAGACAUGCAAGUCCCUAUUUAAAAAUAUAACAACCAUUUAAGCCUUUAGAAAUCGGCCAAAUCAACAAAUAAAUCAAUAGAUCAUUCAAUCACACAUAUAUUCAUUCAUCACAUGACAUAAAUAUAUCAUAAAAUAUCUAGGUCUUUCCAUGAUCGUCCUUCAUGCUAUUAUAAAUGGAAAUAACAUAAAUCAUGCUUCAAAAAUGCGAAAUUGAAUGAAGAUGGCUCUGAUACCACUUGAAGGACAACAUUUGUCCAUGAGGUUCCUAAAAUCGCAACUUUUGUGCAGUAAUAUUAAAACGGACGGCGGAAGCUCUAGAAACCUCGGAUCGGCUUCAUUCAAAAACGAAAAUCAAGAGGAAAGAUUGAAGUUUAAUUACCUCACUUGAAGUUUCGAAAAAGACUUCUUGAGGUAGGAGAAAACGACUGAAAACAGCAAGCUACGAACACUGUCCAGAAAAUACAGCUCUGCACGAACAGCUUCUGUUUUGCCACGAUCUGAGAUCCUUAAGCACCCCAAUUGUGAUGCCUCUAAUUAUUCCACACUUAGAAAUGUUCUAGGAGUUCAGAGGAUUUGGAAUCACGAAAUUUCGUUUAGAAAUGAGAGAGAUAAUGAUGAAACAUGAAUGCUAGUCCAUGAUGAUUCCCCUUCCACCAAAUAAAGCACCAUUAUGUCUAAUAAUGGCACCAAACAUUAUCAUGUGCUAGACCCACCCACUUAGCUAUAAUUUAUUGAAAGUGAUCUUAUCACUUAAAUAAAUUAUUUAAUCAAAUUAAUAAAUAGCUAAAUUAAUUAAUUUCGUAAUUAAUUAAUUAACCCCAUUUUGAUCAAAUCAAAUGGUUAAAUGUGGGCUCAUUUUGUGACAUGUUCUAAUGCUUUCUCUUAAUCCAUAUUAGAUCCAAUAAAAGCCCAAAAUUAUAAACCCAAAAAUGGUCUAGAAGUCCAUAAUCAUAUAUGAACCCGAACAUGUCCAAAAUGGUCAUUUUACGUGCUCGAUAUUACAUAAUGUUUAAUGGAGGAUUUACGAAAUUUAUUUUGUUCCUUAAACUAUUUAUGGAACAUCUAAAUUUCUAUCUUAAAUCAUAUUUAAGAUAUAUUUAUAUAUAUAUGUAUAUUCAUUCUCAAUGAAUUAUAAUAUAAAUAUUGAUUUUCCUAAAAAUAGGAAAUUUAACUUCUCAUUUUCUAGUAACUCCUUUUUCAUUUCUAUUUAAUGUGUGACCUUUUAGGUUCUUAGUUAUAAGGUAGUAGAACUAUUUUAAUGAUAACUCUUUAUUCAUUAAAUGAUGCUAAACUCUUUAGUCAUCAAUUAGAACUCUUCUAAUGACCUUAAGAUGCAUUGAUAAUACGCUUUACCAAUAUUGAUCUUAAGGUUUCUACAAGUCAUGAGUGACACCUAGCAGUAUAUCACAACCAUCCAAAUAACAAGAAUUGUUGGAUCUAUAGAACCUAUUCCAUUGUGUCUCUAUGUCUUGGUCUCUUCAUCAUCCAUGUCCAAAGAAAAGCACGGCUUAUGGUUUAUUAUGUUAAGCACUUAUGCUUUAUCUCAAAACAAAUCUAAAUGAACUUGACAUGAAAAUAUAAUUUGAACUCCUUCAAAUAUAUUUCACCUUGGCCAAGGAUUUCUCAUGCCAAUUCAUAUUAUCUUAUAGGGACAUCCUUUUUGUAUAUUACAAAGUGAUGAAUUCCAUAUUGGCCAUGCACUAGUCUUCAUACAUAUCCAACCAUGACAGUUAUUGCUAGAUCUCUUCCGUGAUUAGGAAUCAAUCAUUAUGCAUUCACAUAUCAGAGAUGUCUAUGUAUAAGACAUCUGUUAUGCCUCAGGUCUAAAGACCAUUACUAAACAUAGUGUCUAAUACAAUGUAUAAUAAGCCAUUAACACUCAAGACCAUAUGGCUUACUAUAUUUGGUCAAGUUCAGUAAACUUGUUCUCUCAACAAGUACCUAUGUGUUUGACUUGACAUCUCAUGUCAAUGAUAUGAAACUCACCAUCCAUUUUAGUAUCACAUACCAUAAGAAGUCAUAACACAUACUAGUGUUUAUAGGAAUUUAUAAUGUCCAAUCAUAAAUCCACCACUAGGAACUAUUUUAGAAGUAUAGUACAAAGGAUACACGUUUCAUAUUCUCGACAAACUCGAGAAUGUGUUCCUUAACUAUUUUACAUCUUGGACUAUAUUCAUUAAAUUAAUUAAUGAAUAUUGAUAACUUUGCCAUUUUAUAAAUAUCAAAAUGCUAUUCAAAUACGAUAAUUCCCUAAACAAACAAACACCAUUUGAUUGGCCUUUAGGGCAUAUUACUAACAAUAGCUGCUGCGUUGAUUUCUAAUGCGGUGGAGUAAUCGUCGUUAGAAUCUGAAUGAUAUGUCUAAGACGUUGCAUGCAUCAAGAAAAUUGCAGACGAUUAAACCUUGCCAUCUAUGCGUUGUAUGAGGUUAUAGCAACUAUCUAUCUGGUCACCGUUUUAAAAGAAUAAGACAAAGGGAAAAAGAGAAAGAAAAGAAUGAUUCGACAAUGGCAUUAAAGUUCAACAUACCCCAAGAUCUUGUAAUAAUGCCAUUAAUCAUUCUCUAGCUAGGCUAGCCUUAGAGAAAAGUGAAACUGUUGCACAGGUAGAAUCAAACCCCUCAGAGAUAUGAUGAGUUCGUGAUGCUUGCAUUUUAUUGAUGCUGAUGAUUCGUUGAAUGUUUUAUGUUUUUGAUUUUUAAGUAUUCCGGAUCGAAGUUUGUGUCUACGCGGAAAUUGUAAAGGCAGCAUAUAAAGUACUCGUCGUUCUUUAGAUUUUAUUGAGUACACUUUUGUCACAUUUAGCGUAUGCUAUACACUACUGAUUUGCGCAUUGACAUAUAUCUUAUUUUAUCAUUUUGAAUGAAUUACACGGCGAGGCUUAUCAACUUUGGAUGAAUCCUCCAAUUGUCACAGUCCAAGACUGGCUGCAGUGAGUGAAAAUUUACCCAUAUAUAUGCUGGCUAUUUUUAUUGGCGACGAAUUCGUUGUAGUUGGUCCAUCUUGCUAUUCUCGGACAAUAUUAGAGAAAAUAAUCAUAUUAUUUCGCGUGAUGUGACCUUCCAUAACUUAUCAAUUGAAUUACUGUAAAAUUAUUGUGUAAGUUUAGGCCCAAUGGCACUUUAGUUCAUCACAUGAUAGCCUGGAUUUAAAAGGAAAACUAUAUUGCAUUGCUUCAAAAAAAAAAUUUAAUGUUUUUAAUAUGAAUAUUUUUAACUAUAUUCAGUUAAAAUAAUAUAUUCUUAAUAUUAAUAUUCAUAGAUGAAAUUCUUUUGCGGAUUUAAGAAUAAAAUAUCAAAUAGUUUUAUUUUUCUUUUGUUGUGUAACUCGGACCGAAAAAGACAAUGAGCUUAACAUGACCCUCCUUCCGGCACUAUGCAUGUUUUUCUUAUAUUAAUGACAGUGCUCUUGGUGCUUCUCAUCUGCUUCUUGCUUUGGUUUCAAACAAGUCUUUCUCCGUCGAGACAUUUAUUGUAAUUUGAUUUGGAGACAUCUGUCGUUCAAAUAUAUUUCAUAUGCAAGCCGUUGAUAAUUCUGCUUGAGAAAGCCUACAAAGCAGCUGUGUGAUGUAAUAGAAGACUAUAUAUGCAAACGGUCAUCAGUUUCUCUUGAAUUCUUUCUUGAGUUUCUUUGAAUUAUUUGUGAAUGAGUUCUUAAUCGGCUGCUGCUCUUCAGGAAAAGGAAAGUGUUGCAAACUGGUGAAGCUGAUCGAUAAAAGCAAUGUACCAUCUUUGCUGGCAUGGAUCGAUGCCAGUGAGUUUUUUUAUUUGUCAACCUUUUUAAUAAUGCAUAUGUUUUUCUUCAACUUGAAGCGGCAUAUAAGACGAAAGAAGUGAUCUUUAAAGCAUUCUAUGGCAUUAUCCUUUCCUAUUAUAUAUAUCCAAUUGCUCCAAAUUAUUUGUAAAUUACUGAACACGAAUGCUGGUGAAUAAACUGAUGGCUCUAUGUAUGUAUGCACAUGCAUGGAGAAAUUUUAAGUCAGACAUUCUCAUAUAUAACUCGUGCUACCAAAUCAUUAAAUAAUCUUGAAAUCAAAGUAAUAAUUAAAUACAAAUAAAUUGCUCGAAUUGUACAUAUAUCUGAAUCAUGUAGUGAAGAAAAUACAACAACAACAACCAAUGGCUCAAAUUCCCCAUCAACUUCUAGUCUCAACACUUUUGAGUGUCAGAAGCAUUACUCUGCUACCAGUUAACAAACAUAUAAUUAGUAAUUAGCUAUUCACUUCCCUUUUAGGCCUACCACAUUUUCUACAAAGAAGCCAUAGAGAAUCAGCAGGAAACACUCAAUUUCAACCUAUGUAGGACCAGGAAUUUCAACCAAAAAAAAAAAAAGUGUGCAAUUGCUUAUCCUAUCCUAUUGCUACUAGAAAGAAAGUGAACAAUUAAUUUCAGUGAAUAAAUUAAAAAAAAAAUUACUUCUGCAGAUACUCAAGCUAAGAACACAUUAACCCAUUAAAGACUCCAAAUUGCAUCAAACAAAUUGUUGUUAAACAAGUAAAACAAAGAAAGAGAGUUAAGGAAGCUGACCUAGUAGUAGGGGAGCUGAAGAAAGACUGCCAGUGAAUGUAAGAGAAAAUAAAAUGCAAGAAAUGGUGAAGUGCAGCUUUUCAUGUCAACUUGAAAAUGAUUUUUCUGUUUUUUUUUUUUUUUUUUUUUUGUAAUCUUUUGGAUUUUUCAAACAAAGAAAAUGAGGAGCAACCAGGGAGAUAAAAAGGGCGCCAAGGCAACUGUGUGUUGGGUUUAGAGCCAAAAAAAAAAAAAAAGAAUAAGACAUCGUGUUCUUGUGGAGACCAGACCUAUUACGUAACGUCCCCUUCAAUACCACUUGUUCCGUAUCUGGUUUUUUCUUCGUCUUUUACAUAUUUAUCCUGUGAUUUUACAAUAACUAAAUAAUCCCCCCAUAGUUUGCAAUUUUAUUCAUUUGAGCCCUACAGAUUUCAGUAAUAGGAAUUAUUAAGGGACAAGAGCGCAAAACAGAAACUCUGUCCACUACUGAUGAUAUAACAACGAACCUUUGUUUUUUUCUUUUUCUUUUUUUAAAAAAAGAGUAACAAAAUAUCAUUAGACAAAUGAAAAUAUUAUCUAACAUCACCCUACUGAUGAUAUAACAACGAACCUUUGUAGUUUCUGCCUGUUAAUAUGAAUUGAUCGGGAGUGUUUCCUCAAUUAAAAAUUACGAAUUUACAAAAUAUGUAUGUAUGUACGUACGUAUAUAUGUAUGUACAUAUAUGCAUACACCUAUGUAACAUUUACUUAUCCAUUCUUUUGAGUUUAAAACUUAAUACACAUUUUCAUGAAAUUUUUUAUUUUAUUAAGUAUACAACUACAUUAAUGUAUAUAUUUUUUAUAUAAGACAUGCCGUCCUAUUAUUCGUAAGUAAAACAAUGUGUUGUGAAUAGUAUUCCGUGUUUUCUCAAAGUUGACUUUUCGUCUUUUAUUUUCAGACGCAGACGAUAUGUCAUUUUGUAAUCUUCCAAACAUAUACAGAGCUGAAUUGGUGUUAUCUGAUUUUGUGAUGCAAUGAUAUUUGCACUUCCUGUGCACUCAAUGGAAUCAUUUCUUUGUAACUAAUUGGGUGGUGGAAUCUAUCAAACUCCAGAAACAGGGAAACCAUGCCACGCUAGUAGACAAUAUGCUAGUUUUAACAAACUUGUUUGAAUGGCAAAAACGACAUGACCUGCUGUAGUAUUAGUUCUUUCCCGAACCAACGGGUGAUUUGCUACGUUGGAUCAUGAAAAUUGAAAAAAAAAAUUAACCAAAAUAAAAAUUCUUAAGGAAUUAGUUAGUUAAUUGAUUGAUCGAAUUUAAUCUAAAUUUGAAAAUGAUAAGAUAAAUUUAAAUUUAUUAUUAUUAUUAUUAUUUUAAAGUGGGUGGGUUUAUACAAUUUGAGCGGUGGAAAUAUCACUGCUGAAUUAUUAAAUAUACAGUGUAAAAUUUUGACCUUUAAAAUAUUCCCUUUUUUUUUAUUAUUUAGAACUAUAAGUUUAAAAAUUUAACAUUUUACCUCAAUAAUUAAAUACUUUUAACUUUAAUCUUCAAAUAUUUACCCUACAACAUUUGGACCUAAAUUUUUAAUCCGACUCGGCCCCUGACCCAAGUGGGAAGAAGAUCAGGCUUAUAAGUUAUAACUAUCACCAACAUAACAUCUUCUGGAAAAUAAUAAGAUUACUCACCUGCAAUUAUGUGAUCAAACUAAUGGUAAGCAAAAUAGAACAGCGUUAUUUCAGCCCCCUUUCAGUUUCUUUAUCAUUUUUCUUUUCCUAUUUAUAAGCUGAAUUCGGUUCAAAAUCGGCUAAUUCACUUUGAUUUCACUUUUCUUUCUUUCGGUUCAAAAAAAUUGAACCCAUUGGCUGUCAAUUCAAUUUUGUUGAAAACCAACUUUGCCUGAAUUUAAGUAAUAAUAGAGGAAAAAAACAAAAGAGUACUUAGCAGAAGAGAUUUCUCAUUUUUUUCUCAUUCAAACUUCUAAAAUAAAGGAAAAAAAAACAAGAGUAAUUGUUAAUUAUCAAAAUUUUGUUUAUACUAUUCCACCAAGAAAAUUAUAAAAAAAAAAUUUUAAAAAUUGGAGAAGAAAUAUGAGGUGAAAUACGUGGAUGGCUUAGACUAAUAAUGUGAACAAAUUCCUCUCGGAAACAUGUCAUUGUUCAUCCGGACAACACGCGGCGAUGAGAUUCAAGAAUGAAAGGAUAGGAAUCAACUGUAACCUCAUAAACAAAUGGGCUUGGAGUUGUAAACACCAAGCUCGGCAGAUUAAUUAAACAAAAAUAUCCGAAUUUUCUAUGAUAAUCUCUAGGAAACGAUCAGCUAUAAUGUACGAAAUUAAAAUAUUGCAUAUAUUUUUGAAUUUUUGAACUCAUGCAUUAAUUUCAAAAAUUAUAUCGUAUUAUAAUUUAUUCACAAAAGAAAGAAAAAUUCACUAAUCAAGUGAAAUCGUAUUCUUAUUGAAAUGAAUUCCAGUAAUUGGAUAAAUAUAAGUAUUUCUUCCAUUGUAAUUUUUGUUUAAUAGAAAAUCUAUUUGAGAUUUUGUGAGAAGAAACUCAACAAUAAAGUUUGAUAGACUUUGUGGAUAUUAAGAGUUUGACAAGUAAUUGAAAUCUGAAGUUUACUGAAGUUUACGAGCAAACAAACUGAAAUCCAAAGUUUACUGAAGUUUACUAUCAAGAGUUUCAAAACAGUGAAAAAGAUGAUAUAGUUGAUGACAGAAACCUGAGUUAUCCAUAGCGACAAGUAACAUACUGAAGUAAGCCGUUGGGAGCUGGCCUGUUCAUGGGCUAUUUUUCUCUGAUGAUCUGCAUUUUUCUUCCUUUUAAGUGAACCUUGACUCGUAUCAAACCUGUCAAAAGAACAGUUCAUCAACUGAGCUGAGAUUUGCUUUCCUUUUUCAAAACCCACCUGAGAUAUUGUAAUUCCCAAAUUUCUCUCUCUCAGCUACACGAGCAAGCAGCCGCUUUUUCACUUCAUCGAAGAAGGUAAGCGAUAUAUCUAUUUCGUCCGAUUGAUUUCUUGUUUCCUUUUCAGUGUUCGGGUAAAUUAUUGGCAUGCCUGACUUUUUGACCAUUACAUGAUUCAUAAAUUUAUAUUAAUUUUGAUUUUGAGUUGACCGGUUACUUUUAUAGGUUUGCUUACUUUGACUAGGUGACCAAUUUCUUGUAACUAAAUUUAUGACGUGAUGCAGGAAGCUGGGCAGGAUAUGAAAUGAGAAUCUUAUUAGUGGAAGGAUUGCCAGUAACAGAACCCAAAGAAAAUGAAACCAUUUCAAGGCAGCAGUUGGCAGUUGGGAGUGAAUGGAGGCCCCUGACAAAACUUCAGUAAACUUCAGAUUUCAGUUUGUUUGCUCGAAACUUGCAUGGUGACAAGGAUACUGACAAGGAUAAUGAGAUAGUUUUUGUGUGAAUGAAAUUACGACCAUCCUCAGCCUCAGGUAAUUUCUUCUCCUGCUUAGUUGUUAUUUGUUACCUAAUUAAGAAGCAUAAAGUAUCUUGAAUCAUUUUCGUUGUCUGGAAUAUAUGCAACAGUUUUUAAAAUUUUGAUAUCAGUGUAAUGAUUGUAAUUUCUGUUUUCUGUCUGUCAUCGAAUGUAAGGCAACUUUAUUAAGACUCUUGAACCGAGUCAUUUUUUACAAUUGAAGGACAAGUGCUGAAGAGUGGGAAUGCAAAAAUUUUUGUUGUUUUUAGCCUUGUUUUCUUUGAACCAGCGCCUGAUUCUCAAGACUCCAUUAAUUUGGCUUUUGAUCAGCUGAUUGAUAAAUGUUCAAUUUCUUUGGUGAUAAAUGUAUAUGUGAAGCAGGUAGCAGGGCAUGACUGUGGAAAAGAGAAGAUUUUAGUGAAAGCCGAGACUCAGAUAAUUCUACGCGUUUUGGCUGAUUUAUAUAAUUCGUGAAAUUUUAUUUCCGUCUGUUACAAGAUCAAACUGCAAUUAGCAAUUUAACAUUCCCUUAAAACCACUAGCUACAUUUCAUCUUUCCACAAUUACACUUAAAAUUCCACUAAAAGAAACUCUUGAGGUGCUCUGAUGAGCAUAUAAUAUAUACAUAUUUUACCCUUAAUUAAAUAAUUGCUAGUUAUAUUUAUUUGUUAUUUUUAAUUAAUUGAAUUAUUUUAUUGCAUAGAGAAUUAAUUGAAGAUUGGAAAUAAAAAGUGCAAAAAGAAUAACAAUUUAGGAGAAUAUUAGUUGAAGUCAUGACAGAGUUAAGAGCCAAGAGCAAUUUGCAUUGAAUUUUAAUUCUCCAAUUGAGUUGCACGUGCAUGGCAUUGCAAAAGUGGAAAGCAAUUUAAAUGGGGCCCACACUUGACUUUCAAAAGUGGAAUUAAUGGCUUAUGGUGGCGUUAUUAUGGAAGCUUUGUUUUAUAAUUGGAAAAGGAUUUUAAUUAGUAGACAAAGAGGAUUCGGUGGUUAAGCAUUAUAAAAAGAGCGUUUUGGCUUUUGAAUGAGGGGAGCCGCCAGAGGACGGAAACAAAAGGGCUGGAAGAGAGCAAUCGGUAGUAGCAAUAUUUCGGCUUCCAUGGCUGAUUUUAUUUCUUGUGUUGCUCUCAAUUUAAGUAUGUCUAGCUAAUUUUCUUAUGCUGAGGUUAAGGAUAAAACCCUAUUUAAUGAAAUAAUUAUCUUUUUAUUUAAUUAAUUCCUUAUAUAUGUUCUUUGAUGAUUAUGGUUUUUAUUUCACAUGAUUAAUUGGAUGUUAAUAAAAUCUUUUCAUCAAUUCUGUCAUGCAUUAUUGAUUGUUAGGAUUAAUAUUCGAUUAAUUCUAUACUUGGAUCUAUAAAGUUUAUACAUGAUUAUCUUUGAUUUUAUGUCUUUCAUUAAAUUGUUGACAUGGAGUGCUUAGGAAACUUUGACUCUUUGUUAUUCAAUAUGUUUACAUGAGAUUCUUAGAUGUCAUACUAUUAAGCAGAAAAAAACCUACAUAAGAUUAAUUUUAUUUGGGCUUAAUUGUUAUAUCCAUGAGAUGACAUAGAUAGAUUUCGAGUUGUCACUCUAAAAUUGGGGAUUAAUUAAUAAUUAGCUAAUUACUAGUUGAAUAGUGGUGGAUUCUGAAACCUUAGUAAUUUGUCUUAUUGAUUUCUCAUUUGCUUUAAUUGUUUUCUUAGUUUAAUUAGUUUAAUUUCUCUUAAAACUCAAUUUGCUCAACUAAGUUAGAAUUAAUAUUAAUUUUAGAUUUAAAUUAGACUUUUCAAUUUAUAACAAUCCCUGUGGGAUCGACCUCGUGCGCUUGCGAAUAUAUUAAAAUUUUCACAACAUGCUCGCAAGCUAUAUAUCAUUAUCCAUUGAAUUCUUACCACAUAUAUCUCACCUUUCAAUCAAUCACAUAAUAAUCAAUAUACAUAUUGUAAGAAUUCAACAAAUGGAGAACAUAAUAUACUAUAAAAGCAUCCAAAAUUUUUCCUUCUCAAAUUAUUACUAAACUUCUUGAACAAGUUGAAGAUUGGGGGGAAAAAGUGCAAGAAGGAAAAGCAUUAUUCUACUAGCUUCUAGAAAGCAAAAUACCUUCUGCUGAUUGCACAUUGGAAUGGGAAUAAGUUGGUAAACAUAUAAGUUACAUAAAUUAUUUUGGAUAAUUCUGCUGGUGAAUUAAUUAUCUUAAAAUCACCCUUUUAUUUUUAAAAAAAUCUUAAGUUAUUUUUCAUAUAUCUUAAGAAGACAAACAAACUUUCAUCGACUCUCCUUUUUUAGCUUUUCCCUUCAAUAAUGUUAGAAAUUCUAACAUUUGAGUCAUGCUUGAGCUUAAUACUAUAUAUCACUCAUUUAUUAGAUGUUGAAUUUUUUAAAUUAUAAAGUUAUUUGACUACCAUCCAAUGAAUGAAUGUCACGUCAUUUAAAACUCAAAGAAAAGUAUUCUACUUCUUGCGGCAAUCAUGCCUUCAUUCAGACUAUGAACCAUUUCCUUUCACCAAAUUCUUCAUAAACAUUGAGUAAGUUUCAUGGUUGGACAUAGUUAGCUUCUGUUUCUUUUGGUGCAUUUAGGUGCUAUCAAGUGACGGCCGUAAGUGUGAUUGCAUUAUUGGGAAAUUUUACGAUUUGAUGGUUCCCCACGUUAUUGCCAAGAAAGUUCUCAUGUCGGAAGCAGCGGUUCUUUUCAUCGGCCUGAACCCGAACCUGUCGCUAUGGAUAACUCAGGUUUUUGUCAUCAACUAUAUCAUCUUUUUCACUGUUUUGAAACUCUUAAUAUUAAACUUAAAGUAAACUUCAGAUUUCAGUUUGUUUGCUCGAAACUUGUAUGGUGACAAGGAUACUGGCAAGGAUAAUGAGAUAGUUUUUUGUGUGAGUGAAUUUUGAGAGCUUGAGUGUUCUGGGAUUUGCAAUUGCAAUCAUCCUCUGCUUCAGGUGAUUUCUUCUCCUGCUCUGUCUUUAUUUGCUCUCUAAUUGAAAAGCAUAAAGUAUUUCAAUCAAAUUCUGUACCAGGAAUACUUAAAAGUUACUGAUUCUUUAUUUCCAUUUGUUUGCAUUGAUAACUUGACGGCAUAUGUACUAGUUAAAAAACAAACAGAAGUAGAGUUUAGGAAAAAGCUUCUUCGGCCACCAUAUUUGAAAAUGAAACCAUUUCCUAGAAGCAGUUGGCAGCAAAUUCAUAUAAAGUGUACACAAUGAUUAGCAGAAAGGUGAUUCACAAUUUCAUUUUUUUUUUAAAUGAAAUUAUUUGUUAAGUUGGAGCUGAUAUUGUUAGAAGGCCAAUGAGCUAACCUAUGACACUGCUUGCCUAGAUUGCAGGAGGUCAAGGCUCAAAAGAAGCACUGAAUUUUAAAAGGCAUGCAAUAAUUCUUAUGGCCAUAAGUCAAUUCAUGUAAGUUUGAAUAAGUUUAAUGGUGGAACGCUUUAAGCUCCUUUUCCUUUCGUGCAUUUUGGGGUGCUAUCAAGUGAUCGCCGUAUGUAUGGAUGCACAUAGCUGCUGCUGGGAAAUGUGAGGUUUUCAUGGCUGGCCGUGUUAUUGUCUUAAAUUAGAUGUGAUAAGCUGUUGCUUGGAGAUUCUGUUGCCAAGACUUUGCUCACAUCAGAAGCUGUGGAACCUCAACCCUUCUCUAGAUAUCAUGUUUUUCAUUGUUUUAAAACUCUCAGGAUUAAACUUGAGUAAACUCUCAGGAUACUGAGCAGGCAAAUGCCAUAACUCGGUUUGUUCUUCAAAAACUUGUUUAAGAUUCUUGACAAAGCUGCAUGAAGUGAAUCUUGGGAGCUUUGAGGGUGUAUAGGGAUUUGGGUUUAUUAGGAAGUUAUAUAUGUAUUUCGUCACUUAUCAUUAUCAUUUUUAUUUUCACAGAAAACCUUCUGAUGGUGCCAAAUUUUCAAACACCGGUCCGAUUCAAAACUUCAUAUUCCAAUUAUAUUCAUAAGACAAAUGGAACACUUUGAACGGCUUGUGUCCGAGCAUUGUAGUUUGAUUUAUUUUGAUGACAGUACCUUUUGACAUUGAGAUUCUUUCAUGAUUUAAACAUUCUUUUUAAAACCAAAUUAUUAAAAAAAGUAACUAACAUAUAUUAUUUUAUUAGUGCUUUUUAAAUCAAAUAUACAUAGGAGAACUGUAAUUCUUAGCAAUCAAUUUUCAACUAAAUACACCUGCAACAAACUAUUAAUAACAAAGUGAUAGAAAAUACUUGAUUUUUCAUACUUUCUAAUUUCUUUUGGUCCUAAAAUAUGGGCAUUUGUGUAAUAAUAAGCCCAUGUGGAUCUCUAUGCCAUGAGUUUGAUAAAUAGCUAUCAAGGAUCACAUAUUAAGCUAAAAAUAUUUGGAGGACAAAAUUGUAAAACUAAAAGGGUGGAGCAAAUAUGGCUAUCUAGGAUUAAAUAGUAAGUCAACUAUAUUUAAAGGAUAAAAUAUUAAAACUUGAACUGUGAUAUUAAAAAUAUCUCAACUAUUAUAUUAUUAAACCAUAUGUUCUAAUAGUUUAUUUUUUAACCUUCAAAAUGUUCAGGAUUUUAGAUUGAAACAUUUUCAUUUGAAAUUAUUUGGUGCAGUCACAAGUUAAGAAAGAAAAAAUUGUCCCAUUGGUCAUUUCACAAAAAUGAAAGCCCUGUAUAACAUGGACUUGAAUGGAAGCCCAAUUGUUUGUGUUUGAUUAAUUGAUUUCAAGCUUUAUCGAACCUUUGGACCUGGAUACUUUACUGCGGCCUCUAAGCGCUAUAAAUUUUUUUGGGGAUAAACGGCGCUUCAAUGAAGGCAUCUCCAAUGCUUAACACCAUUUUGGUGUAACACCAACACUAAAAAAUAUACAUUUUUCACACUAAAUUAUUAUUUCAUCUCUAACUUAUUUACACCAAAUUUUACACCAAAAAAAAUAUUUUUUUUAUUCUUUUAAUUCUCUAGAAUUAAUUCAAUUAACACAAUAAAUAUUACUAUUAAUAUAGAUAAUUAAGUAAUUUUAUCGAUUAACAAAAAAAAUAUAGAAAAUUAUUAAAUUUGUAUUUAAUUAACUAAAUUAGUACAUUAUGAAAAUUAAACAUUACAUUAAUAUAGAAAAAUACAAUAACAAUAAUAAUAAUUUUAUAUCUAAUAUUUUGAUGAUAUUGGAGGAUCUAAUAAUGAUCUUCCAGAUUAUUAAAUAAUUGUUCUAAUUUAUACUAGUAGUAGUAGUUUUUUUAAUUUGUGUUAAUUUAAUUUUGUAUUUUUAAUUUUGUAAUAUAGUAAUUAAUGUUAUUGGCAUUUUAUUUUUAUUAUUAAUUUUUGUGUUGAAUAUUUUUUAUUUAAAUUAUUAGUAUAAUAUUCAAAAAUUAAAAAAUGAAAUAAAAAUAAUAACAAAAAUAAUAAUAAUAACUUAAAAUAUUAUAAAAAAGGACAUAUAUGUAAAUAAGAAAAAGUAAUAAGGAUAUUUAAGACCUUUUCUUCCUAGCACCAAAUGAAUAGUGUUACACCAUAUUUGGUGCAAUACUAUUCAUAACACCAUUUUGUUGUUGGUUUUGGUGCUACAUUGGAGAAGCAUUUUACACUAAAAAUGGUGUAAAAAGUGGUUUGGUGUUAGUUUUAGUGUCACAUUGGAGAUGGCCCGGAAAAGCACUUGAAAACUUUGGAUUUUCGGUUCAUCCAGUUACGGUGUUAUGCUAACGGGGUAAAAGGUUCCGAUCCAAUGAGUUAGGAUGGGAUAUGAAUAUAUAAAUUCCAUAGCAUGUAAGGACUAGGAGUUGUUUGUACAUAUCAAGAAAAAAAAGAUCCGAAAAUUUGAUGAUCAGAAGAUGAAGACACGUUUAUUACAGAGAAACAAACGACAACAUGAUACUAGUAGUAGUUAUUCUUUUCAUCCGAUACAUUACAUUGUAAUAUCACUGCUCGUUCCACUGGUUCCACUGGUGUAAUCAUCCAAAUUCCAACCUCCGUACUCUCGAGAGGAGUUUCCCAUUCAUCAAUUAUUAUUUUUUAUAAUCCAUACCAUCCUGAUAUAAUCAAACAACAUUAAUAAUGUACCAGCCUUUAUAUAGUAAUUAAUUUAUUUAGUUGCCCACCUAAAAGAAUCCUGCAGGAAAUACUGGUUAAAAAAUUUAUUAAAUUUGCUUACCUCUGUAUCAUUAUAUAUAUAAAGACUGAAAUCCAAAUGAAAUAUUUUAUCAUUCAUUCAGCAAACACUUAUAAUUCACGAAUAGUGAAUCUAUGCAUUGAAAAUGUGGAUUAAGAAUUAUAACACAUGAAUUCAAACAUACCCUCGUGAAGUUAAGAAUAAGUUCCUACUUCAAAUGAUUUUUUUAUCUAAUAAAGCAAUCACUUUCAUUAAACGACAGCGUUGAAGGAAUUGUGCAAUUUUUACGUUCUUUUCUAGACAGACGUUACAGAGAUGGGGUAAGUAGAGGGCUGGCCUCAGAUAUCUCACAAUUGUUAGUGAGAUAAAAUGUUAUUGUAAAAGGCGUUUAAUAGAAUAAUAUUAAUUAUUUUGCAUUGUUAUAACAAUAUUUUUUUCUUUUGACAGUUCUGCAGGACAAGUGAUCAGAGCUCAAUGAAUAUAGCCGUGGAGGCACAGCAGAGCAGGAUUAUGAAAAAGAGAAGCUUAUUACAGGUCAUUCAAGUUUACUUGCUUUUAUAUAAUAACUGUUUUGGCCGAUUUAUCUAAUUCAACAAAUGUCAUUUCCGGUACAUAUCUCCAUUGGUAUCAAGAAGAAGCAGAACCCAAAGAAACGUUUCUUGCAUCUUCAUAUUUGUGCGAAUUCAUCCUUUCAUUGAGAAUAACCAUUUCCAGGCAGCAGUUGGCAAUCAAUUCAUGCGCAAGUCGAUGCUAUUCAUAGAUAUUAAAGACAAUGAUGAACCAAAGGUGAUAAAUCAUAAAUGCAUAAUUACCAAACCUCCAUCCUUCUCUCAUUAUGAUUUGAUUUUAAAUGAAUUAUUGCUUGGUAACAUUAUUUCCAACCAUUGCAAGACCCUUUUUUUUUUUUUUUUUUUUGGGAGAAAUUUCAAUUGAAAGUGAAACCUUUAGACAUUUACCUAAUGAAGUUAGUUAAUCGGGAGGGUGGAAAAAAAAAAGUUGACGCAAGUCAAUACACAAUAAUUAAUUAAAUCCGGAGUGACUAAAACAGAGCCACUACUUUUUCAAAAAUAUCUGCAUUCAUCACUUUCUCCAGCAGCUAGUCAGCUACACACGAAUCAAUUUCUCUCCUCGUUUGUCAUCCAAAAUUAUUCACCAAUACCAUGGCUGAUGCAAUCGUUUCCACUAUCUUGGAGCAGCUGAUUUCCUUCGCUGCUGAAGAGAUAAAACAACAGGUGAUCGAAGUUUCACCCCUCAUAUUACAAAUACUUCCAAUGAUUUUAAUAAAUUUUGUUUUUAUCAAAAACAUUAUAUAUUUUUGCUUUUUUUUUUAUUUAUCUGAUAAUUUUAGAUUUUGAAAUUUGAAUUUAAUUUAAUUAAAAGGUGAUGUAGUAACCACUUAUUUUUAUUUUAUUUCAUUUAUAUUCUCAAUAACUACUCAUAUUUUGGUAACUUACUAUAACUUCCAUAUCUAAGAAAUGAUCCAAACCCACAAUUUUAACUCAGCACGAAUAUUCAAUGGUGAUCUAAGCUUUUGCAGAACACUCAAGUUUGUCAAACAGUCAUUAAUUCAAUGUUUAGUAAAAAAAAACACUUCUCAGCACAGAAUUCCAUGCCCAUUACUUAGACUCUAUAUAUGAAAAAUUUCAUAAUUUUCUCACAUUAUUUGAGUUUGGUAAGUGAUUUCAUAUAAUUUCUUUUCAAUAUAAAUUUUAAUUUGGUUUCUUAUAUACUCUCUUUGCUGAAUUUGUAUCUUUUAUGAUUCUUAGAUUUUGGGCUCUAACUUUUUAGGAUUUGAUAGUCACAUUUUAUGCCAUGCUUAGAUUGAUUUUCAUGAUUUUUACUACCCGUUAAGUGACUUAGAAUUUGACAAAAGUUUGAAAGGAAAUCUGCUUCAGGAUUCUGUUUUAACUGACCUUUUAGCGGAAAUAAGAUGCUUAUAACUUAAUGUGGAUGCUAUGUAAAAUCAUGAAAUUUGGAUAGAAUUAACUAGAAAUAUGUACAAGACUCUCCAUGAAGUCUCAUAAUUUUUCAUUCGGUCUGGGGUGUUACAGGUGAAGCUUGUGGUUGGUGUCGAAAAAGAAGUGAAAAGCCUUACCAGCCACCUUCAAGCCAUUCAAGUUGUGCUCGAUGAUGCAGAGGAAAAGCAAGUGAAGGACAAAGCUGUUAGUCUUUGGCUGGGUAGGCUCAAGUACGCAUCCUACGACAUUGAAGAUGCGUUGGAUGAAUGGAUCACAGGAAGACGCAAAUUGCAAAUUGAGGGUGGCAUUGGUGAAAAUGCUCUUAUUGCUCCUCAUAAGAAAAAGAAGGUACGUUUCUGCUUUCGUGCCUCUUGUCUUGGAUUCAAACAAGAAGAAUUUGGCUUCAAACAAGUCUUUCUACGUCAUGACAUUGCUGACAAGAUCAAAGAAAUCAAUGAAGAGCUACGUAAUAUUGCCACUCAAAGAGACAUGUUUAAAUCUGAGAGUGGCAGUAAAAGUAGUGAAAGACCCAGGCGUGUAUAGAGUACCUCCUUGAUUGAUGAGGAAGAGAUUUGUGGUAGAGUUGGUGAGAGGAAUGAACUCUUAAGCAAGCUGUUGUGUGAGAGUAGGGAGCAACAAAAAGGCCUUCAUAUCAUCUCAAUCGUUGGUAUGGGAGGCAUAGGAAAAACAACUCUUGCACAACUAGCAUGUAAUCAUGUUGAGGUAAAGAGAAAGUUUGACAAACUUUUAUGGGUGUGUGUAUCGGACCCUUGUGAGCAGUUUAGGAUUGCCAAAGCGAUCGCUGAAGCUUUAGGCAUUCCCUCUUCUAAUUUAGGUGAAUUUCAAUCUCUUCUUAAACUUAUAUCUGAAUCUAUUACUGGAAAACGAUUUCUUCUUGUCUUAGAUGAUGUGUGGGAUGGAGAUUGCAUAAAAUGGGAACCAUUCUACCUUUGUCUAAAGAAUGGUCUCCAUGGAAGUAAAAUUUUGGUUACCACACGUAAAAAAUCAGUUGCAUCUAUGAUGGGAUCUACUGAUACUGAUAUUGUCACUGUCAUGGAAUUGGCUGAAGAAGAAUGUUGGUCGUUGUUUAAGCGGUUAGCAUUUUUCGGUCCGUCUAUUAAUGAUUGUGAAAAAUUGGAACAAAUUGGGCCAAGAAUUGCAGGCAAGUUUAAAGGUUUGCCUAUUGCUGCAAAGACAAUAGGGAGUCUCAUGCGCUCUAAACAAAUUGAAGAAGAGUGGGAAAGGAUUUUAAAUAGUGAUUUAUGGAGAGUAGAAGAGAUGGAGAAAGGUGUUCUGUCCUCAUUGUUGUUGAGUUACAACGAUUUGCCGUCCAAAGUAAAAAUAUGUUUUUCCUAUUGUGCUGUCUUUCCAAAAAACUACAAUAUAAAAAAAUAUGAACUAAUUACAUUGUGGAUGGCUCAAGGUUAUCUUAGUGCAGAACAAAAUAAGGAGAUGGAGACUAUAGGUGAAGAGUAUUUUAGCAUCUUAGCUUCUCGCUCUUUCUUUCAAGAGUUUCAGAAAAGUUAUGAUAAUCGUAUUAUAGAGUGCAAGAUGCAUGAUAUGGUACAUGAUUUUGCCCGAUUUAUAAGUCAAAAUGAAUGUUUUUCAAUGGAAAUUAAUGUUAGUGAGGAACCAAACACCAUAAACUCUCUUGAUGAGAAGGUUCGUCAUUUAAUGUUGAUCAUUGGUAGGGAGGCUUCAUUUCGUGUCCCUACUUGUAGAGUGAAAAGAAUCCGUAGCCUCUUAAUUGAUAAUAGUAGAACUUCUUGUUCGUAUUUUAAUGGUGAGAUCCUAGAAGAAUUAUUUAGGGAAUCGACAAGUUUAAGGGCAUUAGAUUUUUGGGGAUCAUAUGACGUAAGCCCAUUUUGGACUCUAAAGAUUCCAAGAAACAUAGAAAAUCUAGUACAUUUAAGAUACCUUAACCUGUCUUGUCAGAACAUAAGGAAACUACCGGAGACAUUAUGUGAGUUAUAUAAUCUAGAAAAGUUAUAUAUUACUCGUUGUCUGUAUCUUGAAGAAUUACCUGAAGGGAUUGGGAAGUUAAUAAACAUGAAGCAUUUACUAAAUUAUCGUACAGAUUCUUUAAGGUACAUGCCAGUAGGGCUUGGGAGAUUAACGGGUCUUAGGACCUUGGAUGAGUUCCAUGUGAUUGGAGGAGGAGGUGUUGAUGGUAGGAAAGCAUGUUGGUUUGAAUCUCUUAAAAACUUGAAACACCUUCAAGUAUGUGGUAUACGCAGAUUGGGUGAUGUAUCAGAUGUGGGCGAGGCUAAGCGAUUAGAACUUGACAAAAAGAAAUACCUCUCUUGUUUGAGACUUUGGUUUGAUAAGAAGGAGGAAGGAGGAGAAAGGAGGAAGAACGAGGACGAUCAACUUCUUCUUGAAGCCUUGCGACCACCCCUGGAUUUAAAGGAAUUAGAGAUACGGUACUACCGAGGCAACACUGUUUUCCCCAGCUGGAUGACGUCAUUAAUCAAUUUAAGGAGUUUAGAUCUCUCUUUGUGCGAAAAUUGCAAGCAGCUGCCUCCUUUGGGAAAAAUGCCGUCCCUUGAAAAACUCAGCCUAUUGCACAUGCGGAGUGUGAAAAGAGUGGGUGAUGAAUGUUUGGGGAUCGAAAGUGAUCAUCAUGGCUCAUCUUCAUCUUCAUUAGUUAUUAUUGCCUUCCCUAAAUUGAAAUCACUCACAAUUUCUUCCAUGUUGGAAUUGGAGGAGUGGGAUUAUGGGAUUACAAGAACGGGAAACACCGUCAUCAACAUCAUGCCACGUCUUUCUUCCUUGGAAAUUGUUGCCUGCCCCAACUUAAAGGCGCUGCCCGACCACAUUCAUCAAACGACAACAUUGAAGGAAUUGCGCAUUGUGCAUUGUGGGCUGCUGGAAGAACGUUACCGCACGGGGGAAGGAGAAGAGUGGCCUAAGAUAUCACACAUUCCCAGCAUAGAUAUUGAUUAAGAAGGAGAAGAGUGACCUAAGAUAUCUCACAUUCCCAACCUCGAGAUUUGGCCUUGACAAGUAAUUCCUUCUCUUACUCUGAUUUGCUUUGUUGUUCUUUUUAAUCUAAUCAAGAAGCAUAAAUAGCAUUUUGAAUUAAACUCUGUAUCAGAAAUCUGCAAUACAUAUUUUCUAAUAUUCUGAUUUUCAUAUCUUAUGAAUGUACGAUUCUAAUUUGCGAUAUUUAACGUUGCUGUAAAAUAUUAUUAAUGCAAUAUGAGUAAUUCUUUUGCAGGACAAGUGACCUACGUUUAGUUUGGCUUUGGAGUUGAGUAAUAACCUUUCGAGGUCGCCACUAUAAAAAAGCGAAGCUCAAUUUGCCACAGAUUACAUGUAUUGCCAUCAUUGACAAUUUUCUGGAUAAGUGAUGAAGGGUGAGAAUGGUGCUAGAAUAUUGAAUAAAGCUGUCGUGACUGAACUUACGUUGAUGUCAAAAGGGGUAAAUUAUUGGCAUGCCUAGCUAAUUUGACCAAUACCUGAUUCAUAAGCCUACAUCAAUUUUGAUUUUGAGUUGAGUGAUUAAUUUUGAAGGUUUGCUUACUUAACUGGUAACCAAUUUCUUUUAACUAAAUGUAUCAUAUGAUGCAGGAAGCAGGGCAGGAUAUGAAAUGAGAAGCUUAUUAGUGGAAGGAUUGUCAGAAACAGAACCCAAAGAAAAUGAAAACAUUUCGAGGCAGCAGUUGGCAGUUGGCCGUGAAUGGAGCCCCUUGAAAAAAUUCCCAACCCAUUGCACUGCAAUUACGAUCGUGAGUAUGAUUGCACUGCAAUUUCGAAGCUUCUUCUCCUGCAUUUUUGUUAUUUGCUAUCAUCCUCUGCUUCAGGUGAUUUCUUCUCCUGCUCUGUCGUUGUUUGUAUCUCAAUCAAAUUCUAUAACUGGAAUAUGCAAAAGUUUCGAAUUUUUAUUUCUAUCUGCUUGCAUUGAUAACAUCGCGGCAUAUGCACUAGUUAAAGAUCAAACAGAAACAGAGCUCAGGAAAAAGUUUCUUCUGCCAUCAUAUUUGAAAAUUCAUGUAAAAUGUAGACAGUAAUCAGCAAAAAGGUGAUUCGCAAUUUGAUUUUUUUUAUGAAAUUAAUUGUUAGGUUGGAGUUGCCAAUUAACAAUUUUAACCACCUUUGACUUUGAAGGAAUUAGAGAUAUGGUCAUACAGAGGCAACACUGUUUCUGCAAGUAGUCCUCUCUUUUCUUUUUAUUAUAUUUUAUUUAGUUAUUAUUUAUUAUUUAUUUUUUGGUUUACUCUGCUUCUUCUUUUUACGUUUCUCAAAUUUUGAAUUUCAUUGCUUUUGAACAUACGACAGUCUGUUAUGUGGCGACCCUGGUUCUUAAUUAAGGUUGUGAAAUAUUAUUGUAAAAGAUGAUUUAUUCAAUUUGAGUAAUUCGUUUGCUUUGAUAAUGAUAGUAAUUUUUUAUUUUGACAAUUUGCAAGGUGAGAAUGGUGCUGAUUGGUGAUUCAGGAUAUGGUUCAAACACCAUUGAAUAAAGCUAUGGACAUGGUGGCUCAACUUAGCUAGAUUGCUAUCAAAAUUGGUAAGUUGGCUUGUCAAUGUACCGAUGCUUUUGUUUUCUCUCAACCCUAAUUACCUUAACUUCAUUUAGUUUGGCUUUGGAGUUGAGUAAUAACUUAUUGUUCAAAUGUUAUUUCCUUAUUGUUCUAAUUCAUCAAAUGUUAUUUCCUUGUUGUUCCAUUGAUAUAUUGGUUGCAUAUCAAGCAGAAACAGAACCCAAAGAAAAUGAAACCAUUUCCAGGCAGCAGUUGGCAGUGAAUUCAUGCAAAUGUUGAUGCCAUUCAUAGAUGUUGAAGACAAUGUUGAGCCAAAGGCGAUAAAUCAUUAAUGCAUAAUUCCCAAAACCUCUAUCCUUCUCUCAUUGUAAUUUGAUUUGAAAUGAAUAAUUGCUAGGUAAUUGAAGCCAAUGUUGUUAAAGACCGUGUUGAGCUACCCAAGCUAAGAAGUUAGUUGCCAAAAAAUGCAGGGGAUCAAAAGAAGCAUUGCAUUUGAAAAGGCAUGAGAUUCUGGUGGCUACAUGUCAACUCAUAUAUGUUUGAAUAAGUUUGAUGGUUCAAGAUUGUUAGCUUCUGUUUAAAUUUGUGCUACUGCAGUGCUACAAUGCUGCUACUGGGAAAUUUGAAUCCCAUAUUAGACUUUCCUCACAUCAGAAGCUGUGGAUCUUCGGACAUCAGGUUUUUUCACAGUUCUGAAACACUCAGGAUUAAACUCUAUUAAAGUGUUGUAGUUAUCUUGUUGUCAGAAUUCCCAUAUUAUUAUCUUUUUCAUGUAAAAUUAUCUUGUUGUCUUCGCCCAUGAAUCUAAGCUAAAAUUUGAACCAAUUGUUUGCUAUUAUAAAUUUCAUUGUUAAAUGUUAAUUGUGAUGUUCGUGUUGAGUUUCUUUUAAAGUCAUAGAAGCCUGACGAUUGAGUUCCAUGGGAUUCUGAGAAGCAGUAAUAUUUUGAACAAGUGAAGGUUCUUCGUUUUUAAUUAUGUUCUGCACUUUUACAGUAUGUGCAGAUGUCUAAGAGGCAGGAUUUUAAUUUCUGUAAUGCUAAAUUUCGCAAAACAAUAAAAAAAAUAAAUGCAUGACAGUGACUUCAAGAAUUUAGAUUAUUGAAUUUGGUCAUUUUAAAAUUGUUGGAAUAUUGAACUUAAGUCAUUUUGAUAAACCAGAGCUCAGAAAUGUAGAAUAUAAAUAUUGGAGAUUUGGACUUCAAUCAUUAGAUUUGAAGCUAAAGAGGUAAGCCAUUAAUUACAUCAAAGGAUUUGGAAAAUGGAGGGAUUGGAAAAAGGAAACUUUUUCAUAAACUACAAGCAUUGGGCAGUUUCAUUUGUCCGAUUCAAGAGGAACGUCACAGAAAGGGGUAAAGAAAAGAGUAGCCUAAGAUAUUUAAGACAAUGUUGAGCCAAAGGAAACAUAAAUCCCAACCAUUGCAUGCGAACAUGAUCACAAUAAGGUCAAGAACCUACCAAACCAUUUUUUUGAGAAUUUUCAAUUGAAAGUGAAACCUUUGGACAUUUACCUAGUAAAGUUAGUUAAACGAGAGAAAUAAAGGGGAAAAGAAAAGUUCACUCAAGUCAAUACAGAAUAAUUAGUUCAAUCUGGAGUAACUAAAACAGAGCCACUAUAUUUUCUAAAAUAUCUGCAUUCAUCACCUUCUCCUACAGCUAGUGAGCUACACACGAAUCAUUUCCUUUUAGCAUUUUUGCAGCAUCAAUUUCUCUCCUCGUUUGUCAUCCAAAAUUAUUCACCAAUACCAUGGCUGAUGCAAUCGUUUCCCUUCUCUUGGAGCAGCUGAUUAUCUUUGCUGCUGAAGAGUUGAAACAACAGGGGAAGCUGGUGAGUGUUGGAUGAGCGGAUCACAGCAUGCGCCAAAUCGCAAAUUGAUCAAUGCUCUUGGUGCUUCUUAUCUGAAGAAGAAGGUGCAAAUUGGGAGCUGCAUUUCACUGUCAUAACAUUUAUUGUAAUUUCAUUUGGAGAUAUGUAAUAUCUGUUGUCCAGAUAUAUUUCAUACACCAGCUGCUAAUAAUUCUGCUUGCAGAGAACUUGCAAAGGAGCUGUGUGAUGUAAUAGAAGACUGGAGUCUGGUCAAUUUUUUCAACCUUAGAUAUUAGGAAGUUAUGUAUUUCAUUAUCAGUUAUCAUUAUGAUUUUUAUCUUCAAAAAGAUAAAUGGAUGGCUUUGAAUGGCUUGUGUUUGAGGAUUUUAGUUGGACUUAUUUUGAUUGAAGUACAUUUUGACAAUAGAAUUCCUUCAUGAUUUAAACAUUCUUUUUAAAAUCAAAUAAUCAAAAAAAUUAAAUAAAUAAAUAAGGUAACUAACAAAUAUUAUUUUAUUUUGUUAGUGUUUUUUUCAUUAAAUAUACAUAAGAGUAUUGUAAUUAAUUGCAACCAAUUUUUCACUAAAUACGCCUACAACAAACUAUUAAUAAUAAAGUGCCACUCUACUGUGCUUCCUACAAGCACCUUGGCCAUACCAUUGAGACGUGUUACGUGGCCAAUUCGGGGCUUCAACCCCAGCGACCCAGUGGGAAUCGGCAGACUAGAGUAGAAGAUGGUAAGAAGUCAGAAGUUCUACCGUUAGAUACUCCACAACCCUCAGAUACUCCUCGACCUGAGCCUUCCAUCACUAAGCAGAUUGCAAACGCGGGGUCCCCGAUCACCAAACCUUCGGAGAACCGGCCUAACGUUACAAAUUCUACAUCCGUUCAGGAGCCGAUUGCCCAAGAUGACACAACUCAUGAUUCUAAGGAACCUCGUGAUCAAAGCUUGUCUCCCCUGCGGAGCAUUGGUGAGUAUAAUCCACAUCUUCAUCAAGCAUCCAACAUAGAUUUUAGGCAUUACAAUUCUCAUAUUGAUAAUGAUGAUAGUUUUGACGAGCACCUAGCGAAUAACAAACACUUUUUAUCUGCUCCUGAGAAUUCUGAGAGAAUAGACUUAAGUCCUGAUUUUAGCAUUGUUGGUCAAUCGAAAAAGGGAUUUAAAUUACUUAUCGGCCGUAAGUAUCGUAAAACAUAUUAUCACCAUCUUCAUCAGUCAUUUUAUUAUGAUUCUCAUGUUAGGCUAUACCUUAAUCUUUUCUUUUUCUGUUGUAUUUUUUUCUCUUGAUUGGAGGUUUUGGUUUUUGUCCCCCUCCUUGUAUCUUUCAUUAUCUUUUAUAAAUUGACAGGUAGGGGUCCCGCCUAACCCUCCACCUUAGAGUGGUAUGCUUAUUUAAAAAAAACUAUUAAUAAUAAAGUGAUAAAAAAUGCCUAAUUUUUCAUACUUUCUAAUUUUUUUUUGCCCUAAAAUUUAGGUAUUUAUGUCAUAAUAUGCCCAUGUGGAUCUCAAUGCCGAAAGUUCGAUAAAUGGCUUUCAAGGAUUACUUAUUAGGUAAAAAAUAUUCAAAGGACAAAAUGGUAAAACUAGAAGGGUGGAGUAAUAUGGCUACCUUGGGUUACAUCGUAAGUCGACUAUAUUUAAAGUAUAAAAUAUUAGAAACUGAACGGUGGAGUAAUCGUCGUUUAGAUGAAUGAUAUGUCAUCUAUGCGUUAUGUGAGGUUAUAGCAACUAUCUAUCUGGUCACUGUUUUCAAGUCUCAAUUGGUAGUCCAAAGAAAAGAAUGAUUCUGCAAUAGCAUUAAGUGUUAAUUGGACACAAAAAGAAGUGUUUUAACCACUUUAAGGAAAGUAAAUGUAAUUUUCUGUCCUAAAGAAAAGGUAAAUGUAUGCACUGUCAAUUAAUCUUUGGUCGACCAGCAACAUCAUAAUUUCGUGUAGGUUCAUUUUUGUUUCUUAAGAGUUUGUAAAAAAAAUGGAAAGAUUUUAAAAUAUAAAUUUCAUAUAUGUUUAUAACUGUUGUUUGGUCUAAUUUCUUAUGUAGAAUUUUCAGAAUCUGUAGGACAUUAGUUUAUAAUUUUGAGAUUUUGCAGCCAUAAAUGUUUUUUUUUUCUUUUUCUUUUUUUGUUGCCAUUUUAUUUUGCUCCUUUAUCUAUGUGCAUGUUGACUGGCUGCAGUGAGUGAAAAUUUACCCAUAUAUGCUGGCUAUUCUUGGACAAUAUUAGAGAAAAUUAUCAUAUUAUCAUAUUAUUUCGCGUGAUGUGAACUUCCAUAACUUAUCAAUUGAAUUGCUGUAAAAUAUUAAAUAGUUUUAUUUUUCUUUUAUCGUGUAACUUGUGUUGAAAAGUGAUUUUAAAAAAAAAAGAGAGUUGAAAAAUCAAAUCUCCAAGUGGGAGAUUGAAGAAAAGGAAAGCCGCAAAAUGAACAGUAGCCGCAAGAUGAACAGUAACCGCAAGAUGAACAAUAGUCAAUGGUGGCUAUAAAUAGAGGAGUGCUCCUCCUUAUUGUUUGUAUCCCAAAUCCCAGAGAAGCGAUCCAAAUUUUGGUGAGAAAUUGAGAGAGAGAAAUAUUCUUAAGCAUGUAGUUAUAUUGGAGAAGUUGGCUCCUCAAUAUGGAUAUUACGGGUUUGCUUUGUUAAGGGAUAUUUCUCGAGAUUAUGUAUUUGGGGCUUGGGUGAGAGAAAAUUUAUUUCUGAAAGUGGUUGUAAUAAUUUUCCACAUAGUGAAUAUUUUUCUCUGGUUGUCUUGUGACAACGGCCGUAGUUUUUCUCCGAAUUUGGAGUUUUCCACGUAAAUCUUGUGUUGUGUGAUUGGUGUAUUCUCCAUUUAAUUUUUCUUAUUAAUUUGUUGCUUGAUAAUUGCUUGAAGAGAUCUUGGGAGGAAGCUCAAUUUCCUAACAACUUACACCAAAAAAGGAAAUGAGUUUAACAUGACCCUCAUUCCGGCACUAAGCAUGUUUUUCUCUAAUGGUUCUUGUAUUGAUGACAGUGCUCUUGGUGCUUCUCAUCUGCUUCUUGCUUUGGUUUCAAACAAGUCUUUCUCCAUCAUGGCAUUUAUUGUAAUUUCAUUUGGAGACAUCUUUCGUUCAAAUAUAUUUCAUAUGCAAGCUGUUAAUAAUUCUGCUUGCAGAAAGCCUACAAAACAGCUGUGUGAUGUAAUAGAAGACCAUAGUCUGGUCAAUUUUUCAACAUUAGAUAUUCAGGUCAUCAGCUUCUCAUGAAUUCUUUCCUGAGUUUCUUUGAAUUAUUUGUGAUGUAAUAACUUGUGCAUUUGAGAAACUGUUCUCUUGAAUUCUUUCUUGAGUUUCUUUGAAUUAUUUGUGAAUAAGUUCCUAAUCGGCUGCUUCUCUUCAGGAUAAGGAAAGUGUUGCAAACUGGUGAAGCAGCUGAUAGAUAAAAGCAAUGGGUACAUCUUUGCUGGCAUGGAUCGAUGCCAGUGCGGUUGAAUUCAGCAAGAUUGGCGUUCGUGAUGUUGUUGAUUGGGAUUAUUUCAGAUAUCCUUCUUUUCACCUAUUUUCGGCCUUGUGAUUCUCAUAUCCAUAGAACGUUUUGGUUAUUUAAUCAUAUUUCAUCGUAUGCAUCUGCAUCUUCUAACCAGUGCGUUUGAGAAACUAAUUUUGCUGUUAGGCAGGUUUUAAGCUUGAUUCAUUUGUUUUUCAUAAAUGUACCAAAGUUAUGUAAACCAAAUAAUCAAAAAUAAAUGAAAGGAAAUGAGUUUAAUAUAACCUCCAUUCCAGCACUAGGCACGUUAAUUGUUCCCCAAGGACUUCUCCUGAUUCCCAUUCCCAAUAAGAAUGGUAAAAUGUCGGGUCGGGCUCGGGCUUGGUCAAGCCCUACACGACCCGAUCAAAAGAAAUUUGAAACCCGACCCUAAAAAAGCCCGAACACUACUUAGUUAGGGUCGGGCUCCGAAUCGUGGCAACAUCGGGUCGGGCCCAACCCGACCCUACCGAAAUAGUUAACCCCACAAUUCAAUUCCCAUUUUCCACCACCAUUUCAACCUAUUCGGCAAUUACUCAACCAUUUCAAACACAAUUCAAUCCACUUUCCACAACCAUUUCAACCAAUUCCACAACUAUUUCAACCCCACACACAAAUCAAUUCCAAAAUCCAACAUGAAAAACACACAAUGCAAUUAAAUUAAAAACAUUCAAUGUAAUUCCACAACCAUUUUACCCAUACACAAUUCAAUUCAACAACCUAACAUAAAAAAUAAAAAAUAAAAAACUAAUGUCUUAUAUAAAUAAAAACACAAUGCAAUUAAAUUAAAAAUACACAAUGUAAUUCCACAACCAUUUUAGUCAUACACAAUUCAAUUCAAUAACCCAACGUAAAAAAAAAAAAAAAAAAAACCUCAUGUCUUAUACAAAUAAAAAUACAAUGCAAUUAAAUUAAAAACAUACAAUGAGUGAUGUUGUGAGGAUGUGUUGUGUGCGUGUGUUAACUUGUGUUAUUUUUUUUUUUAAAUAGGGUCGGGUCGGCAUUAAUCCCGACCCUGACCCUAAAUUUGUUCAGACCUUAAAAUCUUGGCCCUAACCCGACCCUAAACUUAAAAUUUCGGGCCAAAGUCCUAAAAAUUAAGGUCGGAUCAAUCGGGCCAAAAAUAGAGUCGGGCUAAAUUGCCAAGCCUAAUUCCCAACCUCCAUGCUCUCAUGAGGAGUUUAGCACCCAUCAAUUUUUAUUUUUGAAAACUCGUAAUGGUCUGAUAAAAUUAAAGAACGUCAAUAAUGUUACCGGUCUUUAAAUAGUAAUUAAUUUAUUUAAUUUGCCACCUAAAAGAAUCCUACUGGAAAUAGAGGUUAAAAUUUUUAUUAGAUCUACUUACCUUUGUUCACUCAGCAAACAAUUACAAUUCACAACUAGAGAAUCUAUUCGUUGACAAUUGUGAAUUAAAAUUAUAACACUUGAAUUCAAACAUAUCCUUACGAAGUUAUGAAUUUGUUCAUACUUCCAAUGAUUUUUUUUUCCCAAAGCUAAUAAAGCUACCACUUUGAUCAAACGACGACGUUGAAGGAAUUGCGUAUUUUUCAAUGUCCUUUUCCAAACACACGUUGGAGAGAGGGAAAGAAGAAGACUGGCCUAAUUAAGAUAUCUCACAAAGAUUAUUGAUUUAAAAUGUUAUUGUAAAAGAUGUUUAAUACAAUAAUAGUACUUCUUUUGCAUUGUUAUAAUGAGGCUGGUGGGUUUCCUCAGAGGAUGGAUCUAGCUCGCUAGUAUGCACUUGGGAAGAUGCUAAUUAUCGGCCAUAAAAAAGUCUAGGGGUUGUGGCUCUUCCGUGGCCCAGAAAUUCCUAAUCUCAUAUCUCAAACUUGGGCAUUAUGUAAAUAUGUAUUUUUGAGAAUUAAACUAUUGCGUUAGAAAAAUUUUGAGCCAUUGUAAAUUUGUAAUCAUUUUAUUUUGCUAAGAGAAAAUUUUACUUUGUGUUUCACUUUGACUUUUGUUUUGUUUGUGAUAAUAAGAUUCAUACCAAUGUGAUUACACACCUAUCAUGCUUCUAUUUUCAUUUGCUUGUCAUGAUAGAUCAACAUGCUCGAAAAUAUUUAUUUAGGUUGGAAAUAUUUGAAUCCACUAAAAUACUAUACAGAUCCAUUUUAAAAUAAAAAAAAAAUAAUUAUCAUAAUACUCGUGAAGAUAACGCGAUAUCAUACAUAAAAUAAAAUAUUUCGCAAAAAAAAAUACAAAUCUUAAGUAAGUGGGUAUAAAAAAUAUUUUAGUGGGUUCAAGUAGCACUAAUGCCCCCUUAUCAAAAAAUAUAUAAAAAUAAGUAGUCUGAUUGGGUAUACAGUUGGCUAAACUAAAGUUCUGAAGAUAUAUAUAUAUAUAGAUAAUUUAUAAUGUACAUUAUAGAGAAAGAUUUUGAAAGUAAUAUUUUUUAGUAUUAUUAUAUAAUAUUUUGUAAAAAGUAGAGAGAGUGAGCAAAACCAAAUUAAUUUUCUAACCCCUACCUCAUUUAGGAUUUAAACUCAUUCUUUAGUGUCGCCGGCCAUUCAAAUUUUCUAGUCGAAUAGGCUAAAUUGCAUGAAAUUGUGCUAGCUUAGCUUGAUUCUAGAAAUUUUCAGUACACUGUAACACAUUCCCACACUUGUACAUAGCUCGAAAUUCUCUAGAAUUUACUAUAGUAGUGUAGCAUGUAGCUUGUACAUAGGUUUUUCUAAAACACUCCAGACAUUACUAGGCAUGAGAGCUCUCACCAAGCUUUGAGAACUCUCUAGGCAUAAAACAUUCUAGGGCAAGCCUACCCUAAAAAUAGGGCAUGAAGCUUGCCAUUUGAGCAUACAACACAUAAGAACAAUUCAAGCAUACUUGUAAGCUCUCAAACUCUCUUGUACACACUCUUGUGAAUAAUAUACUUUUCCUUUGGCUAUAUUGUUCUCUCUUCUCUCUAGUUUUUUCAAAAGCAUCAUAACUUAGCUAGUCGAAAAAUUCAAGGCUUACUUUGCAACUAUCUCGUAAAAGUUGUUUAAGUACCACAGAAGUUUGCUGUGCAAAAUACUCAUCCCGUAACAUUUGUCAAAUAAAAUUGUUUGAAAGCCACUUACCUAGACUAUUGGACGGAUAUUAUUAUUUUAAUAUGCAAUCUUUUAAUAUAAACUUUUGUCUUAAUUUUCUAUCUCCUAUGAUAAAUUUUAGAAUUUUAAAAAUUUUAAAAAUUAAUAACUAUUAGAAAGAGCAUUCAUUACUGUUAAAAGAAAUCUAUAUAGAUAUAUAGAUACAUAGUAAUAUAAAAACUUACUACAGUAUAAUGUUUUUAGUUUCUUAUUUUUUCAAGAUAAAAAUUCAAAGACACAAGUUAAAUGUUGUGGAAAAUCUUCCACCCAUACAAGAAAUCGUCACAGCUAAAUGCAAACCGAGCUAAAGUAUUAGUUGUUUUAUUACAAUCUCUAAAAAGAUGAGCAAUUCCAAAAUCUUUCUUUGUAACAAUAAGCACUACAGUUCAGCAACUAUCCAAGUCAAAAGCAACUCAAUGUGAGUGCUAAGCUAAAUCAAUUUCAUUAACAAAUUAGAUGCCAAAGAGCAAAGGCUUCAUCCUCAAUUAUAUUGACAUUAUCUGAGUAAACUCUAAAUACCACAAUCAACCCCAAAAAACAUGACUAAACUAUUAUGUUUAAAAUAAAAAUAAAUAAAUUUUUUUGAACGGAAAAAAAUCCCCAAUAACUAAAUUGUUCAAACGUUUUUUAACAUCAUGUGUUUCUAAUAAUUUAGGGUUGGGCAUUCAGUUCGGUUUUUACCGAACCGAACAACUAAAUUAAAUCGAAAUUACCCUGUUCGGUUCAAUUGAAUAGACAAAAACUAGAGCUGGCAAAACGGGUCAUCGGGUCGUGUUCAUGUCGUGUCGUGUCAAAUUUAGUUCAACCCAAACCCGACCCAUUUAAUAAUCGUGUCAAAAUAUUGAGACCCAAACCCGACACGAAAAAAUAAUCGGGUUACCCAAUAACCUGCUUAAUAUCUAUAUAUUUAACAAAAGUUACAUCAAAUAUUUACACAUUAUCAUACAUGCGUAUGUACAUACAUACAUACAUACAUAAUUUAUCGAUAUUAUAAAAUGUACAUAUCUACCAAAAUAUUACACAUUUACACUAUUGAGGUUUUAAUUAAUUUUAUAUAUAUAUAUAUAAUAUUAUAUAUUAAUAUUAUAAAAUAUACAUAUCUACCAAUAUUUCUCAGCCUUGUUGGCAGGUAACUCCGUUCCUUGAUUUCAAGCAGCUUUCUCUUUGAUGGCCAAAAAUAUUGAUUUGGGCUUUGCCCUUUAAAUUAAUGUAAGAGCGGUAGGGAAUAACCGAGUUAUAGUCUUAGCUUUAAGUGAACAUUGAUGGUAACAUGCAUGUGAAGGUUGUAUGUGUUCAGCGGCAAGCUGUAUGCCAAUUUGGUCUAUAUGGUUUUUUUGUUGGUAACUUAUUAAUUUUUAUGCAGGAAGGUUACAGUCAUCAAUUUGGAUCCUGCUAAUGAUAGUUUGCCGUAUCCUUUGUCAGAACCUUUUUACAAAUGCUGUGGUUUGUUGUACUAUAAUUAGUUCAAUCUGAAACUUCCUUGAUGUUAAUAUAGAUAUGAGUGUGCUGUGAAUAUGGAGGACCUCAUUAAACUAAGUGAUGUGAUGAUGGAGCAUUCGCUGGGUCCAAAUGGAGGUUAGUCAGCCUAUUGUUGUUUACUCUUUCUAGCUUUAUCACGCAAUGAUAUUCCUUUGCUUUACAACAAAUUUCAUGAAAUUAACUUCAAUCUAGUGGCUAUGUUCAUAUGCUGUUGAGAUUUUAUGGACAAUGAUUUGGUAGACUUUAUAUGCCGUCUUCUUUCUUUUUGCAGUGAUAUGUUUGUAUUCAAUGUGCUUGUACUUAUUCUACGGUUUCUAAAGUAGGUGUUUUUAUGAUAAACUAGGUCUUGUGUAUUGUAUGGACUAUCUAGAGAAGAUUAUUGACUGGUUGCAGUCGAAAUUGGAACCACUUUUGAAAGGUAAGAAGAGAUCAUUUUGCUUCAUUCUAAUGCCAAUAAUGCUGUCAUGAGACUCAUAAAAAUUGUUAAAACGUUAAUGUUUUUGGUAUUUUGCAGAUCAUUAUCUUCUGUUUGAUUUUCCUGGCCAAGUUGAAUUAUUUUUUCUUCAUUCCAAUGCCAAGAAUGUUAUAUGAGACUCAUAAAGAAGUUAAAUCUCAGGGUAUUGUUACAUCUUACAUCUAUGAAGGGACUCAAAGAGUUGAGAUGAAUUCAUCUUUGUUAUUUUGAUGCCAGAAUUGUGCAAUUCUCAGUUGGUUCCUUUCACAUGCAGUUGACUUCAGUGCAUCUAGUUGAUGCGCAUCUUUGCAGUACUAGAAAAGAAGAUAACAUGGAGAAUUCAACAACUAUACAGUCAUAUUGAUGUCUGUCAACUUGGGUCAUAUGGUGUUGUUUGGAUGGAGAUGUUAGGCCCCAGAUGGUAUACUUGUUAUCAAAUUCCAGUCUACUUCAUUCAUGCUUUGAUGACAUAUGCGGUGCAGCUUCUUAUCUAAGACCUGCAUAUGUUACAGUCAACACUCUGUUCUGUAUUUGGCUGCCAUUCUUUUCAAUGAAUUCAAACCACUUUCUGAAUACUUGCAAAUUCAUCCAGUGUUGUCAUUGAGAUGCCAAUAUGAAAAGAAGCCAUAAUUGCCCUUGAUAGUAUUCUUAUUGAUUGCCUCUUGCCUCACUCAACCUCAGGAAUCUGCUUGUAUGGUGUUCUUCUAAUUUCAAUUGGAGAUUCUUCUAAUUUCAAUUGGAGAUAAGUAAUAUCUGUUGUUCAAAUAUUUUUUAUUUACAAGCUAUUAAUAAAUCUGCUUGCAGAAAGCUUACAAAGGAGCUGUGUGAUGUAAUAGAAGACUACAGUCUGGUCAAUUUUUCAACCUUAGAUAUUCAGGUCAUCAGUUUCUCUUGAAUUCUUUCUUGAGUUUCUUUGAAUUUGUGAAUAAGAUCUUAGUUGGCUGCUUCUCUUCAGGAUAAGGAAAGUGUGGCAAAACUCGUGAAGCUGAUAGAUAAAAGCAACGGGUACAUCUUUGCUGGCAUGGAUGCCAGUGCAGUUGAAUUCAGCAAGAUUGCCGUUCGCAAUGUUGAUUGGGAUUAUUACAGAUAUCCUUCUUUUCACCUAUUUUCAAUCUUGUGAUUCUCAUAUUCAUAAAACUUUUUGGUUAUUAUUAUGGGUCAUCAUAUGCAUCUGCAUCUUCUAACUUGUUUGUUUGAGAAACUAAUUUUGCCGUUAGGUAGGCUUCAAGCUUGAUUCAUGCUUUUUUCAUAAAUGUACCAAAAUCAUGGAAACUUCUUUUUCCCAGAUAUUAUAUCCACACUUUUCCCAUGUAAUUUAGUCAGACAAGUUUUUCUUAACAAAGAUAUCUAGAGUAGCCGAAGUGCAGGAGAAGUACAUUAAGUAUGAUGAAAAUGUUAACUAAAAUGGGACGAGAAGAUAUGUGGAGUGCAAACCGUAAGCGUGCCUCUUACUUUUGUGCAUGUUUACUUGAUUGUGAUUCACGUUUGUUAAUCUAUUUUGGUCUCUUGCAGGAGUUAUAAAGUUUUCAAUCAAUCAAACAUUUAACUCAAGUCCUUAGCUCUUCACUGCUUGAAUGGGUCAGAUAGGACAAGCGCCGAAGAGGUGGUUUUAAUCAAACCCCUCCUAAUUAUGAUGUAUGGUCCGAAUCUCGGACUUUUUGUACAAUAUCAGGCGAUUUUUUUUAGUUGAAUUGGCUAGUGUACACAAAUGUCGAUCAUUGAUUUUUCUCUAGUAUUGUUUGUCAUUACAAGAAACGAAGUAAUGAAAUUUAUCACUGCGUUCAUAGUUACGCUUAAGCUCAAAGAUUACCGUCAAGAUCAUCAACCUGUUGAUGAUCUGAAGCUUCCAUAGAAAAAGGAACCGGACAAAACCCAAGAGAGAGAACAAAAAUAAAUUAAUUAAAAAAAAAGAAGAAAAAUUGCCAAAGCUACUGGUCAGUUGAUAUCAAUCUUUUGCACGUGGGAUGGAAAUGGAACAGUGGGCACUUUGGAUGACUCAUAACUCACUAGAGAGAAACGAAUUUAGGCCGAAUCAUAUAAAGUACGCUAAGCCUUAGUGCGCGCGCUGUUGCGCUGCUGUGUCUGCCGGUGAGAAUAAUUUUUCGUUUUUAAGGUAAUUUUUAUUUAUUUAUUUAUUUUUUUGGUGCAUAUGGUCGAACACUUGGUGGGCACCUCAAUUUUUGGAAUGUUCUCUUCAAUGAAUACAGGGAAAAAGGGACAAAAAUUAAGAACUUUAUUUUGUUCGCGUGGAAUCGAUAUCUGGAUUGGGAUUGUAUGUCGUGUUUAAUUUGAAUUGGUUGAUUCCUCUAAUGAAUUAUUUUGAUAAAUUUAGUAGCAGUAUUUGGCGGCAAAAGUAUCAUUAAUUUUUGGAAAUAUGAUUAUGUUAUUAAUUAUUUUAGCAUUCUAAAAAGUCAAUGGUUAUGUUGGAAAUACUCUAAGGUAGAAUAGAGUACAAAUCACAGUCACACAUACAAAAUGAUAAAUAAUAAAAAAUAUAUUAUAUUUUUGAUCAUAUGAUUAUGAAGACGUAUUUUACCUUAAAGAAGUUCUAAUAAGCGAAUUCUUCAAAAAAAAUAUAAAAUUUCUUUUUUAUCAUACUCAACCGCUUCAAACUUCUAAGAAGUAGAUAUACAAUUAGUGGAAUACUGAAUUGAGUGCGAGCUGCGGAUAAUAUAUAAAAUUGGGAUACAAGCUUCAAGGAAAGUGUAUUGCUAUUCAAAUGUAGAUUUCAAAUUAAGAAGAUAUGCCAGCAAAUUGUAUAAAAAUGUAUAAAUUGAUCAGUAACAUUAAUUCCAAAUGAUGAAAUGAGUUAUCUUGAUCAAAAGGUCAAGAACCUACCUUACUUCUCUUAGAGAUAACUUGCAUCAACCGUUGUGGUAUUGAUACUUGUCUUCAGCUAGUAAAAGACUAAAAGUGAAAGUUUCACAAUUGAAAUAAAGCUAAGGGAAGAUGCUAUGCUCCAUUUAUUAUUAUUAUUAUUGAUGUGGUCGAGAAGUAAAGCCAUGCAUAUGAUGAAGUAUAAAUAAGAAUGCAAUAGCCCGGAAUUCAUUUACACAAACACUUCAAUAUCCUUUUGAUCACUUUUGCAAACAUCAGUUUGUCUCCUCUUGUAUUCACCAUGGUUGAUGCCAUCGUUUCCUCUCUUGUGGAGCAGCUGACUUCCUUCGCUGCUAAAGAGAUAAUACAACAGGUGAUCGAAGUUACACCCCCCAUAUUAUAAAUACUUCUAAUGAUUUUAAUUGGUUUUGUUUUUAUCGGAAACAUUAACUUUGCUUUAUUUUAUUUAUUUAGGCAUUUUAAAUUUUAAAAUUUGAAUUGAAUUCAAUUAAAAUGUGAUGUAGCUAGUAACCACUUUUUUUAUUUCAUUUAUAUUCUCAAUAACUACCCAUAUUUUGGUAACUUACUGUAACCCCCGUAUCUAAGAAAUGAUCAAAACCCACAAUUUUAACUCCACAUAAAUAUUCCAUGUUGAGCUAAGUUUUUGCAUAACAUUCAAGUUUGUUAAAUAGUCAUUAAUUUAAUGUUUAGUAAAAACUUAUCUCUGAAAAUUUUCAUAAUUUUCUUACAUUCUUUGAGUUUGGUGAGUGGCUUCAUAUAAUUUCUUUUCAAUUUAAAUUUUAAUUUGGUUUCUGAUAUAGUCUCUUUACUGAAUUUUAUAUCUUUUAUGAUUCUUGGAUUUUGGGCUCCAACUUUUUAGGAUUUGAUAGUCACAUUUUAUGGCAUGCUUAGAUUGAUUUUCAUGAUUUUUAGUACUCGUUAAGUGACUGAGAAUUUGACAAAAGUUUGAAAGGAAAUCCGUUUCACGAUUCUUAUGUGGAAGGUUCGUAAAAUCAUGAAAUUUGGAUAGGAUUCACUAGCAAUAUGUACAAGACUCUCCAUGAAGUUUCAUAAUUUUUCAUUCGGUCUGGGGUGGUACAGGUGAAGCUUGUGGUUGGUGUUGAAAAAGAAGUGAAAAGCCUUACCAGCCACCUUCAAGCCAUUCAAGCUGUGCUCGAUGAUGCAGAGGAAAAGCAAGUGAAGGACAAAGCUGUUAGACAUUGGCUGGGUAGGCUCAAGUAUGCAUCCUACGACAUUGAAGAUGUGUUGGAUGAGUGGAUCACAGAUAGACACAAAUUGCAAAUUGAGGGUGGCGUUGAUGACAAUGCUCUUGCUGCUCCUCAAAAGAAAAAGAAGGUAUGUUUCUGCUUUCCUGCCUCUUGUUUUGGAUUCAAACAAGAAGAAUUUGGUUUCAGACAAGUCUUUCUACGUUAUGACAUUGCCAACAAGAUCAAAGAAAUGAAUGAAGAGCUACAUGAUAUUGCCACUCAAAAAGACAUGUUUAAUCUUGUUAAGAGUGGCAAUAAAAGUGGUGAAAGACCAAGGCGUGUACAGAGUACCUCCUUGAUUGAUGAGGAAGAGAUUUGUGGUAGAGUUGGUGAGAAGAAUGAACUCAUAAGCAAGCUGUUGCGUGAGAGUAGCGAGCAACAAAAAGGCCUCCAUAUGAUCUCAAUUGUUGGUAUGGGAGGCAUAGGGAAAACUACUCUUGCACAACUAGCUUGUAAUGAUGACGUGGUGAAGAGAAAGUUCGACAAAAUUCUGUGGGUGUGUGUAUCAGAAACUUUUGAGGAGUUUAGGGUUGCCAAAGCAAUCGUUGAAGCUUUGGAUGGUCGUGAAUCUCAUUUAGGUGAAUUCCAAUCUCUUCUUAAACAUAUUGAUGAAUCCAUUGCAGGGAAGAGCUUUCUUCUUGUCUUAGAUGACGUGUGGGAUGGAAAUUACUUGAAAUGGGAACCAUUCUAUCGUUGUCUAAAGAAUGGUCUCCAUGGAAGUAAAAUUUUAGUUACCACACGUAGUGGGUCCGUUGCAUCCAUGAUGGGAUCCAUAGAUAUUAUUCCCAUUGAGAAAUUAGCUGAAGAGGAAUGUUGGUUGUUGUUUAACAAGAUAGCAUUUUUUGGUAGGCCUAUCGAGGAACGUGAAAAAUUCGAACGAAUUGGGCGAAGAAUUGCAGGCAAGUGCAAAGGUUUACCUCUUGCAGCAAAGACAAUAGGUAGUCUCAUGCGUUCUAAACAAACUGAAGAAGAGUGGAAAAGAAUUUUAAAUAGUGAUUUAUGGAAAGUAGAAGAGAUUGAGAAAGAUGUUUUGUCCUCUUUAUUGUUGAGUUACAAUGAUUUGCCAUCUAGAGUAAAAAGAUGUUUUUCAUAUUGUGCUGUCUUUCCAAAAGACUACGAUAUAGAAAAAGACAAACUAAUUACAUUGUGGAUGGCUCAAAGUUUUCUUACUGUAGAAGAAGAUGAGGAGAUGGAGACUAUAGGUGAAGAGUAUUUUAGCAUCUUAGCUUCUCGCUCUUUCUUUCAAGAGUUUAAGAAAAGUUAUGAUAAUCGGAUUAUAGAGUGUAAGAUGCAUGAUAUGGUACAUGAUUUUGCCCGAUUUGUAAGUCAAAAUGAAUGUUUUUCGAUGGCAAUUAAUGGUAGUGAAGAACCAAACGCCACAAACUCUCUUGAUGAGAAGGUCCGUCAUUUAAUGUUAAUCUUUAGUAUAGAGGCUUCAUUACCUGUUUCCACUCCUAGAGUUAAAAGAAUGCGUACCCUCUUAAUUAACGAUAGUGGAUCAUUAAAUGGCGAGAUCCUAGAAGAAUUAUUUAGGGAAUUGACAAGUUUAAGGGCAUUAGAUUUUGGCGGAUCGUUCCACUCAACGCCGUUGUUGACUGCGGAGGUUCCAAGAAACAUAGAAAAGCUGGUACAUUUGAGAUACCUUAAUUUGUCUUUUCAGAAAAUAGUGAAACUACCGGAGACAUUGUGCGAGUUGUAUAAUCUAGAAAAGUUCGAUAUUAGUUGUUGUUUGUAUCUUAGAGAAUUACCUGAAGGGAUUGGGAAGUUAAUAAACAUGAAGCAUUUACGAAAUAGAAGUACUAGUUCUUUAAGGUACAUGCCAGUAGGGAUUGGGAGAUUAACGGGUCUUAGGACCUUGGAUGAGUUCCACGUGAGUGCAGGAGGAGGUGUUGAUGGUAGGAAAGCAUGUAGGCUUGAAUCUCUUAAAAAAUUGGAACACCUUCAAGUAUGUGGUAUAUGUAGACUGGGUGAUGUAUCAGAUGUGGGCGAGGCUAAGCGAUUAGAACUUGACAAAAAGAAAUACCUCUUCAGUUUGACCCUUGAGUUUGAUAAGAAGGAGGAAGAAGACGGAGAAAGGAGGAAGAACGAGGACGAUCAACUUCUUCUUGAAGCCCUGCGAUCACCUCUGGAUUUAAAGGAAUUAGAGAUAGGGUUAUACCGAGGCAACACUGUUUUCCCCAGCUGGAUGACGUCAUUAACCAACUUAAAGAGUUUAAAACUCUCUUUCUGCGAAAAUUGCGAGCAGCUGCCUCCUUUGGGAAAAUUGCCGUCCCUUGAACAGCUCUUCAUAUCGUACAUGUCGAGUGUGAAAAGAGUGGGUGAUGAAUUUUUGGGGGUAGAAAGUGAUCGUCAUGACUCAUCGUCAUCUUCAUCAGUUAUUAUUGCCUUCCCCAAAUUGAAAUCACUUAGUAUUGACGGAUUGAUGGAAUUGGAGGAGUGGGAUUAUGGGAUUACAAGAACGGGAAACACCUUCAUCAACAUCAUGCCACGUCUUUCUUCAUUGGCAAUUAAUUACUGCCCCAAAAUUAAGGCACUGCCCGACCACUUUCAUCAAACGACAACAUUGAAGGAAUUGCGCAUUUGGGGGUGUGACCUUCUGGAAGAACGUUAUUGCAAGGGGGAAGGAGAAGACUGGCCUAAGAUAUCACACAUUCCCAACCUCCAUAUUGGGCUUUGACAAGUAAUUUCUUCUCUUACUCUGAUUU
This 132314-nucleotide long non-coding RNA is filed under the name Citrus maxima (pomelo). Its description in RNAcentral is "long non-coding RNA (CMAX_LNC001170)". The stretch from base 17947 to 18050 matches the Rfam family "Plant small nucleolar RNA R71". Lineage: Eukaryota; Viridiplantae; Streptophyta; Magnoliopsida; Sapindales; Rutaceae. The record is from RNAcentral.